UUUUUUUUUUACAAGGUUAUUAACUCUGUGUCUUUCUCUCUAUUUGUGUGUUUCAGGUACUAUCUCUGAUUACUCUACUCAGGCUGAGCUGAUCCCUGUUGCAUGCAUACUAGAUCAAAAGGACAUCAGAACCUGCUUUUCAACGAGAACAUCAACCGUAUUGCUCGUGAAUUAAGAGAACAGACAGGCACAGACAUUAUGGCCGACGAUCAGAACCCAAAAUUGCCAAACAACAUUGGUGCAGGCUAUGCUCCACGCAAUGACAAUCAGCGCAAUGGCAUUGUGCCUCCAACAGUACAGAAUAAUAACUUCGAGAUCAAAAGUGGUCUCAUUGCCAUGGUUCAUGGCAACAAGUUUCACGGCCUCCCCAUGGAGGAUCCACUCGAUCACCUGGACGAGUUUGAUGGGCUCUGCAGCCUAACUAAGAUCAAUGGAGUCAGUGAAGAUGGCUUCAAGUGGCGUUUGUUUCCAUUUUCUCUUGGAGACAAAGCCCACCAGUGGGAAAAAUCACUUCCUCAAGGCUCCAUCACCUCCUGGAAUGACUGCAAGAAAGCCUUCCGGACUAAAUUCUUCUCCAACUCCAGGACUGCAAGACUCCGGAAUGAGAUUUCUGGCUUCACUCAGAAGAAUGCUGAGACUUUCUGUGAAGCAUGGGAGCGUUUCAGAGGAUAUUAGAAUCAAUGUCCUCACCAUGGUUUCUCCAAAGCCUCACUCUUGAGAACCCUCUACAGAGGAGUUCUCCCUAAGAUCCGGAUGCUUCUGGAUACAGCAUCCAACGGGAAUUUCCUGAACAAGGAAGUUGAAGAAGGAUGGGAGCUGGUAGAGAAUUUAGCUCAGUCUGAUGGAAACUACAAUGAAGAUUAUGACAGAACCAUCAAAGGAAGUUCAGACUUAGAGGAGAAGCACCGCAAGGACAUGAAGGCCAUGAAUGACAAGCUGGACAAGCUACUCCUUGUGCAAUAGAAGCAAGUCCAUUUUCUCUGUGAAGAUGAGACGUUCCAAGUCUAGGAUGGGGAGACUCUUCAGUCAGAAGAAGUAAGCUAUGUGCAAAACCAAGGCGGCUACAACAAGGGCUACAACUACUAUAAGCAGAACAAUCCCAAUCUGUCUUACAGAAAUACCAACGUUGCAAACCCGCAUAAUCAAGUCUACCCUCCACAACAGCAGACCCAACCCAAACCAUUCGUCCCAUACAACCAAGGUCAAGGAUUUGUUCCUAAGCAACAGUUUCAGGGAGGUUAUCAAACACAGCAUCCACCACCUGGGUUUGUACCACAGCAACAACAAACCCCUAGCGCUUCUGACUCCGAACUGAGGCAAAUGCUCCAACAACUCCUUCAAGGACGAACAAUAGGCUCCAUGGAGAUCGCAAAGAAGCUGGCCGAGAUGAACAAUAAGAUAGACUGUAGUUAUAACGAUCUCAACAUCAAGGUAGAAGCACUAACCUCAAAGGUCAGAUACAUGGAAGGCCAAACUGGGUCAACCUCUGCUCCCAAGAUUACUGGGCUACCAGGGAAGUCAAUUCAGAAUCCCAAGGAGUAUACUGCUAACGCCAUCACUAUCCGCUAUGAUCGAGAGCUGCCAACUCGACAUACCAUUAACUCAAUCACUGCAGGCAGUGUAGUUUAAGAGGGGGAGGAUUUCAAUCAAGAUGACAUUGUGGCUGACCAAAUACUAGAAGAGCCCAUACUUGACAAGCAGUCUACUCGAUCACAAGCUUCCCCAGUCGCUUCCACAGUUGAACAACCAUCUGCUGCAAAGACCGAGGAUACAGUAUUUGUGCCACCUCCCAAGAAAUUGGGAGAUCCUGGUUCGUUUUCCUUACCUUGCUCUAUAGGUCCUUUAGCCUUUAGUAACUGCCUAUGUGAUCUAGGUGGUUUUAUCAGUCUCAUGCCUCUCUCUAUGGCCAAGAGACUAGGUUUCAGCAAGUACAAAUCUUUCAACAACUCCUUGAUCCUGGCCGAUGGGUCUGUUAGACUACCUCACAGGCUAUUAGAAGAUUUGCCUGUUAAGAUCGGAAAUGUUGAAGUCCCCACAGACUUCAUAGUGCUCGAAAUGGAUGAAGAUCCAAUAAACCCUUUAAUCUUCGGAAGGCCCUUCUUAGCUACAGCUAGAGCAGUCAUAGAUGUCAAGAAGGGGAAGAUUGAUCUUAAUCUUGGAAAAGAUUUUAAGAUGAAGUUUGACAUUAAUGAUGCUAUGAAGAAACACACUCUACAUGACCAGCAUUCAAUCACUGAGGACAGUGAAGUUCAGGAAGGGGAGGCUUCUAAACGGAUUGAAGUCUCAGUUAUUGAACUAAACCAUUCAGCUGAAUCCCGCCAUCAAACUCAGUCUGCCUUGGAAGAGAAAGCUGCUAUAAUCGAGAGAAUGGUAAAGCGAUUCAAGCCAAGUCCUUCACCUUCACUUGCUCUCCCAUGGACGUUCAGGAAAACUUGGAAAGACAAAUAUGAAUCUCUUGCAGAGAAACAGAUUGACGAGAUGGAAGCAGUGAUGCCAUUAAUAGAAGUCCUCAAGCUGAUUCCGGACCCUCAUAGAGAUGUGAGAAACUUGAUAUUGGAAAGGCUCAACAUAUAUCAAGAUUCAGGUGACAAAUAUGAUACCAAUCCAAUUCAAGCCACUGAUGAGAGGAUUAUUCAAGAAAAGUUGGAAGAUCCUGGAUCUUUCACUCUACCAUGCUCCAUUAGGCAAUUAACUUUCAGUAAUUGUCUAUGUGAUCUAGGAGCCUCAGUCAGCCUAAUGCCACUCUCUGUGGCAAUGAGGUUAGGAUUCGUCCAGUACAAGCCUUGUGACAUUACCUUGAUUCUUGCUGAUAGGACUACAAGGAGACCUUUUAGCCUGCUAGAGGAUGUGCCAAUGAUGAUUAAUGGAGUAGAGGUGCCUACUGAUUUUAUUGUGCUUGAGAUGGAUGAAGAAUCUAAGGAUCCUCUGAUCUUGGGACGACCUUUCUUGGCCUCAGUGGGAGCAGUAAUAGAUGUCAGAUAUGGUAAGAUUGAUCUCAACCUUGGGAAGCACAUCAGAUUGCAGUUUGACAUCAACAAAACUCCAACAAGGGAAACAACAGAGAGAAAGACCUUGGAGAUUCAGAGAGCAGUUCUAGGAGAAGGAUUUGAGGCCGCAAAAGUGAAGGAACCAGUUCUAGUCCAAACUCAACCUUCGAAUUCAAUCGCUCGAUCGAGUAUACCUUCAGUGCUUAAUUGGCGAGAGUUCAAAAAGAAGUCUGAUCUCCAAGAAAGAACCAUACAGGAGCUAGCCUACACCGUCAAAGAGCUUAGAAACAUAUUGAGUCGGGUUCAAAGGGAAGUUCAACCUCAGCCCAACGUUCACAUUGCUUCAAGAGAGGAUGCUGAGUAUAAUGAUAAGAUCGGUGAAGAAGAAGACUUCUUAAGUCUUCUCUGUCACACUUUCUCUGCGUAAUAUGUGUGAGGAGUCAAGCUAGAGACUUUAAACAAGCUCACUUGGGAGGAAGUCCCAUGAUUAUCUCUGUAAAUAAUUUUUCCUUUCUUGUUAUUUUUGAUUUGUUUUGGUUGUAUUUGUGGUUCUCAGGAAUGGAGAAACAAUCUGGAGAUAGAGUAAAAAUUCAAAAAUUUUACUCUACCAAGGACAUGGGGAUCGAGUAUAUCAGCCCAGUGGAGUCCAAAAAUUUGAAACUUUUUUGUUGCACCCGGAGACUCCGCCAUCGAGUAGGAGGGUCGAGUAUGUGUGUUUUUGCUCACAAAAAUUCUAAUUCAUCACCACAUACUCAAUCACAAGGAGAACUAGACGAUGAGAGUGUGCAACAGAGCACCCUACCAACGUGGAGAUCGAGUAUAAUGGUCAGUAUGGUGCAAUUUGAUUAUUUUGGAGCUGAAAUUUAGAAGGAGGAUCAAGAGUAAAACAAGCUCGGAGGUACAGUAAUCAACUCUAAUGAGUUGCGAUUUUGCUAAUGGUGGUUAAGGAGAUUCUCCACUUGAGUCAAUGGAGGCAUCCCAUCAUGUCUCCUACAUCCCAUUAUGUCUCCCACCAAGCUAAAGCCACCAACUUACCCACCUCUUUCCCACAUGUUUCUAAUGAGUGCUCCACUCCCCUCCACAUGAUUUCAAGCCUAAAGUCUCAUUCAUUCUCCUCCACAUCUUCAAGGACACACCACUCAUACCAUUCCCCUAUAAAUCCAACACUUCCAAGGAGAAAUAACCACACCAACUCAUCUCUCUCUCACUACAAAGCUCUACCACUCUCAGCUCACUUCUCUCUCUAAAAUCACCAAGGCAGCUCAACCGUCCGCCUUUCACUCACCUUUACUCGAUCACAAGCUCUCUCCCACCGCCAUUCACUCACCUCGUUUACUCGACCACGCUGUCCCAUAACCGCUUCCAUCAGCUACAUCUAAGGUUUACUCAAUCUUUUGUCUCACCCAAGACUUUAACUCUUUCUUCCAUCUUGUUUUUGGAUCGUUUGAACUCACUAACCUACUAAUUUGUAGUUUUGAGUUUGAUUCGUUCAGUUCGAAAAAUGAGUUCAUUCAAUGACCAGGUGAGCUACACUUCUAGCCAAGAUCACAAUUACAACGUUAAUGAGAACGAGUCAUGGUCUACAUCUCUUCCAGAAAGAGAAGGUCAUGAGUACUCUCGGCUCAGAGACGACAUCGCAAGAGGCAAGAAAACCAUGGAGGAGAUAUCCAGUUCGUUGAAGGACGUUGCAACGAAGCCUUGGAAGACAGACAAGAAAAAAAUCUCAAUGGAAGAGUACUGUGAGCUCUUCAGGCGGCAUAACUUCGUCGGGACUAGGUACCCGCAUCCAGGGACGAUGGUGGAGCUCGGUAUCUAUGACGAUAUCGAGUAUCUUUAUGAGCAAAGCAGUCUAUUCACCCUCAUGAACCGUCCCUACAGCGCUUACAAGGAGGAAACAAUCCAGUUUCUCUCCUCCUUCCAAGUUGAGAUCUUUUCUGAGAAGAAGAAGAAGAGAGAAAGAGAGUACGGGCUCGGCUACUUGACCUUCACCAUCCAUGGCCAAGAGUACAUCUUCCCCCUGAAGCAGCUGGAAUCUCUCUUCGAGUUUAAGAGCGGAGUAGGCACUGGCCACCGUGUUGCCAGAAAAGAGUUAAUUGGACUCUGGGAGACAAUUGGAGAUGACGUCAAGUUCUUCUCUUCCCGCUCCAAGAGCAACACCAUCAGGAGCCCAGUCCUCCGCUACUUCCACCGCAGCCUCGCCAGUGUCCUCUUUGCAAGGGAGAUAACUGGUACGAUCGUCAACGGGGAGAUGGAAGUGAUGGUGAUGGCACUGCAGGAAACCCUGGGCGAAACCAAAAAUAAUACCGUGUUGGUAGGUGACAAGUCAACCUCUUCUACUGUUUUCUUCUUACUCGGCCACCUAUGGAGCUACAGAUCAUGGGCGGUGACGAAUGCCAAGAAAACUGCUAAAGGAAAAUUGUGUAUGGGUGGGCUGAUAACACCUAUAUUGUUAGCAUGUGGAGUGCCUUUAGAGUCAGAAGAAGUCCUUCCUAAGUGGGUUGACAUCGAAUACUUGAGGAAGACCACGUCAUUGGAUUGGGAGAUGCUGGAUGGAAGGUAUGCCUGGAUAUUUGAUCUUCCGGAAGCAGAAGGGGCGAGAUUUCUCCUCCCUCACCAGGCAUUCACCACGAUCACGGAGAGAAGCAAUAUUGAUUUCAAACCACCUGUUCAGAUGCUCUAUGGCGUGAACGAACUUGUUUAACCUACUGAAGAAGAAGGAACCAAUGCUGGAGAAAAUGAAGCUGCUGAAGAAGAAGAGGACCUGGAUAUAGAGGAAUAUAACACCAGGAGGUUCCAUUUUGCUGAACACAUAUCGCCAUCAAGACAGAGCAAGAGCCUCAAUGAGAGUCAUGAGAAGAUCAGCAAGCUCCAAGCCUGGUGCAAGUUCCAAGACAAGUUCAUUGGUAAAUGCUUCAAGAUGUACAAAUCCAUGCAGAAGAAGUUGAAUCGCUCCUCUACUAGCACUUUUGCUCCAAGAGUAGACCCUCCUGAAGAGAUACCCUCCAGACGCUAUGAUUCAGAUGCACCAAGGGACUCAACCUAUGAACCGGUUCAAGACGUCUACACAAGGGAGAAGAAGGAAGCAAGCACUGGUUCACUCAGGUAGCAAGGCGAGGCUCCUCAACGCCAGGCGACCACUAAACCGCCGCACUGACCGCCAAGCCGACCCUGUGAUCGAGUAUCCUGCACCAGAGGGGGAAGAGCAACAACAAGGACCCAGCAUUCCAUGGGAAUACACCAGAGAGGAGAUGGACGACUACAUCUCCAGGACCUUCAACUGAGGUACCACACCCAACCAUCAUUGUAAAUACCAUUUUCUGUUUUUGAUUUUAUAGUGUCUCUCUUGAAAUCUCCUUCAGAUUUUUACUACACAAGGGACUGUGUAGUUUAAGUUUGGGGGAGAAUUCAAGACGUAUUUAACAUGUUUUCUUUGAGUUUUGUUUUCAAAUUUUGCAUUUCACACUUGAGUCAGCAUUCAUCUAAAGCAUAGAAAAAACCAAAAAAAUUUGAAAAUUUUCUGAAAAUGUAUUCCACAAAAACAGAGUGUUCAUCUAGUUGCAUCACAUUUAGGAUCGAGUCUAGUAUUUUUCAUAUAGGAUUGUUGCAUAUGCAUAGGGGAUUAUGAUGAAAUAGCCUUGUAAGCAUGUUGGUUCAGUAGAUAGACUCAAUGCCCUCGUUGCUAGUUGGCUGAUGCGUAGUCAAUGAAAUUGAAGUAAAACUGCACCAUGUCUUGAAUGCUCUACUCGAUCACACUGUCAUGAUUUGAUACCAUUCCCUAUCAAUUUGAACCCGAAUCUGAUUUACAAUUAUCAUGUCUUAGCAUCAAAUUUGAACUCAUGGAUACCAUAUACAUACUUGGGUUUUCUUUCAACUUUUCACCAUCCUUGCUAACCCAAGUAGCUGCUUCCAUCAUAGGAGCAGUUUCCCUAGUCCUUAACCAAACCUUUCUUUUAAAAGCCCUGUAAUAUCUCGUGUGUGACUGUGAGGGCUGAUUCAGGAUUGAGCUUGGUAGAAAGUGUUAGGUUUGAACCGACAAGAGUAGUGUCUCAUGUAGUUCUAGUUCACGUUUUCUGGACUAGAUAGGACUAGGUGGGAGUCUAUUUUUGGGUGGGGGUUGAGUAUAUGAGUAAAAGAAGGAAAAGGUUGAUGUUUUUAGGAGAAGGAAGUUGAGAAACAAGUUACUCUAGUAAUGGGUUUUGAGGAACUAAAAGUCGAAUCGAUAGGCUCUGUAACAAAAGAAAGCAAAGAUUUAGAAAAGUCUUUAUCAUAAGAAGAUAACAAGAUGUGAGACCCCGUCCUGGACGUCUCGGCGUCCGGCGACCAUGGUCACACGUUCGUGCCUCUUCCCGGCCGAACCUCCAUAUUUUUCGCGAUUUAACAUAGAAUUGCCUUUACGAGGCUUACUUCUGUAAUCGCUUUCUUAGUACCCAGCGGAAGUAUUUCUACCCUUGGUUUAAUUCCAACCAAACCUUGUACCGGUUUGAUCAUCUUUGUCCCUUAGACUUUAGAUCGAUCGUUAACUCGGCCAAGUCAUGCAAUUUGUUCGUUAACCAUUCUAAGUCUAACGAUUGCAUAUUCUUUGUAUCCCUAAUCCAACGGCCAAUUCCCAAACGUCUAUCUUAACUAAUAAGUUAGAUGUGUUUACAUACCUUGGCCUACAUGCGGAUUUGAUUCCUCUUCGAUCCGUCUAUUGAUCCUUCUCUUAGCCCUCUCGUCGCCUUAUUCCAUUCGUACAACGAUUCUUAACCAAUCGUGUAUUGAUGGACCAAUCUCUAUCGUUACUUAGCCAUUCAUCCAACCAACCCCACUGGUCUAAGUCCCUACGAUAGAGAUUGGGGAUCGUACGUUUUUCUUGGUUCAUGGUGGCCGAAUCAAGCUCUUGGCUCAUUGGUCCAUCUAUCCUCCAAACGUACGCCCCUUCGGUUUCAUGGUGGACGAUCAAGCCCUCGGCUUAUCAAACCAUCCAUGUUUCCGAUCCGGUCGUUUAUCACUACGACCGCCCACGGUCUACUAACCGUUUACCCAUCCUGUCCAUGGUGGUAAUAACGCCUUCGGUUUACCGAUCCAUCCAUGCGAUCCGAACACUAUCAUUAUCAUACCCAAGGGUCCGUGGAUUCACCCAUCGGAUUAUCGUAGGCUAGCCCAUGAAAUCAUUCGUCCGUCGGCCUUUGGUUUGCUCGUGGGUCCAACAUCCGUUUUGUCCACUGGUUCUCACCGUGGACUUUCCCGUUGGUUAUCCGUCGAGUUACCAUUGGUGUUACCGAUUCCUAAUCGGUUUCACCAUUGGCCAUGGCGAUUGAUACAUGAAGGCGGCCGCGAUAUUAGAUCCUUACAUGGUGAACCACGUCACAUACCCAUUCUCGGUGCUUACUCCCUUUACCGGUGAGAUUGCAUCCAUGGGCGACCCUUGGGUGUGUUCGGUUGCACUUAUCCUCGUGCUUCUUCGAACACCUUUCCCUUAUACGCCUUCCCGAUUAACUUCCCGUUAACCAUAUCAUCUAUCGGACUAUCUUUGGAUUCGUCAAUACUUCCAUAUUGACAAUCUUAGAUUUGCCGAUCCAUUUCCUUUUCGUGUCCUUCCCUCGACGAUAUGAUUCAUAGAACGGACGAUCCAUCGACCCCAUAAUCGAGCUAUCGACCCGAACCAUCAAUCAAGUCGUCGAACCCUUCGGCGGUUCCCAUCGAAUCCUCGAUCAUGUAAUCCGCCAUGUUCCCUCGACAAGAUCUCCGAUACGUACCAUCGGUCAUCCCGCCGAUCGGUACGAUCGAUCAAUCCGCCGAUCUAAACCUUGAUCCGUUUAUCUGAUCGUACACCUAUCCGGUCAUACGUCGAUCCGACUUGUUGACACGACAAUCGAUCCGCCUAUCCCGGUCGGUCGAUCCGUCUGUGCGACGGUCUAUCCAGAUCCGUCUUCUUCUCCGAUCCGAUCCAUCCGUACGACGAUCAGUUUGUCCGAUCCGAUCCGUCUCUAAGACAAUCGGUCCAUCCCAUCCAUCCCUCAAUACAUUCUAUCGAACCGUUGGAUCGGGAGGUAGCAUGCGCAUCAGUUUGGUCGAGGCUCCGAGAAUCCAUUCCGAUUCCGGAGAUACUCGCCGAGCCGCACCCCCUUUCCGACCAACACUUCGUAGAGUGUUUUGGGACCCCGUUUGGGUUGUGAUGGUGAUUGUGAAGUGUAUGUGGAUGAUCCUAAAGCCCUUGGACGUCCUCCCUUAUAUAGGGGCCGAAUGGGUGUGUUUCCGAAACAUCACCUCCGUUCAUUACACCCUUCCGGAAGAUUGCGUCUUUCCGGUCGUAACCGUUUGCCUUAUCCACCCUUUGGCCAACGGUAACCAUUCGUCGGUAACCGCUCAACCUUACACCUCUUCAUCCCGAGCUACCACAGUCCACCAGCUCGAGUGUUAGCUGACCGGACCACCCAGCUAGGUCAGUACUCGAUCAGUUCACCGAGCUCGGUUGAGCUGUCGGUCAGCUCACCCAGCUGAGCUAGCUAGUCCUCCAGCUGGUUUAGCUCACCUAGCUGAGAUAGCUAGUUCGUCCAGCUUGUCCAGCUCACCUAGCUGGAUUAACUCGGACUCUUUUGUCCGUUCUUUCCGGCUAAGUCUUUCGGUCCGUUUCUCGGCCUUGACUUCGCCAUUCCUAAUCUUUUCAAGAUCAUUUCUCCAUGAUCACUAGAUUAUCCCGAAAUCGUCUAAGUCAUCUACCCCUUUCAUGACUUAAACGUUUCAUUCCUUCCUUGGGUUAACUUAUUCAUUGGUCUUUCUCGACCAUGAUCUAGUUUUCCCUAAAACAAACCGGCCCCCUUUAGGAUCGCGGGACGCGGGUGUUACACAAGAGCCAUAGUUGUCAAAGAAAAACCAAACCCACUAGAUCCAUCGAGUAAAAGAAAACUUCUCCUUAAAACAGAGUCAGAGAAAAAGAAAGAGUGAUAUGAUCAAAGAUAAAAAUGAGAAAAAAUGCCUUGAAUGCAAAGGGUAGAACUAGGAUCAUCAUCUGAGCUUGAGGGUAGUACCAUCUGCUGGUGUAAACACGGUUUAUGUUAUUGGGUAGAUGAGAUACUAUUCUUGUAUGCAUAGGUUGGGUCUUACCGUUAGCAUUCUCCUAAAGCUCAGUCCAAUUUUUUUGAGAGUCCCCUGUUACUAAACUUGAACCACCUUAAAGGGACUAUCUUUGUCUCCUGACCUUCACCUUAAGCCAAAUGAGUUCAUUGAUGGUGCAUUGCUUGAUUCACGUUCUGAAACUAAUGAAUGUUAAAGGGAUUGGUCGAUUUGAAAGCAUGUGUAGGUCGAGUAUAAGAGUCGGAUUAAACUAUAACAAGGCAUGGCUAACGUUUUUGAGUAUAGAUCAAUCAUAUCGCAUCCUAGAACUACCAACUUGGACCUUGAUUUUAUCUAUUUUACCAUAUGCUUUGGUUCUGAAUCCCCACCUUCAAACCUCUCCUUCAUCUUAUGCUUACUUGUUUGCUUGAGGGCAAGCAAAGACUAAGUUUGGGGGAGUUGAUAUGUCUAUAAUUUGCAUGUUUUAUACAUCCAUUUAUCACCAUUUUGAGUCUAGUUUCGUUCAUCUUUCAUAGCAUUCAUCAUCAUUUCGCAUAAUUUGCAUAUUUAAGUGUGUCUAGCAUUAGUCUUGCAUGCAUUUUGCAUUCUGGAGUUGUUUCAGGUGUUUCGGAGCUAUUGGUGUUAAGAAAGAGGAAAAAUAGAGCUGAAAGUCACAUUUGGACCAUUCUACUCGAUCACCAGUAGCAAAGAGGGAAGCAGUCAGCUCAGCAGACCAUCAGGACCCUUCUAUUCGAUCGCAGAGGAAGAGGAGCAGUCCAUCCUGCCAGUUCACAGUUCUACUCGAUCACAGAGGAAGAGGAGCAGUCCAUCCUGACAGUCUACCCACAUACUCGAUCGCAAGGUUAAAGAAGCAGUCCAGAUCAGUCCGUCAACCAACCUACUCGAACACAGGAGAGAAGAAGCAGUCCAGAUCCUGCCACCAACCAUUCUACUCGAUCACCACCUCGACCCUCUGAUCAAUCUGCACUCAACCAAACAACCUGAGCAAAGGAAAGAGAAGAGGAGAGAAGGAACCACUUGAUUGCGGGUUUCGAUUCACGCUCGACCAUGAAGCCCACUUUGAGCCCAUAUACUCGACCGCAACGUUCCAUGGGCCUGUUAAGCGGACUCGAAGCCCACUUACUUAUCCUUGUCGAUUUUGCUAUAAAUAAGUCUCUAAGGGUUUCCCCUGAGAUAUCGAUUUUUCAUUCUCUUUUCAAUUACGUUUUAGACUCGCAACCUAGUUUCGUUCAGUAGCCGCUUUUGCUUCUGAAACUCUGUAUUUUCGUUUCUUCUAAGUUAUUGAGAUUUCGCUUUUGUUUCCUUGUUCAUUUCUGUUUUAUUUCCUUUAAUCUUAGAAGUUAUGCAAUCUUCAAUCGUUUCUGUGUCUUUGAGCAUUUUGUUUGAGUAGUGACUAGGAUUUCUGAGGAUGGGAUAGAGUAGUUGUUAGACCCAUGGUCGAUUCUGAUGGUUAAGUGUAGUUUUAUUGAAUCCCUUCUGGAUUAGUUGUGUUUACUGCUUAUUUCUUUCUGAUCAACUGGAAUUCGAUCAAAAGCAUUCCCGCACCCAAAAGGUGUUCGAUGGAAUGCUUGAUCUACUAAUUCCAGUGAUAAUCGUCUCUAUCCCAAGGGAUUGGCCGUUUAGAGCGGUUAUUGACUUUAACAGUCGGUUCUUAUUGCCUGCAUAGUUAGAUUCCGUUAAUGGGAAUUAGUUUGGGCUAGCUUUGCUUGAGGAUUUGUUGCACGGGAGUGAAUAAGUCUGUUGUUGAACCUGUUGUCCAGGGAUAGCUUCAUUGAGAAUUGUUAACCAUCUGAAUUGAUUAUGGAGUCCACACUAUUCGAUUACCCCAUCCUUAGGAGUUUCUUAUCCAAUUGAUUUAUCUGUCUACUUACUUGCUUCUACUUUGUUACCUGCUGUUCAAGUUUUUAACAAUUUAACUCUGUGACACUGGUUUACUCGAUCGCAGCCUCCCUUCUGGCAGUGAGCCUUGUGAUCGAGUAUAGCAGUCCAUUUCUGCAAAUUCACUGUUUUCUGCAUCAAUCACUAGAACUGUUAGAAAAACAACCAAUUCAUGCUUGGCUUGACUUAGUGCUUUCUGAUCAUAUCUUAUUUGUUUGCAUCACACCUGAUUGGAUUGAUACCUAAAAUACUACAACGACAGGAUAGUGUUUUAGGAUAAUUGAUCGUAAAAUCCUAUUAUCACUCCUCUGUAGAGAGUGCUCAGGAGUGAGGCUUUGGAGAAACCGUGGUGAGGACAUUGAUUCUGAUAUCCUCUGAAACGCUCCCAUGCUUCACGGAAAGUCUCAGCAUUCUUCUGAGUGAAGCCAGAAAUCUCAUUCCGGAGUCUUGCAGUCCUGGAGUUGGAGAAGAAUUUAGUCAGGAAGGCUUUCUUGCAAUCAUUCCAGGAGGUGGUGGAGCCUUGAGGAAGUGAUUUUUCCCACUGGUGAGCUUUGUCUCCAAGAGAAAAUGGAAACAAACGCAACUUGAAGCCAUCCUCACUGACUCCAUUGAUCUUAGUUAGGCUGCUUAGCCUAUCAAACUCGUCCAGAUGAUCGAGUGGAUCCUCCAUAGGGAGGCCGUGAAAUUUAUUUCCCUGAACCAUGGAAAUGAGACCACUCUUGAUCUCGAAGUUAUUGUUCUGCUCUGGUGGAGGCACAAUGCCAUUGCGCUGAUUGUCAUUGCAUGGAGCAUCGCCUGCACCAAUGUUGUUUGGCAAUUCUGCGUUCUGAUCGUCGGCCAUAAUAUCUGUGCCUGUCUGUUCUCUCAACUCACGAGCAAUACGGUCGAUGUUCUCGUUGAAAAGCAGGUUCUGAUGUCCUUUAGAUCGAGUAUGCAUGCAACAGGUAAUAGCUCAACUUGAGCAGAGUAAUCAGAGAUAGUACCUGAAACACACAAACAUAGAGAAAGACACAGCGUUAGUAACCUUGUAAAAAAAACGAACUUGAUCUUAACGUUUCAAAAAAUCUCAAAUAUAGCAAAGAUAACACCCAAAUGGCAACGGCGCCAAAUUGAUAAUAGGGUUUUUACGAUCAAUUAUCCUAAAACACUAUCCUGUCGUUGUAGUAUUUUAGGUGUCAAUCCAAUCAGGUGUGAUGCAAACAAAUGAGAUAUGAUCAGAAAGCACUAAGUCAAGCCAAGCAUGAAUUGGUUGUUUUCCUAACAGUCCUAGUGAUUGGUACAGAAAGUAGUAAAAAGACACAAAAAUGACUAAUAUACUCUAUCACAAGGCUCACUGCCAGAAGGAGGAUGUGAUAGAGUAAAAGGGUCCAAAAACAGACAAUUAUCAAAACUCAAUAGCAAGUAACAGAGAAGGUGAAUGCAGCAGGUAAGUAAACAGAUAAAUCAAUUGGAUAAGAAACUCCUAAGGAUGGGGUAAUCGAAUAGUGUGGACUCCAUAAUCAAUUUCGAUGGUUAACAAUUCUCAAUGAAGCUAUCCCUAGACAACAGGUUCAACAACAGAUUUAUUCACUCCCGUGCAACAAAUCCUCAAGCAAAGCUAGCCCAGACUAAUUCCCAUUAACGGAAUCUAACUAUGCAGGCAAUAAGAACCGACUGUUAAAGUCAAUAACCGCUCUAAACGGCCAAUCCCUUGGGAUAGAGACGAUUAUCACUGGAAUUAGUAGAUCAAGCAUUCCAUCGAACACCUUUUGGGUGCGGGAAUGCUUCCGAUCGAAUUCCAGUUGAUCAGAAAGGAAUAAGCAGUAAACACAACUAAUCCAGAAGGGAUUCAAUAAAACUACACUUAACCAUCAGAAUCGACCAUGGGUCUCACAACUACUCUAUCCCAUCCUCAAAAAUCCUAGUCACUACUCAGACAACAUGCUCAAAGACACGAAAACGAUUGAUGAUUGCAUAACUUCUAAGAUUAGAGGAAAUAAAACAGAAACGAACAAGGAAACGAAAGCGAAAUCUCAAUAACUUAGAAGAAACAAAAAUACAGAGUUUCAUAAGCAAAAGCGGCUACUGAACGAAACUAGGUUGCGAGUCUAAAACGUAAUUGAAAAGAGAAUGAAAAAUCGAUAUCUCAGGGGAAACCCUUAGAGACUUAUUUAUAGCAAAAUCGAAAAGGAUAAGUAAGUGGGCUUCGAGUCCGCUUAACAGGCCCAUGGAACGUUGUGGUCGAGUAUAUGGGCUCAAAGUGGGCUUCAUGGUCGAGCGUGAAUCGAAACCCGCGAUCAAGUGGUUCCUUCUCUCCUCUUCUCUUUCCUUUGCUCAGGUUGUUUGGUUGAGUACGGAUUGAUCAGAGGGUCGAGGUGGUGAUCGAGUAGAAUGGUUGGUGGCAGGAUCUGGACUGCUUCUUCUCUCCUGUGAUCGAGUAGGUUGGUUGACGGACUGAUCUGGACUGCUUCUUUAACCCUGCGAUCGAGUAUGUGGGUAGACUGUCAGGAUGGACUGCUCCUCUUCCUCUGUGAUCGAGUAGAACUGUGGUGAAGAACUCUAUAGAUUAAUCCUAACAGGUAAUCGAUUUACUAAUUCAUCUAAAUCCCUAAUGAGAAUCCCUAACCUAACAAGAAAACUACUCAAUCAUGGAGAUUGAAACAAACAACAUGAUUGAAGUAGAAAUCAAUAAUGAAUAUAACAAGAAAAUAGGGUUUAGAAAGAUCUUCUCUAAAGGGAGUCUCCACAGGGUUUUGCUCCCAAAUACAAAAGAGAAAAGGAGAAUAGUCUCUCCAAGCUUAGGUCUAAACAAUGAUCUUAAAAUUAUAUAUAUAAGAGCAUCUCCAACCCACCUCUAUAUUUGCUUCUAAACUCUAUUUUAGAGGCAAAUUUACUUCAACCAACCUCUAUUCUCACCUCUAAAAUAGAGAUCUCUAUUUUUUUCUCUAUAUAUAGAGGUGAGAAUAGAGAAUCUCUAUUUUUCCCUCUAUAAAUAGAGUUAAACUUUUUAGAGGAAAAAAAUAGAGGAACACAUUGGAGUAAAAAUAGAGAAAACUUACCUCUAUUAUAGAGAUAGAGAUAAAAAUAGGGAAAUACAUUGGAGAUGGUCUAAGUCUUAAAAACGUGUUGGGCCUUCUUUAAAACUAAGAGAAAGUUCUGGACCGAAUCUGCAAAUCUUCAUAACUUCAAUAAGUUGCGUUUUUGAAUUACCGUCAGCUCUUGGUGUCGACCGACACCAGGGGUGGUGUCGAUCGACACCUACACGUAUUUUCGUCUCCAGAUUUCUUUUGCAGCAUAAAUUCUCUGUUUUCCUCCAGAAUGCUCCAUUAUCUCCAAAUGAAUCCCAAACGUGUAGAAACCUGAAAAGACUUAAAAAGACACUAGAAAUAACAAAAAGACUCUAAAAACAAUACAUAUAUCACUGUUAAAACCGGUAAAAAUCGAGGUAUAUCAACUCCCCCAGACUUAGCUUUUGCUUGCCCUCAAACAAAACACAAAAACCAAACCUGUGGAAGAAGUUUGAAAACAUAGAAACUCCCAAUUUCUCUAGCCUAUUACCUUGAUUAUCCAAACCAAAUCCAAAUGCCUAGCAGAUCGCAUCAAAUCCUAACCACCAUGUAAUUCUCCGCAAGCAUUCUCAACAUUCUAAAUUCUAAACCAAAUUCCACAACUAUAUCAUAUAGCCCUCAUUGCAUAAAUUUCCUCAAUAAAAUCAGUACUCAAGAACUGAUAAUAGGAUUUUACGAUCAAUUAUCCUAAAACACUAUCCUGUCGUUGUAGUAUUUUAGGUGUCAAUCCAAUCAGGUGUGAUGCAAAUAAAUGAGAUAUGAUCAGAAAGCACUAAGUCAAGCCAAGCAUGAAUUGGUUGUUUUUCUAACAGUUCUAGUGAUUGAUGUAGAAAACAGUAAAUUUGCAGAAAUGGACUGCUAUACUCGAUCACAAGGCUCACUGCCAGAAGGGAGGCUGUGAUCAAGUAAACCAGUGGUCACAGAGUAAAAUAGUUAAAAACUUAAACAGCAGGUAACCAGCAGAAGCAAGUAAGUAGACAGAUAAAUCAAUUGGAUAAGAAACUCCUAAGGAUGGGGUAAUUGAAUAGUGUGGACUCCAUAAUCAAUUCAGAUGGUUAACAAUUCUCAAUGAAGCUAUCCCUAGACAACAGGUUCAAUAACAGACUUAUUCACUCCCGUGCAACAAAUCCUCAAGCAAAGCUAGCCGAGACUAAUUCCCAUUAACGGAAUCUAACUAUGCAGGUAAUAAGAACCGACUGUUAAAGUCAAUAACCUCUCUAAACGGCCAAUCCCUUGGGAUAGAGACGAUUAUCACUAGAAUUAGUAGAUCAAGCAUUCCAUCGAACACCUUCUGGGUGCGGGAAUGCUUUUGAUCGAAUUCCAGUUGAUCAGAAAGGAAUAAGCUGUAAACACAACUAAUCCAGAAGGGAUUCAAUAAAACUACACUUAACCAUCAGAAUCGACUAAGGGUCUCACAUCUAUUCUAUCCCAUCAUCAGAAAUCCUAGUCACUACUCAGACAUCAUGCUCAAAGCCACAUAAACGAUUGAUGGUUGCAUAACUUCAAAGAUUAAAGGAAAUGAACAAGGAAAUGAAAGCAAAAUCUCAAUAACUUAGAAGAAAUGAAAAUACAAAGUUGCAGAAGCAAAAGCGGCUACUAAAACAAUACUAGGAUUCGAGACUAAAAACGUGAAUGAAAAAAUGAAAAAUAAGUGAAUGUCUCAGGGGAAACCCUUAGAGACUUAUUUAUAGUAAAAUCGACAAAGUUAAGUAAGUGGGCUUCGAGUCCGCUUAAAAGGCCCAUCGGAACGUGGAGGUCGAGUAUAUGGGCUCAAAGUGGGCUUCAUGGUCGAGCGUGAAUCGAAGCCGCGAUCAAGUGGUUCCUUCUCUCCUCUUCUCUUUCCUAUGCUCAGGUUGUCUGGUUGAGUGCGGAUUGAUCAGAGGGUCAAGGUGGUGAUCGAGUAGAAUGGUUGAUGGCAUGAUCUCGACUGCUUCUUCUCUCUUGUGAUCGAGUAUGUGGGUUGACUGUCAAGAUGGACUGCUCCUCUUCCUCUGUGAUCGAGUAGAACUGUGAACUGGCAGGUUGGACUGCUCCUCUUCCUCUGCGAUCGAGUAGAAGGGUGAACUGGCAGGAUGGACUACUCCUCUUCCUCUGCGAUCGAGUAGAAGGGUCCUGAUGGUCUGCUGAGCUGACUGCUUCCCUCUCUGCUACUGGUGAUCGAGUAGAAUGGUCCAAAUGUGAUUUUCAGCUCUAUUUUUCCUCUUUCUGAACACCAAUAGCUCUGAAACACCUGAAACAACUCCAAAAUGCAAAAUGUAUGUAAGACUAAUGCUAGACACACUUAAACAUGCAAAAUGUGCGAAAUGAUGAUGAAUGCUGUGGAAGAUGAAUGAAACUAGACUCAAAAUGGUGAUAAAUGGAUGUGUAAAACAUGCAAAUUAUAGACAUAUCAAAAAUCCAACUCUCCUUAUAUAGAAAAAAUAUGUAAGGGCACUCACUCGAGUAUUUAUUGAAAAAGAAAGUUAAGCAUCAAUCUAUUGAUCUGACUGUUAUGACCUCUCGAUUUUUGUGUACAUGCAGAAACAAGACCUACGAAAUAUAGGUUAUUCAAGUAUCACUUAACACCUAGUAGGCGAACUUAAUUUCGAACUCGAAAUUCGAAGACAAUCAAUAAAUGGUAUCACACCUUUUUAUCUCCUAGGUAAAGCAAACAUUUCUCAAUAGAGAUUUCCCUAAUCGAACACAUUUGAAGUAUCGCAAAGUUUUCUUGUAAGCCGAGCUCUAACCUUGCAACCGAGAGACCGAGGAAAUAUUCCAAUGUUUUUUCUUUAAAAAAGGCAAGUAGGUCUGAUCAGCCUAUCUCUCCUAUAAUCCUGAACCACUUCGAUUAGGAGGACUUUGCAAAGCCUCCAGGUAAAAUCGAUGGUUUCCACCAAGAUUAAAUAUUUCUUCUUAAAGAAAUUUUAAUCGAAAACCCCCUUGGGCAAAUUAUUCAAAACAGUAAUAGAAGCCCCCUUGGGCAGAAAAUUUGGAAAAGAAACAAACGGCCCCAUGGCCAACAAAGCGAAUGUCAUGUCUUUAAAUUAAAGGGACAAUCCCCACAUAAGGUGAAUGCAAUCACCAUCAUUCAUUCACAGGUGAACCGCCUUCUUCUAUUACUUGACUUGAGACAAGAGCACCCCCAACGUCAUCGUCUUGAGUCGCGAGAACCACUUCAGGGUUAAGCGAGCUAGCAUCGUGAGGAGUUUCGUUCCUCGAUUCAACAUCGUCUCCCAUAAUCGAGGAGAUGACAAGCCCCUGAUCAGAGAGCCCCUGAGCUCGCCCCGAGGAGAUUCUGUCAACAUUGGUUCCGAACUCAUUAAAAUGAGCGCGAGGAGAACCUGUUAACACCAUCUCGUCCAAAGACGAACUAAUGUUUGGUUCGGUCAAUGGAGGGGAAUCAGCGAAUUCAGAAGCAAACUGCUGCAAAUUCAAAUAUGGCUGAGGAGCGGUAUUUAGCUUAGCUACACUCUCAGCUAGCUCAGCACCAACCGUCUCUUUCUCUUAUGCCAAAUUGACUUUUCCGUACUCUAUCUCUUUGAUCAAAUCGAGAUUGCUUUUCAUUUCAUCGCGUUCGGAGUUAAGCUUGUUCCAAGCAUUGUCUGCAGCGAUAAAUUCCUGCACAGCAAGAAGAAACUUUUGCCCAGCUCCCUUAACCUCCUUCCGAACAUCAUGAGAUAUUUUGCGAACAUCGCGAUCUUUCAGUUCGGAAAGAGACUCAUUUUUGCGUUCGAGCUCCUCAGCAGCUGCUUUAACCUUGUUAAGCUCUGAUCUCAGAAGCUCAAUCUCGCCUUUUGAGAAGUUAUGAUCAGCAAAGGCAGUUUCUAGCUUUUACUCUGUCUCAAUCAAAUUAUUCCUUGUCUCCUCGUCGGAUCUUUCGAGUCUCUCUAUCUCUUCCCAGUGAGCCGAGUCGAGGCCAGCAGAUUUCUGCACAAGCCGACUGGAAGAUUGCAGUUUUUCAAUCUCUCCUUCAGCGGCAGCAACUUUCUUGGAAACUUUGGCGAGCUCCUCUUCGUAAAAGUUGACAAUGCCAUUCACAUCCAAAGUUGCCUAAUAAAAGAAGUUUCAUCUUUUAAAAAAUAUAUAUAUAUAUUUUCUUUCAAAAUCGGCUGUUUAAGGAUGCAAACAAUCAAACCUGGGAAGAAUGAAAUGAAUGACUGAUGUACAUCUUCUUGAUAUCAGGCUUCCACCAAUCAAAGGAUGGAAGCUUCUUCCCAACACGGGUGUGGAAGCACCUACACAUAUUCCCGAUCUUCUCUUUAUCUGGAAUAAAGUUAGUUGUGUGAGAAUUGAGUUUUCUUUAAAGAAAGAAUCUAUUAAUCUCAAACAACAAAAUGAUAGUUAAAGGUUACCGGCUUGAGACGAAGCUCUGGCAACCAGUCCUGAGUUCGGAGAUGAUCAAACCCUAGAGGUAUUGCCUCGGGGGCGUCUAGGGGGUAGCAUCCCUGAACCCAGCGGUUCCUUCAAAACAGUUCCUGAAUCAGGAUUUGCAUCCUGAGCUUCAGCAGGUUCAGGAAUUGGCAGUUUCGAAGGAGCGGCUCUGCCCUUCCUUGUGCUCUUGGGACGUCCCUGGGGCAGGGGUCCAAGUUCCUCGGCCUUCCUCUUCUUCAUAAGAGAAGUGUCACUUGCAAGGCCUUCCUCCUCAACGAUUGCAGCGAACAUGUUGUCUGCUGCUGGGAUGGAGGGAGAAGCAUUGUUCACAGCAACCGCCAUUGACUUUGAACCUUCGAGAGAUCCAUCGUCAACCAGGAGAGUUUUCCGGUAGACCUUGUCGUCUCCGGUGGAAGUUGCAUUUUUCUUGUCUCUCCCAACUAGAGAAAUCUGAUCUUUGAUCUUCUUGUUUACUUCUUUGAUCUUUCUCCUAUCUCGGGCAUUCAGACUCGAGAUAUCAAUCCCAGCAGGAGGAGGGUCGACGGGGUUAGUAAGGCCUAUUCUGACAGAAAAUCCGGCACAGUGAAUCCUUUCCAAAUUAAUGGAAUUCCAAUUAACUGGCCUCUCCAAGACAGCCUUGUAGAAGUUGAGAAAAUCGAUGGAUGGGACCGGUCGAAUUUGGGGACCUGCGAGAAAACAAGGAAAUGUUAAAACGCAGUUUGAAAUAACAUAGGAAAUUUAUUUAGUUAAGUCCUAGUUUCUACCCAAAUUCAAUGACCAGUGGACUCGAAGGAGUUCAGAAGAGCUCUGAAUAGAAAAAUUAUUUAUGCGGAAGAAGAACCAAAACUUCCUCCAGGCGUUGUCCUUUAAGGGCAGGCUGUCAAUAAGAUUCCGAUCCGCGAUCGGAUAAAGGGCAUAAUACCCAGAAGUUCGGGAUUCGCGAGCCUGGAAAAGUUCCAAGAGGUCGCAAAGUCCCAACGAAUAGCCAGCCUCCGCCGCAACAGUAAAGGUACACAAAAGAUACCGGAGAAUGUUGGGCGACAUCUGAGAGAAGGCAAUUCCCAGAUGGUUGAGGUAGGUGAGAAGUAUCUCGGGAAGGGGAAAGAAUAAGCCGCACCCUCUGGACUGCUUCUUCAACCCUGCGAUCGAGUAUGUGGGUUGACUGUUAGGAUGGACUGCUCCUCUUCCUCUGUGAUCGAGUAGAACUGUGAACUGGCAGGAUGGACUGCUCCUCUUCCUUUGCGAUCGAGUAGAAGGGUGAACUGGCAGGAUGGACUGCUCCUCUUCCUCUGCGAUCGAGUAGAAGGGUCCUGAUGGUCUGCUGAGCUGACUGCUUCCCUCUCUGCUACUAGUAAUCGAGUAGAAUGGUCCAAAUGUGAUUUUCAGCUCUAUUUUUCCUCUUUCUGAACACCAAUAGCUCCGAAACACCUGAAACAACUCCAGAAUGCAAAAUGUAUGUAAGACUAAUGCUAUACACACUUAAACAUGCAAAAUGUGCGAAAUGAUGAUGAAUGCUGUGGAAGAUGAAUGAAAAUAGACUCAAAAUGGCGAUAAAUGGAUGUGUAAAACAUGCAAAUUAUAGACAUAUCAAAAAUCUAACUCUCCUUAUAUAGAAAAAAUAUGUAACGGCACUCACUCGAGUAUUUAUUGAAAAAGAAAGUUAAACGCCAAUCUAUUGAUCUGACUGUUAUGACCUCUCGAUUUUCGUGUACAUGCACAAACAAGACCUACGAAAUAUAGGUUAUUCAAGUAUCACUUAACACCUAGUAGGCGAACUUAAUUUCGAACUCGAAAUUCGAAGACAAUCAAUAAAUGGUAUCACACCUUUUUAUCUCCUAGGGAAAGCAAACAGUUCUCACUAGAGAUUUCCCUAAUCGAACACAUUUGAAGUAUCGCAAAGUUUUCUUGUAAGCCGAGCUCUAACCUUGCAACCGAGAGACCGAGGAAAUAUUCCAAUGUUUUUUCUUUAAAAAAGGCAAGUAGGUCUGAUCAGCAUAUCUCUCCUAUAUUCCUGAACCACUUCGAUUAGGAGGACUUUGCAAAGCCUCCAGGUAAAAUCGAUGGUUUCCACCAAGAUUAAAUAUUUCUUCCUAAAGAAAUUUUAAUCGAAAACCCCCUUGGGUAAAUUAUUCAAAACAGUAAUAGAAGCCCCCUUGGGCAGAAAAUUUGGAAAAGAAACAAACGGCCCCAUGGCCAACAAAGCGAAUGUCAUGUCUUUAAAUUAAAGGGACAAUCCCCACAUAAGGUGAAUACAAUCACCAUCAUUCAUUCAUAGGUGAACCGCCUUCUUCUCUUACUUGACUUGAGACAAGAGCACCCCCAACGUCAUCGUCUUGAGUCGCGAGAACCACUUCAGGGUUAAGCGAGCUAGCAUCGUGAGGAGUUUCGUUCCUCGAUUCAACAUCGUCUCCCAUAAUCGAGGAGAUGACAAGCCCCUGAUCAGAGAGCCCCUGAGCUCGUCCCGAGGAGAUUCUGUCGACAUUGGUUCCGAACUCAUUAAAAUGAGCGCGAGGAGAACCUAUUAACACCAUCUCGUCCAAAGACGAACCAAUGUUUGGUUCGGUCAAUGGAGGGGAAUCAGCGAAUUCAGAAGCUAACUGCUGCAAAUUCAAAUAUGGCUGAGGAGCGGUAUUUAGCUUAGCUACACUCUCAACUAGCUCAGUGAUAUGUCUAUAUUUUACUUGUUUUGAGCAUCCAUUUAGCAUCACUUUAUCAUCAUUUCGUCAUUGUUUCAUACCAUUCUUCAUCAUUUGUCAUCACUUUGCAUGAUUAGGAUAGUUUUGCAUGCAUGUUGCAUAUUUGAGUUGUUUUCAGGUGAUUUGGAGCUGUUGGUGAGCAAAUUGGAAGAAGUGGACCAGAACCCAUCAGUAUGCUCGACCACGAGGUCGAGCACCAUCAUCAUGACCUUCCAAAUGCACUCGACCACGACCAAGUCGAGCACCAAGUCGAGCACCAAGUCGAUCACCAAGUCGAGUACCCUCUCCUUCACCAACUCGACCUACCACUCGACCUCAUGGUCGAGUACCAGCUCCUUCACCAAGUAGAUCACGACUCCAGAUCACGACUCGAGCACGCAGUCGAGUAUCCUCCACCAACUUACUCGACCAAGCACUCGACUGCACGCUUCAGAGGCUUCUCAGAUCCCAACUCAACCACACACUGAGCAUAAGGAAGAGAAGAAGAUGAAGCGGGACUCGAGUGCAUACUCGACCUAGUCACUCGAUCGCAUCACGACCAGAUCAAGAAACCGCAAAGGAGCCAGCUUUGCUCGACCUCUUCACUCGAUUGCACGAAGCCGAAUGUCUCCGUAAACCGCCUUAAUACUUUGUCGUCUUGUGAUUUAGGGUUUCCUAGUAUUUGCUAUAAAUAGGUUGUUUCUCAUAAUUUUCAGACUAAGUUUUAUUCUGUCUAAGUUUUAUUCUGCAGAACAAUUAGUGCUUUCUUCAUAUUUGUAAUCCAGAUUUCUCUUAAUCUAUUGAGUAUUUGCUUUUGAUUUCUUCUACAAAGUUGUUCAUCUUGUUGAGAUCUUGCUAAUAUGAAGUUUUUAUGUAUUUCUGGGUUUGUGUUCUUGGUUAUGAAUUUUGAGUAGUGAUUAGGGUUCUUGAGGAUGGGUUAGAGUAGUUUAGAAUCCUUGAUCUGCUAGGUGGUUGAGUUUGAUUGGUAGAUCCCUUCUGGAUUAGUUGUUCUUAAUGCUGAUUGCUUUCUGAUCAACUGGAAUCUGAGCCCAGACAUUUCCGCACCCAAAAGGUGUUCGAUGAAAUGUCUGAACCACUAAUUCCAGAGAUUCGUGGCUCUGUACCAAGGUAUUAGUUACAGGGAGCGUUUUGGCUUUAACUUGUUGAUUCAUAAUGCCUGUUAGGUUAGCUCUCGUCAAUGGUGAUUGAGUCUGGGACUAGCUUUGCUUGAGGAUCUCUGUUGCGGUAGCACUUUGAUUUGGUUAUUGAACUUGUUGUCUAGGGAUAGUUUGUUGAGCAUGUUAACCACCUGUUAGAUUAAGGAGACUUCACUACUCGAUUACCCCAUCCUCGGGAAUUUCUCUUCCAAUUGAUUUCUUUGUUCACAUCGCUAUUGAUUGCUUGAUCUCGUUACUUGUUGCUUAGUUUUUGCAUUUUUACUUAUUUCACUUGAAGUACUCGACCACACCCAGCGGUUUGGAAACGAACUGUGCAGUCGAGUACAUUUGUUGCAGUUUCUGUUUGGUACUCGACCUGGCACUCGACCACAUCCAGUGCUUGGCAUCAAGCUGUGUGAUCGAGUGUGUUAUCUGUUUCUGUUAGAAUUAUUGUUUUCUGCAUGAUCACUGGAACUGUUAACAACAUCAAAACCUGUUAUUGCUUGGCUUGACUCUGUGAAAUCUGAUUGCAUCUUGAUUGCUAGCAUCACACCCAUUUGGAUUGACACCUUAAAUACUGCAAUGACAUGAUAGUACUUUAAGGAUAAUUGAUCUUAGUUAAAAUCCUACUAUCACUCAGCACCAACCGUUUCUUUCUCUUCAGCCAAAUUGACUUUUCCGUCCUCUAUCUCUUUGAUCAAAUCGAGAUUGCUUUUCAUUUCAUCGCGUUCGGAGUUAAGCUUAUUCCAAGCUUUGUCUGCAGCGAUAAAUUCCUGCACAGCAAGAAGAAACUUUUGCCCAGCUCCCUUAACCUCCUUCCGAACAUCAUGAGAUAUUUUGCGAACAUCGCGAUCUUUCAGUUCGGAAAGAGACUCAUUUUUGCGUUCGAGCUCCUCAGCAGCUGCUUUAACCUUGUUAAGCUCUGAUCUCAGAAGCUCAAUCUCGCCUUUUGAGAAGUUAUGAUCAGCAAAGGCAGUUUCUAGCUUUUACUCUGUCUCAAUCAAAUUAUUCCUUGUCUCCUCGUCGGAUCUUUCGAGUCUCUCUAUCUCUUCCCGGUGAGCCGAUUCGAGGCCAGCAGAUUCCUGCACAAGCCGACUGGAAGAUUGCAGUUUUUCAAUCUCUCCUUCAGCGGCAGCAACUUUCUUGGAAACUUUGGCGAGCUCCUCUUCGUAAAAGUUGACAAUGCCAUUCACAUCCAAAGUUGCCUAAUAAAAGAAGUUUCAUCUUUUGAAAAAAAUAUAUAUAUAUUUUCUUUCAAAAUCGGCUGUUUAAGGAUGCAAACAAUCAAACCUGGGAAGAAUGAAAUGAAUGACUGAUGUACAUCUUCUUGAUAUCAGGCUUCCACCAAUCAUAGGAUGGAAGCUUCUUCCCAACACGGGUGUGGAAGCACCUACACAUAUUCCCGAUCUUCUCUUUAUCUGGAAUAAAGUUAGUUGUGUGAGAAUUGAGUUUUCUUUAAAGAAAGAAUCUAUUAAUCUCAAACAACAAAAUGAUAGUUAAAGGUUACCGGCUUGAGACGAAGCUCUGGCAACCAGUCCUGAGUUCGGAGAUGAUCAAACCCUAGAGGUAUUACCUCGGGGGCGUCUAGGGGGUAGCAUCCCUGAACCCAGCGGUUCCUUCAAAACAGUUCCUGAAUCAGGAUUUGCAUCCUGAGCUUCAGCAGGUUCAGGAAUUGGCAGUUUCGAAGGAGCGGCUCUGCCCUUCCUUGUGCUCUUGGGACGUCCCUGGGGCAGGGGACGGGGUUAGUAAGGCCCAUUCUGACAGAAAAUCCGGCACCGUGAAUCCUUUCCAUAUUAAUGGAAUUCCAAUUAACUGGCCUCUCCAAGAUGGCCUUGUAGAAGUUGAGAAUAUCGAUGGAUGGGACCGGUCGAAUUUGGGGACCUGCGAGAAAACAAGGAAAUGUUAAAACACAGUUUGAAAUAACAUAGGAAAUUUAUUUAGUUAAGUCCUAGUUUCUACCCAAAUUCAAUGACCAGUGGACUCGAAGGAGUUCAGAAGAGCUCUGAAUAGAAAAGUUAUUUAUGCGGAAGAAGAACCAAAACUUCCUCCAGGCGUUGUCCUUUAAGGGCAGGCUGUCAAUAAGAUUUCGAUCCGCGAUCGGAUAAAGGGCAUAAUACCCAAAAGUUCGGGAUUCGCGAGCCUGGAAAAGUUCCAAGAGGUCGCAAAGUCCUAGCGAAUAGCCAGCCUCCGCCCCAACAGUAAAGGUACACAAAAGAUACCGGAGCAUGUUGGGCGACAUCUGAGAGAAGGCAAUUCCCAGAUGGUUGAGGUAGGUGAGAAGUAUCUCGGGAAGGGGAAAGAAUAAGUCGCACCCUUUGAAAUAAAUUUCAUAGGCGCAGCAGUAACCAUCUCGCCCCGACUCAGGAGACUCGAAGGGCUCUGGAACUAUCAUCUCCACCUUAGGAGGGAUGUGACAUAGUCUGCGAAGAUCGUCGAGAGAAUCAACAGUCGAUUCACUCUAAGGGUGAAGAUCAAACUCAUCUCCGGUAUGGAUUUGAGGUUCGGAUCCUUCACCCAUGAGAGCUUCGAGGUCACCAACCUCAUACUCGUGAAAUUCGGAAGAAAGGUUCGACAUUUUACAAAAAGGAUUUUCUUUUUUUUUUUUUACCGAAAGGAAACAAUGACUUCUGUAAUAAGAAUGAAAGUUUUCUAGGUAAAGAAGAUAAGAUGGAAAAGUGAUUUUACCUCUUAGAACCCUAAAGUAUGAUGGAAAACCGCCUCGAGAAUAUUGGGAAGUGGGACAGUUUUCCCCGUGGUAUUAAUAUAAAAUUAAGAAAUUAAUGAUGACGGUUGUCAGGGAUAUCAAAUCAUCUGAUUAUCCGAGAUCGGCGUAAUAGCGUAAUACAUGGAAUAAUUCCGGAAUGCUAAAGAUCUCGAGUCAUUAAUUACUGUUUACUUAAGUCUUCCAAGCCGAGCAUUCAGCUCACAAAACUUGGGGGGCUAAAUGUUGGGGUCGGAUCCCACACAUCUUCGGUAGGAUCGACUUGGAUCUGUCCACGUCAUUAUUACAUAAUAAUCCUCUUGGAUUUCUAGAUGUUUCAUUGCGAGAAUCGAGCUCGACCUGUCGGAAGUUCGAUUCAGUUUAUUAAAGAGCUCGAUCUUUACCUGUACGGAGUUCGCUCUUAUUCAACAUACAGUUCCCAUAAAGGAAGGCCGAAGCGAGGAGAAUAUUUUUCGAGGUUCGCGGCAGCGUCAAGACGCAGGAGUUCGGAGCCAACAAGAAAGAGUUCGGAAGAUCCACGCGAAGCCCAAGAUAGUUCAAAUUCAAGCCGUUUCGGUCAAAUUGUAACCUACAUGAUUAAUGCGGAUCAAUGCGAUUAUGAGCAGUAAAUGACCGCAUUGAUCAUGUGUUCUCUAUAAAAACAACCUCAAACGCAUGUGUUUGAAAAAAGAACAACUUUUUACCUCUUACCAUUAAGCAAUACAACAUAGUCUAUCUUUUACAAUUUCGCAAGGCUUUUUACUAUUUUAUUCUUGCCAAGCUCUUUCGCUUUAUUUAGUUUCUUGGUUACUUUCCUUUUCAAAUCCUUAUUUUUGUUUGUUGAUUUUAGAGUUUUUCUCCACAAAAAUACUUAAAGACAAUCGAGUGUGAAUCCUACAUCCACACAGAUAUUCCUCAGAAUUUGGACGAAGAUGACACUAAAAAUUGGGAUGAUUUGAUCGGAGAGGAUGUAAAGGAGAUUGAUGAUACCUGGAUAGUAAAGAAGCUGGAAUCCAAGAAGUUCGAUGACCCUCAGAAAAGACUGCAGCUUUGUUGCUUGCUCCUUGUCGAUGAUGUUCUAUGUCCUUGGUAAAACCCCAUAUAAUUCAUUUAUAUACUUACUAUACUACUCAAUCACAAAGUCAUUAUGUAUGCAAUUAUUGACAGGAAUAAAGCAAGAAAGAUUUCUAGACUGCAUGUUCAUCUCGUUAGUGAUGUCAGGAAAUUCCUUGAUUAUCCGUGGGGAAGAAAGGCAUUCUCACUAACAAUGAGAAGUAUUAAACAAGAGGGGCUGAGGGUUUGUGCCAGAAGACCCUUGCUAUACAUGGGUUCUUUCAUGGAAUGCAACUAGCGAUGCUGAAAUGCAUUCCAAAUAUCCAAACUCGUGCCCUCGUUGUGCCCAGAGGAAAGUAGAAGAAAGAAGAUUCCUCGGACGAGGAGGUUGAUGAUAACACCGAGAUGAGCCAUCCUGCCCAAGAUAUCCNNNNNNNNNNNNNNNNNNNNNNNNNNNNNNNNNNNNNNNNNNNNNNNNNNNNNNNNNNNNNNNNNNNNNNNNNNNNNNNNNNNNNNNNNNNNNNNNNNNNCUCUGACCUAAAUUUGCGGGCGUCUUCCGUCUUUUCACACCGAGAUGAAGCCAUCAAUCAUAUCAAUGUCUAAAAUCCGCAAACUGUGCCUAAAGGGGAAGGUAAUCCGGCUUUGAAAACCAUAUAUAUGAUAGAUAUAGGCACAGUUUGCCGAUUUCAUACAUUGAUAUGGUUAAUGGCUUCAUAACGGUGUUAUCAUCAACCUUCUCGUCCGAGGAAUCUUCUUUCUUUUGUUUUUCUCUGGCCACAAUGAGGGCACGAGUUUGGAUAUUUGGAAUGCAUUUCAGCAUUGCUAGUUGCAUUCCAUGAAGGAACCCCUGUAUAGCAAGGGUCUUCUGGCACAAACCCUCAGCCCCUCUUGCUUUAAUACUUCUCAUUGGCAGUGAGAAUGCCUCUCUUCCCCACGGAUAAUCAAGGAAUUUCUUGACAUAACUAACGAGUUGAACAUGCAGUCUAGAAAUCUUUCUGCCUUUAUUCCUGUCAAUAAUUGUGAUAAGGUUCAAAUUAACUCCUAGAACUACUCUCUCAAAUAAGAGAUCGUGUGUAGCACUUUAGGGUCGAAUUCCACAAAGCUCUCGUGUUCACACAAUAGACUAACAGGUUUUGAAUUAAGCUAAACAGAAAAUAUUGUAAAUUAAAAAUAAAGCAAGCAAGUAAAAUUGGUUGUAGAUUCAGAUGAAGAAAACGUUAGACUUAGGGAUUUCUCAGGAAAUAAACUAAUAGUAAAUCUAGAAAAUUAAUUAGGAUUAUUUAAUGAACCGUUCUAGAACUCAAAUCACUAAUGAAUAGCUAACCACCUCUCGAUGCGAUAACUAACAAGCCUAAUAUCAGUAAUUCCACCUCUCGAUGUGAAUUCCUAGAUCUAGACUAGCAUUAAAUUCAGGUUUGAUAUGUUCACCUUAGUAGAUAGGCCGAUUCUUAUUACACACCUCUAAACCAGGCUCAUCUAAGGUACUUCUAGUAACAGGUUCCCUCUCGGAUCAAAUACCUAUUAUCCUAUGAUCAAAUUCUAGGUGAUCAAGCUAGAAUUAGCAUUAAGAACAACCUAAGGUGAAGAACUCUAUAGAUUAAUCCUAACAGGUAAUCGAUUUACUAAUUCAUCUAAAUCCCUAAUGAGAAUCCCUAACCUAACAAGAAAACUACUCAAUCAUGGAGAUUGAAGCAAACAACAUGAUUGAAGUAUAAAUCAAUAAUGAAUAUAACAAGAAAAUAGGGUUUAGAAAGAUCUUCUCUAAAGGGAGUCUCCACAGGGUUUUGCUCCCAAAUACAAAAGAGAAAAGGAGAAUAGUCUCUCCAAGCUUAGGUCUAAACAAUGAUCUUAAAAUUAUAUAUAUAAGAGCAUCUCCAACUCACCUCUAUAUUUGCUUCUAAACUCUAUUUUAGAGGCAAAUUUACUUCAACCCACCUCUAUUCUCACCUCUAAAAUAGAGAUCUCUAUUUUUUUCUCUAUAUAUAGAGGUGAGAAUAGAGAAUCUCUAUUUUUCUCUCUAUAAAUAGAGUUAAACUUUUUAGAGGAAAAAAAUAGAGGAAUACAUUGGAGUAAAAAUAGAGAAAACUUACCUCUAUUAUAGAGAUAGAGAUAAAAAUAGAGAAAUACAUUGGAGAUUGUCUAAGUCUUAAAAACGUGUUGGGCCUUCUUUAAAACUAAGAGAAAGUUUUGGACCGAAUCUGCAAAUCUUCAUAACUUCAAUAAGUUGCGUUUUUGAAUUGCCGUCAGAUCUUGGUGUCGACCGACACCAGGGGUGGUGUCGAUCGACACCUACACGUAUUUUCGUCUCCAGAUUUCUUCUGCAGCAUAAAUUCUCUGUUUUCCUCCAGAAUGCUUCAUUAUCUCCAAAUGAAUCUCAAACGUGUAGAAACCUGAAAAGACUCAAAAAGACACUAGAAACAACAAAAAGACUCUAAAAACAAUACAUAUAUCACGGUUAAAACCGGUAAAAAUCGAGGUAUAUCAACUCCCCCAGACUUAGCUUUUGCUUGCCCUCAAGCAAAACACAAAAACCGAACCCGUGGAAGAAGUUUGAAAACAUAUAAACUCCCAAUUUCUCUAGCCUAUUACCUUGAUUAUCCAAACCAAAUCCAAAUGCCUAGCAGAUCGCAUCAAAUCCUAACCACCAUGUAAUUCUCCGCAAGCAUUCUCAACAUUCCAAAUUCUAAACCAAAUUCCACAACUAUAUCCUAUAGCCCUCAUUGCAUAAAUUUCCUCAGUAAAAUCAGUACUCAAGAACUGAUAAUAGGAUUUUAUGAUCAAUUAUCCUAAAACACUAUCCUGUCGUUGUAGUAUUUUAGGUGUCAAUCCAAUCAGAUGUGAUGCAAACAAAUGAGAUAUGAUCAGAAAGCACUAAGUCAAGCCAAGCAUGAAUUGGUUGUUUUUCUAACAGUUCUAGUGAUUGAUGCAGAAAACAGUAAAUUUGCAGAAAUGGACUGCUAUACUCGAUCACAAGGCUCACUGCCAGAAGGGAGGCUGUGAUCAAGUAAACCAGUGGUCACAGAGUAAAAAUAGUUAAAAACUUAAACAGCAGGUAACCAGCAGAAGCAAGUAAGUAGACAGAUAAAUCAAUUAGAUAAGAAACUCCUAAGGAUGGGGUAAUCGAAUAGUGUGGACUCCAUAAUCAAUUCAGAUGGUUAACAAUUCUCAAUGAAGCUAUCCCUAGACAACAGGUUCAAUAACAGAUUUAUUCACUCCCGUGCAACAAAUCCUCAAGCAAAGCUAGACCAGACUAAUUCCCAUUAACGGAAUCUAACUAUGCAGGUAAUAAGAACCGACUGUUAAAGUCAAUAACCGCUCUAAACGGCCAAUCCCUUGGGAUAGAGACGAUUAUCACUGGAAUUAGUAGAUCAAGCAUUCCAUCGAACACCUUCUGGGUGCGGGAAUGCUUUUGAUCGAAUUCGAGUUGAUCAGAAAGGAAGAAGCUGUAAACAAAACUAAUCCAGAAGGGAUUCAAUAAAACUACACUUAACCAUCAGAAUCGACUAAGAGUCUCACAUCUACUUUAUCCCAACCUCAGAAAUCCUAGUCACUACUCAGACAACAUGCUCAAAGACAUAGAAACGAUUGAUGAUUGCAUAACUUCAAAGAUUAAAGGAAAUGAAACAGAAAUCAACAAGAGAAUGAAAACGAAAUCUCAAUAACUUAGAAGAAACGAAAAAAUACAAAGUUGCAGAAGCAAAAGCGGCUACUAAAACAAUACUAGAUUGCGAGUCUAAAACGUGAAUGAAAAGUGAAUGUCUCAGGGGAAACCCUUAGAGACUUAUAUAUAGUAAAAAUGACAAGGAUAAGUAAGUGGGCUUCGAGUCCGCUUAACAGGCCCAUGGAACGUGGAGGUCGAGUAUAUGGGCUCAAAGUGGGCUUCAUGGUGGAGCGUGAAUCGAAGCCGCGAUCAAGUGGUUCCUUCUCUCCUCUUCUCUUUCCUAUGCUCAGGUUGUCUGGUUGAGUGCAGAUUGAUCGGAGGGUCGAGGUGGUGAUCGAGUAGAAUGGUUGAUGGCGUGAUCUGGACUGCUUCUUCUCUCCUGUGAUCGAGUAGGUUGGUUGAUGGCACGAUCUGGACUGCUUCUUCAACCCUGCGAUCGAGUAUGUGGGUAGAUUGUCAUGAUGGACUGCUCCUCUUCCUCUGUGAUCGAGUAGAACUGUGAACUGGCAGGAUGGAAUGCUCCUCUUCCUCUGCGAUCGAGUAGAACAGUCUGGAUGGACUGCUGAGCUGACUGCUUCCCUCUCUGCUACUGGUGAUCGAGUAGAUGGUCCAAAUGUGACUUUCAGCUCUAUUUUUGCUCUUUAUGAACACCAAUAGCUCCGAAGCACCUGAAACAACUCAAGAAUGCAAAAUGCAUGCAAGACUAAUGCUAGACACACUUAAACAUGCAAAUUAUGCGAAAUGAUGAUGAAUGCUAUGAAAGAUGAAUGAAACUAGACUCAAAAUGGUGAUAAAUGGAUGUAUAAAACAUGCAAAUUAUAGACAUAUCAAGAACCUUCUAGACUCAUUCCCGUACUAUACCAUGAUAAAUCAACCUUUUUCAAUAUUUCCUUGGUACUCUUUCUCUCCCCAGACUUAUUCUUUUUCAAACCAUUUUUUUUUUUUUAGCUUCAAAGGUGUAGGCGAAGAAUGGUAUCAUCGGAAAUUUUCCUAACCUCGCUUCCAACCUUCGUGUGAUCAUUCCUCUUGAAGUAAAAUAAUGAGAUCACGGGAAAUUUUCCUAUCUCUUUAUUCCAAAAGAAAAUCAUCUCAAUCUUUUUUUUUUUUUUUUUUUUUUUUUAGAAUAAGGGAGAGGAGCACCAUUCUUUUUCCACAUUAGUCUCAUUUAUCAGGUAUGAACGAGGAGUCAAGUUCUACGAAUACUAACCGUAUUAACGAGGUGAAAAGCAUAAACUUUGCUCAGGCUUUAGCGAAUUAUGUUGGAAACGUGGAUGUCCUCUGGUCUAUUGAUUAACUCUCUGGAUUUUCCAUUAGUCGGAUUGAUUUGAAUCUGCAGCAUUAAACUAACCAGGCAAUAAUCUAGAGAAAAAGAUCAUAAUUUCCAACAAAAAUUUUGACUCAAUACAACGACUCAAAAGAGAAAGAAAAAUAAGAAAAAGACUCAAAAAUAAAAGCGUAGUUAGUAACUGCCUCGCCCAGACUUAAAUGACACUGUCCUCAGUGGCAUUCAAACCCGAAGUUAGCGAAAAUAAAAAUAAAGAAAAACAAAAACGAAAAUAAAAAUAAAAGAAAAACGAAAUCAUACCAGUGGGUUGCCUCCUACUAAGCACUUAUUUUCAGUCAUUAGCUUGACUAUGACGAGGUUCAGGCAUAAGGUGGAUCGGAAGGUGGCAGUAAAUACCGAAGAGAAAAGCCUCUCAUCAUCCAUGAAGGUGUAUAAGCAGUUGGUGCAUGAGAUCUACCAAGGAAGUGAGGAAUGUCAGCAAGGCGGGGCUUAGGUAUGGGUGGUCUACGCCGUUUCCUGCACAAUCAUCAAAAGAAGAAACAUGCGCUCGACGAGAAACUCGUGGCUUGCUUAACCGUAAAACAGUUUUGAAAAAUGUAAAAGUCUUAUUGAUAAAAUCAGAAGGUUUAGGAGGAGGAGAUGAGUACCUUACCCGUUUAGGAGGUGGAUGAAGUGGGAGAGGUGCAGUGACAACAGUGCCCGAACUUGCAGCAGUGAUUUCAGCUAGGAAAACAGCUUUGUCCGACAACCCUGGUUCUGCCCGUGUGGGGUGUCGCUCGACACAGGUGUCGACCGAAAAUGGUGGUUGUGUCGACCGACACUGGGGGUGUGGUCGACAAUGGUCCGUCACGUAGAGUCUGGUAUCGACCGAUACCAUGGUGGUGUCGAUCGACACUGAGCCUGUAGCUCGAAUUUCUGCACUGUUUCUACGACGUGGUUCAGAAAUCUGCAGCAACUUAUCCCCGAUCUGUGCCUCAUCCUACAUCCUAUUGCUGAACAGAUUGUCACCACUCCAAUCUUCAAGCUUAGAAGCUUGCAACUUCACUUGCUCAAUAGAAUCCAACUCUUUGACAAACCCAGUAGUAAUGUCUGUGGAUAUGGAGCAAUCUAGCACAAGGCUUUCUGGAUCAGGUAAAUUCUCUAGGAUGCUACACUGAAUCAUGGCACUGACUAAUUUGGAGAUAGCCACUGACUACCUCUUGUUCGGCUUCUUCUCUGGAUCCUCAUACACCAAGAUAGCACUGAUGUCUUUGAAAAGCAAGCUUGCGUCCUCAGCACUGACACCUUUAGUAAUCAUCUUCUUGACAUAUCUUUGAAGUGGAACUUUGAGCUUACAGUGAUCAUCAAAGGGUAAUGUACUGAAAAGCCAUUCCAGCUUCCAUCUGCAUUGCUAUUCCCGUAUCUCUUGCUCGGACUUCUUAGGCUGUGGUGGAAACACAAGAGCAUAUGGUGCAGUUCGUGUCCAGUGUCGAUCGACACUACUGUCUAGCGUCGACUCCUCUGUGUCGAGCUCACUCGAUUAUGCUUCGUCAAACAUCGAUUCUGCUUCCGUACCGGAGGUAUGUUGAUCGACACCCAUGUGGUGUCGGUCGACACUAAGACUGCGUGUCGAGGGAUCUUGUAAAUCAGUGUCGAGGUAAGUCGAUUCUGCUUCGUCACAGCGUAGUUUUUCGGAUAUCUGUACUGGUGUCGGUCGACACCAAUUGGUAUCGGUCGACACUGCCUCUGCAACCAAAAAAUCAGCAUCAUUCUCCUCAAUUUCAGCGAACUCAUCUUCACUUUCCAUUAAAACAACGUGGCAAGCAGUUGUGAGAUUGUUCUCAAUCCUUGGGAAUCGCUCUAGAGUUCUCUCCAAACUCUCCUGAAUCUGUCCCAGCAUGGAUUCUAUCUUACUCACAUAAGUGGGUGGAGGGAGGGCUUGGUAAGGAGAAGAACCGUAGUUCUUGGUGAAAUUUCUCAGAAAAGCCAUCUUUGUCUGCUGCCAAGUUGUAAAAGAUCCUGGAAUCAACUCCUGAAGCCAAGAAGCUGCUUCCCCAGCAAGAGAGUAUGAGAAAAGCUUACGAUGUAGAUAGUCCUCUGAAACAACCCAUGCCUUGAUGAUUGAAACCAAAUCUUCAAAUAAACUAAUAGUAAAUCUAGCAAAUUAAUUAGGAUUAUCUAAUGAACCGUUCUAGAACACAAAUCACUAAUGAAUAGCUAACCACCUCUCGAUGCGAUAACUAACAAGCCUAAUAUCAGUAAUUCCACCUCUCGAUGUGAAUUCCUAGAUCUAGACUAGCAUUAAAUUCAGGUUUGAUAUGUUCACCUUAGUAGAUAGGCCGAUUCUUAUUACACACCUGUAAACCAAUUAUAUACAUAGUGACUAUGUGAUUGAGUAGUAUAGUAAAUAUAUAAAUGAAUUAUAUGAGGUUUUACCAGGGACAUAGAACAGCAUCGACAAGGAGCAAGCAACAAAGCUGCAGUCUUUUCUGAGGGUCAUUGAACUUCUUGGAUUCCAGCUUCUUUACUAUCUAGGAAUCAUCAAUCUCCUUUACAUCAUCUCCGAUCAAAUCAUCCCAAUUUGUAGUGUCAUCUUCGUCCAAAUUCUGAGGAAUCUUUGGAAUUUCAGAACAAUAUAGGCCCAUAGCAGCCGAGAACUCCUGAAUUAAGAAUCUUAUAGGCGUUACACCGAAAUCCAUCCAAAUCUCGUGCUUCUUCACCGUCACUGGCUGGCGCGAUAGCAUGUAAUGAGCGAACUGGACCAAAAAAGCUACUUAACGACCGUGCUCAAGCAGAUACCAGAACUGAGAAUUACAAAGCUGUGACCAUUCUUUCUCGUGCUUCUUCAACGCCUCCUUCACAGUGCCCAGAUAUUUCAAGACAAAAUAGAUGUUUAUUUUCCUCUUGUCGUCGGGUUCACCACUCAUACAGAACAUCCUAAUAGGUAGAGCGAGAUUCGCCAUGGUUUUAAUUUGAUAUCAAAUGAGAAAAUAUGGGAAUUGUGCGAAAAAAAGCUGUAAUGGCGGUUCAGAACUUCGUGUUUUCUGCAAUGGCGGUUCGGAUUUUGGUCUGAAAUGAAGAAAUAGUGUUUUGUGUUAAGUUAUUAUUAAUAGUUCGAUGAAGAAUAUAAUUGACUACAUCAGAGACCUAUAUCCAGUUUUGGAUAUAUUGAAUAUUAAGUAUAUAGAUGAACCAUUUAAUUGACUAUAUUAGAGAGCUAUAUCGAGUUUCUAGUUAGCUGAAUACAACUACAAAACCCUAGUAUAAAUUCCAAGGCUUAUGUAGGAAUAACGAUGUAUAUGUUAAACAUAAUCAACUAUAUGACGUAACUAUAUCCACUUACUUAAAAGUUAGUAUUUCUCCAAGGCCUAUGUAGAAAUAUCGAUGUAUAUGUUAAACAUAAUAAACUAUAUGACAUAACUAUAUCCACUUACUUAAUAGUUAGUGGUGUAACAGAAAUGUUAGUUUCAAAACUGGAUAUAUUCAAUAUAAUGUAUAUAGAUGAGACAUAUAAUUGACUGCAUCAGAGAGAGAUAUUCAGUUUUUUUUUUUAAUGUGAUACCGAUAAACUGAAUAUAUCUCUCUGAUUGAAAAAGAUAUAUUCGUUUUUGGUUCAAUGUGAUACCGAGUGAACGUAUUUUAUUCAGAUACCUUAUAAUGAUGAAACACAUUUUAUUCUUUUUUUUUCUUAAAAUAUGUCAUCGAUGGUAAGCUUUAAAUUGAACAUGCAUUUUACAUAAUCUUAUACGAGCAAACCAUACAUUCCACUCCUGAGGAAUGACAACAAAGUCAUUUCUCAACUAUUAUAUAAUAUGGAAAUAAAAAAAAAGGAAAAUGAAACAAAUAAUUAUUAUCAUAUUCACAAACAACAAAUAGAAAAAUACAUCACCAAUAUGGGAAAUUAUCAUAUUCAUAUAUAUAUAUAUAUAUAACGCAAUAACUAUCACUAUCGAGGAAGGCAUCAAUGAAAAAAAAAAAACAACAAAAUAACAUGCAUUUCACGUAUCCACAUCAUCAUCAAACCACAUACAUUCGUUUUCUACACUCAUUUUUAUUCUAGUUUUUAUUAUUAAUAAAUAUAUAUAAAUAAGACAUACACUUAACACUCAUAUUUAUGUUAUUCAUGAAAUAUGUAACAUAUAGGAAUGCUCGGCUUAACUUUAAACUAAAAAACUAUCCAAAUAUGUUCGUUUACGAAUAAGACACAAACUUGUCCUUACCAUAGCAAUUCGGAUUGAUUUUAAAAAAAAUCAGUUGACAUUUUUGUUUAGGACUAGCAAAAGUGGUAAUCCGGUUCAACAACAAUUCCCAAUAUGUAACGGUUUAGGUUAACCGGUUAAAAAUUAAAUCAAAUUAGUACCAAACCAAACAAAAAUUCUAAGUCUCGAUUAAAUUAAUUUUGGUAUUUUCUCAAUUAAAUUAAUUAGACGGAUUAAAUAAUUAAACCAAACCAAAAUCUAAUAAUUUCAUAACACCACAAUUCAAUCCACAAUCACAUAUUCACAUGAUUUCUGUUAAAUCAACGAUCCCACUUCUCGGUAGUACGAUUAAUUAGUAUUAACUAAAUCCUUUCGGUUUUGAGAUUAAAGCAUACGAAUCUAAUAUUUGUACAGUAACUAAACAUGUAAUAAAAUACAACAAUACCAGAAAGAUGAUUGUCGAAAACUUUGAUGAUCUCUCCUUAACUCAAAACUCGGCCGGUAGUUGAUAGAAUUAAGGUCUAGCUUACAAGGUCUAUGGACCCUUGUGCCUCCUCAAAAUCUAGGUUAUGAGGAGAGGAACCCAUGAACACUUAUAAUACCAACACUCUCUCCUCUAUCUUAUCGAUGUGGGACCUUAUCAGUAGUACGACGGUUUUGAUGACGAUUAGAUCUCAUGAUAAAACUGUUUGGUUUGGUUUGAUGAAGAUUAGAGUCUCAUAAUAAAACUGAUUUUUCUUUUGAUUCGCAACAUUCAAAAUCAAAAGUCGAAUUUGAUUCGCAACACAAACCAGAGAAGAAGAGAAAAAAGACGAAUCUUGAUGUCUAUGAUCGAUGAUGAGAAUGAGAAAAUGACUUGACUUAUAUAGUCAAGCUCCACGUCUAUGUAUUUAUGAGGACAUCUCACCUUAAAUGACAAAUUUAUGAGAGUUUGAUUUUCACGUUAAAGUCAGAAAACGUUUUUGUCGUAAUUGAUUUUGUGCUGUUACAAAACUCCAUCAAUAAGGUAGAUAUUUUUAUUAUUUAAUCAUUAAUUUUAAUCACAAUGAGUUUGGGAAAAUAAAAUAAAUAUAGGGAGAGUUACUAGAUUAACCCAAAUUAUGAGUUUAAUUACUAGAGUGUCUUAAAAAAUUUAGGGGUUAAAUGAGUUAUUUUUGUGACCAUAAUAACCUUUCUCUUUUUGUUAGGAAUAAAAAAGGUCAAAAUUACCCUUAAAUAAAUAAUAAAAACGUGGGCAAAAGGUAUUAGGAAAAAAAAGUUUAUUUAAAAAGUCUGAUGGAUAAGUUGUGAUAGAUUUAAUUUCCAUGAUAGACUUAUUAGUCUACGGCAUAUUUUUUGCGACAAAUUUUUUUUCUCCCACAGACUUACUUGAAAUAGGUUACGACAGAUAUUUAAUUUGUAACAUAUUUUUUCUUACGACAAACUUAUUUUAUGCUGACACCACAGACUUUUGUAAUUUUGACAUAUUUAUUAAAAUAUGUGACAAAUUUAUUGUUUCAGUAGUGUCAGACUUAUAUUUUAUUAUAAAAAUCUGCCACAAUGUAGCAGAUUUGUUAAUAAAAAAAUAAUUACUAGUUUGACUUAUUAGUGAUAGCAGAUUUAUUUUAUGUUAUGACAGUUUUUUUUUGUUUUAACAAAAAUCUGGAGUGUGAUAGCAGAUUUUUUAUUUCAAAAUAAAAAUUGCUAGAAUGACAUAUACUCUAAACCGAAAUGUUUUAUGUUAUGACAGAUUUUUUUUUAUAUUAUGACAGAUUUGAGAUAGGAUAUAAAAAAAAAUCUGUCAUAUUAUGACAGUUUUAUCGAUGAAGAUAGAAUUUUAAUCUGCAUAAUAAGAGAAUAACAUACAUAUUCUUACCGCGACAGAUUAUUUAUAUUAAAUGGCUCAUGUGUGGAUGUCUCCUCGUUAAUAUAUGUUUAAGUUUUUUUUUUCGUUUUAGAUAUAUAUAUUUAUUUUUUUUCAAUUUCUAUUUUUUUUUCGUUUUGUAUUUUUUAUUUCAUUUUAUAUUUUUCAAUUUUUGAUUUUGUUUUAUAUUUUUUUCCCUAUAUUUUUAUAGUUUUAAUUUUUUUUGUUUUGUAUUGUUUUUCGUUUGUUUUUCAAUUUUUUUUGUUUUAAAUAUUUUUUUCGUUUUGUAUAUUUUUAUUUAAUAUAAUUAUUAUAUGUUAAUUAGUUUAUUUUAAUGGAUUGAAAAUAAAAUGGGUAUCCCUUAUAUAUUAAUAGAGAAGCACUCUAAAAAAUAAAUCUUACUUUGACGUGUUAUUAACUAAACUGCCAUGCUGACAUGUCGUUUUCAGAGUGAUUUUCUAUCCAUUUAAAUUAUUACCCAAAUUUUACUAGACUAUUUACAGAUUUUGUCAUUAGUCUUAAUACAUACAUAUAUCACACAAAUUAAAAAAACGAAAUUAUAAGUAAAAACAAAUAAUUAGGCAACUAAGUUUCAUAUUUAUAUUUAACAACAAUUCACGAGAGUUUUGUUUAUUUAUAUUAAUGAUCUAUUUUUUAAUAAUUAAAAAAUAUACACUUUUUGUUUAUCUUAUAUUAAUAAAUCUUUAUAUUUAUAUUUUUCUUUAUAUAGAUUUAUAUAAAUUUUCUCAAGCAGAUGGGCAAACAAUCUUUGUAUUUAAUUUAUAUUUAUAUUUAUGUUUAUAUUUAAAUGUUAAAAUAUAUACAUUUGGUUCAAGAAUCUCGAAUUCAAAACUACAAAAUCUCUACAUAUUUCAGAAAUUUAUUUAUCUAUUGUACUUAAAUACAUAAGAUAAUCUCUUUUCAAUAUAUAUUACAAAUAAUGAAAAUCCGAUUUUUUUGGAGGGAUUCUAACUUUUUGAAGAAAAACUAACCACAUUUAUUUAUAAACUAAAAUCUGGUCACAUUAUAACCAUUUCGUAGUUCAUAAUCUAAAAAUCUUAAUUUGGAACACUAUAAAAUCUUAACUUCGAAACUAUCAAAUCUCAUCUUUGAUAAAUUUUUGGAUUUCUUAUACUUGAAUCUCGAUAUCUUUUUUUUUAUCAUUCUCGACAUCUUUAAAAGAUAUAGAAAGACAUAUUGGCAUAAAUGGUAAUAUUUCGUCAAUACUUUCUUUAUCACGUAUUCACGUUGAAGCUUUAUUCAAGGUUCAAAUAUUUCACGGGUAAAACGUAUUCAUAUACGAAAUAGUCCCAAAUUUGAAUAAAAAGAAAAAAAAAAUUAUUACAUGUUUCGUUUUACACUAACGGAUCUUGGAUCCCGGAUAAAAAUUAUAAUCAUAAUAAUUUUACUUAAAUCACUUUAUCCCGCACAUAGUGCAGGUUGUUAUCUAGUUAUCCUAGUAAACCACAAUAUUUGGGUGUUAAUCUAGAUAUUUUUCCCAAGAUUUGGGUCAAACUAGGUAAAUUUCAGAUAAAUAUAUGGAUUGUAUGUCCAUUUCCUAAAUCUCAAAUUUCAACUCUAACCUAUGUAUGUUUAGAUCUAUAUAUCUUCUAACUUUCAAAUUAUACAAUUUGACUUUAAGUCAAAAUUCCAAGCUAUUCAAGCUAGUUAUUUUGGACCUCAAUUUUUCAUUCAAACAAACUAUGUUUUGGACAUUCCAAUACACUAUCAUAUAGUGCUUGCAACAGCGAUUUUAUCGUGCCCAAGAACUAGUCACUCCGAUGAACCUUUUCACAGAAAAAUUCAUGGUAAAAAUGGUCACAACCACUUCGCCUUUAUGUUUUUCUUCCUAGAGAUUUAUCAGAUUACUCCUAGCUUUGCCAUACCAAAAUUCCAUCGGUCCAAAAUCUCACGCCGGUUGCUCAUCCUGAUUGAAAAAAAGGUGUUGACGUGUUGUUACUUGUUAGUGGUGACAAGGGUGUUAUGGUUCUGCAAAAAUGUAUCGUAUUACUCAUAAAUAGACUAAUGAAUUGCUGCAAGGGUGUUAUGGUGACAAGGAUUUUUUUUGCAUCGCAACUCGCAAGCAGUGUUCGGAAGAGUCCAACCCAUUCAUUGUAUAGAGCUUUGCUUCGUCGAUCGUAUGAAGGAGCAUCAAUGUUAUUCUCCUUAUUAAAACGUUGUUCUAACCAGCAAAAUUGUCAUUAUGCAUGUGUAAGAACACUACAAGAAAACAUAGCAAAUUCCGACAAACCAAAUAGUCGGAAAUUCGUCGGAAAUGGAUGUUUCCGACGAAUUUCCGACUACACCAAGUUUGUCGGAAUUCUCUGGUCGGAAAACAAUAUUCGUCGGAAAUUCGUCGGAAAUUUCUGUCGAGAUGAUUUGUCGGAAAAUUCGUCGGAAAUAUUUGUCGGAAAAUCGUCGGAAAUAUUCGUCGAAAGCCCGUCGGAAAGGUGUCGGAAAUGUCCGUCGGAAUAGCGACGGAAAAUUGCCGACGAUAUCCCGACGGCAUAUUCCGACGCCAUUCCGAGGAGAUUCCGACAAACGACGCCGCAAGAUCGAGUACGAUUCCGACGAUUUUCCGACCACAAAUCGUCGGAAGUUCGUCGGAACGUUCCGACGAAUUUCCGACGAAUGGAUGUUUCCGACGAAUUUCCGACAAAAUAUAAUAUAAUAAUAUAUUUAAUAGUUUCCGACGAAUUUCCGACAAAUCGUAUUUUUUUAUUAUUUUCCGAUGAAUUUCCGACGAAAUAUUAUAUUUUAUUAAAAAAAAAUAUAUUUAUAUUUUAUUGUUAAUUAAUAUAAUUAAUUAAAUUAAAUAAUAUUAAUUUAAUUUAAUUGUAAUAAUUCAAUAAAACAAACACAAAUAUUAUAUAAAAACAUAAUUAAAAAAAAAAACAUAAUUAAACAUUAAUAAGUUCUUAAACAACUAAAAUUAUUACAAACGCGAAUAUUAUAUAUUAUCAAAUAGAGUGUCAACGUUAUUUGUUUCAUUUUGAUUUCCGGGUUGAUCUUGGCGAGAAGGCGGAACGAUGUCGGGAUGAAGACGGGCCAUCAUAUCCAUCCAAAACUUACAAUCUUUUAAUUGAGUCUUCAACUCGAUGAUUUCGGCUGCGUUUUCUUGACAAUUCACGUGUGCAUGUGAAUACGACGAACUUCCGCCCAUGUCUUCGUCAUACGGAAUGGAACCGUAUCCAAAUCUACGUCCUUUUUUAACUUCAACUUGCUAUUAUAAUGAAAAUGUUGUUAGGAAAUAAAACAUAUUAUCUAAAUUAUAAUAUUUUAAUUACUAUUACUUACCGAUCGGAAAAUAUCGUUUUUUUCUGCUUGGGUGAGUUGAUAAUCAUCGGGCGUGUCUGAUUGUUGACUCAAUUGUGUGAGUUUCUCUUUCUCCAUCUCCCGACAUCGACGAGCUAUUGCCUCAGCUUUUUUAUCAACAAAUGUCCCGUCCGAUUUCCGUUUGUGAGUCUCCUCCAUGAAUGUCACCAUAUCGGGAUACUCACCGGUUUCGGGAUUACGCUUGCAUUUAAAAUAUUUAUUAGUUAAAAAUUUAUAAUAAAAUUUAUUAUAAUGCAAAUUGAAAUGUAAAAAAUUUAAAUUUUUAUUUACCAUUUUUUCCUUUUUCCGGACAUAUGGCAUUGAUCCACAAGUAUGUUUAGCCAUGCCAUAGCCUCCGCGUUCACUCUUGCGAUUUUGAGAAUUAGUUUCACUACGGGACUUAUUUUGCUCUUGUAACCAAUAUGCAAUAAGCCCUUGCCAAACGUUUUCUCGCAUCCAUUUUGGCUUUUCUUUCCCGUUAAGCCAUUUCUUUUUCCAUCCAUAAACAUAAUCCAAUAAACGUACCCCACAUAUCUCCUCAAAUUUUUCUUGUACUUCGCCCGUAAGACCAUAAUCCCAAUUAAAUUUUUGCUACAAUGUUAAACAAUUUAAAAUAUAUAUAUUUUUAGUGUUGUAAAAUUUUAAAAUUUAAUUUUUUUAGCUACAAUUAUAAACAAAGUAAAUAAAGCAUAAAUUUUAUUUAAAUAAACUAACCGCAAAUGCCUUAAACCAACGUUUCUUUGUGUCUCCGGAGACCGACGUAAUAUUCAGAGCGGGAUCGGGGAAAUCGCUCUCCAUGAUUUUCUUGAUAAUCUUUGUGAAUCCUUUAUCGAAUCGAUACCUAUAAUUACCAAAUUAUUUAAUUAAGAUUAUCUACGUAAAACUAUAAAUUAAAUAAUACAAUUUCUUACCAAGUUGUUCCGUGCAUACGGCUUGGGUCGAUCUUUUUCAAUUUAUCUCGACCCGGAGCACGGAGGAAUUGGUCUAGCGUCAUAGAAUCGAGUGGAUUUGCAUCAUCAUUCCGUGUAGGCAUCGCCAAUGGUUCCGUCUCCGGAACUUCCGUGUCCUCCAUGGGAAAAUCCUCCGGUGGUUGGGUUUCGGAACCAAGAUUCAAAUCCGGAGCAAACCCACGUUCAUUGCAAUACGACAUAUAUCCACUCCACGAUCCAUUAUCCAUCUCCUUAAUCAAAUAAAAAAUUUAUAAUUAGUCUUUUGAAUUUUAUAAACAAAAUUAUGAAGAAAAUAAAACUAAACAUCUUACCUUAACGUUUGUUUAUCACAGAGAGAUUUUAGAGAGAUUUUAGAGUGAUUUUGUAGAGAGAUUUUAGAGAGAUAUUGUAGAGAGAUUUAUAAGAGUGAUAAGUGCGUAAGAGGCAAAAAUCUGUGAGUCGUAUAUAUAUAAGAAUUUCCGACGACCAUAUUUGUCGGAAAUUCGUCGGAAACAAUGCAGCGGGAAUUUCAAACCAAGUAACUUUCCCUCUACAUUUACGAGAUUCGCGAGAAAUUAAUGUAACCAAUUUCCGACGAAUUUUCCGACAAAUUUUUAAAUUUCGUCGGAAAUUUCGUCGGAAAUUGGUUACAUUAAUCUCGCGAAUCCCGCAUCGNNNNNNNNNNNNNNNNNNNNNNNNNNNNNNNNNNNNNNNNNNNNNNNNNNNNNNNNNNNNNNNNNNNNNNNNNNNNNNNNNNNNNNNNNNNNNNNNNNNNNNNNNNNNNNNNNNNNNNNNNNNNNNNNNNNNNNNNNNNNNNNNNNNNNNNNNNNNNNNNNNNNNNNNNNNNNNNNNNNNNNNNNNAAGACGCUUGCGGUAGCUCCGGGGGAAAUUAAAUUUACGCGGUAACAUUUUCCGUGGACAUUUACGAGACUUUUUAAAUGUCGUCGGAAAUUUCGUCGGAAAUUGGUUACAUUAACUUCUUUGACGCCCGGGAACAGUAAACGGCAAUAAAUUUAAGACCCAAUCUCCGACGGAAUUUGGACAUUAAAUCUCCCGAGUCUCGUAAAUGUUCCCGCUUCAGUAUUUCUGAAAGAAAAGUAAAAAAAAUAAAUUAAUUCAAUAUAGCCUAAUUCCGACGAUUUUCCGAUGGAGAAAAUAAUGUCGUCGGAAAAUUCUUCGGCAACAGGGUAUAUUUAUUUAAAUAAUUUUAAUUAUUUUGUGUCAAGUAUUUCUUUAAUUAAAUAUACCCUGUUUUGUAUCAAGAUAUAUUUAAGCGGUACAAAUUUAAUCUCAAACGUUUCAUACGACAGUUCCGAUGAAAGUAUGAAUAAAAUAAAAUAUUAGAAUGGUUUAAUUAUUAUAAAAUAGAAACAGAUUUUUUUAACAAAUAAAUUAUAAUGCAUAUAAUAUGAUAAAUUUAAAAGCAUUUAAACAGAUUUUAUAAAAUAUAUAUAUAUAAAACUAAAGACGAUAUAUUUGAUUUACUCAGAAUCGGAAGAAUAAUCUGAACUAGCAGAAUCAUUUUGAUCUUCAAACUCUUCUCCAUCCUCUUCGUCUUCCGCAUUUUCCCAUAUCUCUUCGAGUUCUAUGUUCUCAAUAUCAACGAGGGGAAUGUCACCGACAGAUUGAUCUACUUGCGUAAUUUCGUUUACUGCAAUUUGUUGUAGCGGUUCCUUUUCUUUCACCCCAUCAACUCUGCUUCUUGGAUUUAUUUGAUGAGCCGUAAUCCAUGGAUAUUGUCGAACACCUACUUGUGGAUAUGGUAUGUAGCAAACCUGUGCUGCCUGAGAUGCAAGUAUAAACGGAUCGUACUUUCUUAACUGCUUAGUCGAGUUGAUCUCUGUGACACCAUACUUUGUAAGUCUAACACCUCUUCCAACUCUAGGAUCAUACCAGUCACACUUGAAGAGUAUACAUUUCAAAUUUAUGACUCCCGGAUAUUCAACCUCUAAUAUAUCAGUAAUUUCACCAUAGUAGUCUAUCGAAUCUGUACGAACAACGACCCCAUAAUUCACUGUUUUUCUGUUAGUAAUCCCUGGACGUUUUAUGAAAACGUAGCCUCGAGUGCAAUACAUCGGGUAUGCCAUUGCCCUUGAUAGAGGACCUCCAACCAACUCUUCAAACCAUGUUGGAUAGUGUUCCUGCCUACUUGCGGCUGAUUUGAUCUGCAAAACAUACAAGCAAAUGUACGAUUUUAAUAAAUAGUAACCAUGUUCAUAAUAUAUGUAAAAUCAACGGUGAAAACUUACAUAAUAUUUUAACCAAUUAGCAUAUUGUGUCUGCUUCAUUUCCUCUUUUCGAGCCUCUGUCAUGUUUGGAUACGCUCCAGACACUUGAUCAUCAAAGAUCCUACAGACAUUUGUUUUUUUGUAUAAGUAAUUAUUUUGCAAAUAAUAUAUGCGUAUUAUUAAGGUAUGAAUUUUGUUUCUUACUUCUCGAAUGGUAUGACAUCGUCACAGUUCCGGAGUAUGUAAGUAUGAAUGUGAUUAAAUUCUUGAUCUGUAAACCAUACUUCUCUUUUCUUCCCACUCAGUCUCCCGAUUUGAGAAAAGAUAUCUGGGACAGAUGUAUGGUAAAAAGGCCGCACACCCCCAUCAUCGUACCUACCUGGUUUUCUUGCUUUUGUUUGGACAUUUGGAGCAAAAUAGUAGGCCGAAAAAUGAGAAGUCUCCUCGUUUAUGCUUUGAGCUACUAUUGAUCCCUCAACUUUGCUAAGAUUUUUUACUUUUUUCUUCAAAUGGAACAUAUAACGCUCAAAAGGAUACAUCCACCGGUACUGAACUGGACCGCCUAGUGCUGCUUCACGAGGUAGAUGGAUAGGCAAGUGCUCCAUGACAUCAAAGAAUGAUGGGGGAAAUAAUUUCUCCAAAUUGCAAAUGAUAAUCGGGAUAUUAUCUUCAAGUGUAUGUAGUCCUUCGACUGUUAGAGAUCUUGAACACAAAUCUCUAAAAAAUGCACCUAUCCCUGCAAUUUAAUUAAUAACUGUAAACAAAAAAAGAAUAUAUACAUGAAUAAUAACAUAUUAAAAUAAUUGAAAGAUAAGUUGUUUGUACCUGCAAUUGCUUCAUGGACAACAUUUGGUAGGAGUUGUGUAAACGCAAAUGGUAGUAAACGCUGCAUGAAGACGUGACAGUCAUGACUUUUCAUCCCAGCUAAUCUACCACUGUGAUCAUCAACACAAUAUGAUAGAUUUGAUGCAUAGCCAUCAGGAAAUUUAACAUCAUCAAUUAUCCACUGAAAAAACUUGGUCUUCUUGCUUGCAUCUAAUCUCCAUAUAGGAAUAGGACCUACUCCGUCUGCAAGCAAAUGGAGAUCCUCGCGCGCACAAAUAUCGGGUAAAUCCAUUCUGGAUUUGACAUUAUCUUUAGUCUUACCCGGGACAUUUAAAAUGGUGUUAAUUAUAUUGUCAAAGAAAUUCUUCUCAAUAUGCAUAACGUCAAGACAGUGGCGGAGUAGAUGAUUUGUCCAGUACGGCAACUCCCAGAAGAUACUUUUUUUAUGCCAAUUAUGAUGUUCUCCAUAUCCAUCAAUUCGGACAUGGCCAUUACCGCCUACCGAUGAUGUACAGUCAACAUCAAAAUCACGAAAUUGAUUCAAUAUAUAAUCACCAUCAUACUCAGGUGGCGGUGGAUCACGGAUACUCUUGUUCUUGCGGAACAACGUCUUACUACGACGAUAUGGAUGAUUUCGUCUUAGAAAACGACGAUGACAAUCAAACCAACUUGAUUUCCGGCCAUGUCUUAGUUGGAAGGCAUCUGUAUUAUCUUGACAAUAUGGACACGACAGUCUUCCAUGAGUUGUCCAACCCGAUAACAUGCCAUAUGCGGGAAAGUCACUAAUAGUCCACAUCAAUACAGCACGCAUGUUAAAAUUUGUCUUUGUGGAGACAUCAUAUACCCAAACCCCUUGGUACCAUAACAUUUUUAACUCUUCUAUAAGCGGCUGUAGGAACACAUCAAGUGAACGACGAGGGUGGUUUGGACCAGGAAUCAAAAUGGUUAAGAAAAGAAAUUCUCUUUUCAUGCAAAGGGAAGGUGGGAGAUUGUAAGGGGUGACUAUUACUGGCCACAAAGAAUAUUUUCUACCUGACUUUCCAAAUGGAUUGAAUCCAUCCGUGCAUAAACCAAGAUAGACAUUCCUUGGUUCAUUAGCAAAGACUGGAUAUGUAGAACAAAAAUGUUUCCAGGCCGAUGCAUCCGAUGGAUGUGAAAUCUCCCCGGUGAACUCAUGUUCAGCGUGCCAUCGCAUACCCUCCGCUGUCCGAUCUGACUGAUACAACCUCUUCAACCUAUCAGCCAAGGGCAAAUACCACAUACGCUUAUAUGGUAUUUUGUUUCGCCCACCAGUAACCUGAAACCUUUCAGCACCACAGAAACGACAUUGAGACAUAUUUACAUUAUCUCCCCAAAAAAUCAUACAAUUUUCUCUACACACGUCAAUCAUUUGGAAUGGUAAACCUAGCCCAGAUACCAAUUUUUGGAUUGCGUUGUAUGAAACUGGCGAUAAAUUAUCUUCCGGUAGAUAAUCGUGGAUAAAAUCAGCCCACGCAUCAACACAAUCUUCACUUAAAUUGUAGUCUGUUUUGAUGUUCAUCAUACGUGUUGCGGCGGAUAAAGGAGAAUGACCCUCUCUGCAUCCUGCAUAUAUCGGAUGAUUUGCAGCAUCUAACAUAUCGAAAAAUCCCUGUGUUUCUAAGUUGGGUUCCUCCGCAACAUUAGUAUUUUCUACGUUAUCAUGAAAUUCACCACUACCACUUCCAAUUACAUUAUCUUCUUCCUGGUGAAUAUGCUCAUCGCUAAUUAUAACGUUUUCAUCUCUUCUUUCACGACUACUACUAGGACCCGAUCUAAAAUCCUCCCCGUGAGAAAACCAUAUAUAAUAUCCCGGUGUAAAACCUCCCCAAUAUAAAUGAUUCCAAACAAUGUCUUUUGCAAGAAAAUGAUCAUUACAACAUUUGACACAAGGACAUGCCAUAAUACCUUCGAUACGCGUCAUUUCUUGAUUAGAUGCAAACUGCAUGAAUUCCAUUAAACCUUCCUUGUACUCCUGCCUCAUAGCUCCGGUCUCAUCAUCUAAUCGAUUAUACAUCCACUCUCUAAUUUUAUAAAUAUUAUGAGAAGACAUUUUUUUUUCGAAGAUAUUUUUGUGUUUCUGUUUUUUUUUUUUCAACUUUUUUCUUGUGUCUAUGAUUCUUUCGUUGUCUAGUAUAUAUAUAAAACUUUUCCGACUAACAUUUUGUCAGAAAUUCGUCGGAAAUUCUAAAGUGGUUACCUUUAAUAUUUCCGACGAAUUUCCGACAAAAUGUCGUCGGAAAGUUUGUCGGAAAUUCGUCGGAAAAUCUACAGUGGUUACCUUUAAUAUUUCCGACGAAUUUCCGACAAAAUGUCGGCGGACAUUUUGUCGGAAAUUUCGUCGGAAAUAUUAAAGGUAACAACUUUAGAUUUUCCGACUACUUUUCCGACUAAUUUUUUCGAUCAAGUUGUCAGGAUUACGUCGGAACAUGUGCAGUGAAUAAUCACGUGUUUCCUCGUUGUUUCCGACAAAUUUUCCGACAAGUUUCCGAGCAGUUUCCGAUGACAUUGGAUUGUCGGAAUUUUCCAUGGUUUCCGACAAAUAUUUCCGACGAAAUUCCGACGAAUUUUUAAUCGUCGGAAAAGUUUUUAUGUUUCCGACGAAUUUCCGACGAAAUAUUAUUUUCUUGGAAGUUUGUCGGAAAUUCCCCGGAAAUCCGUCGGAAUAAUUCCGACUAAAAAUUUCGUCGGAAAUGUUCGUCGGAAAUUGCUAUGUUUUCUUGUAGUGGAAAAGUAAUAAAGCAAUGGUAAGAAAAGUAAUAAAGCAAUGGUAAAAAAGAACCAAAAAAAAAAAGAAUCUCUGGAACUACAUAGACGAAGAUAUGUGCAUGUGACGAAACACCAAUUUCACAAGAUACAACAAACUAUAUAAACUCGAAAGAGUGAAAUAAAUUAUUUUUUAAAGCAAAUCUUUAAGGGUAAUAAACGAAUCAUUCAGUACAUAGGAGAUCCAAGAAGAAACUCCUUGCACAUAUCAUAGAAUAUAAAUAGAAGCAAUUAGAUAGGUCAUCUUCACAAUCACCAAUCAUUCAUUUCCAACAAAUUAGAAGCUAGAGAGAGAUUUCCAUCAAUAAAUUUUUUGUUUAUUUUUCGUGUUCAUUGACAUUUUUACAAAAUGGCAGUAAAUAUGGAAGGUGGAAACACACACUUUUACGAUGAAAUCGAACCCUUUUGUCGAUGGAGAAGAAUGGAAGACAUCGACAUUCUUGAGCUACAUCUUCCUUCAGGUACAUUAAUUAUUCGGAUAUCAUUAUAAUUUCGAAAAAUUACAUUUUUAACCUUCAAAGUGUCAUCGGUAGCACUUUAUAUCUCGAAAGAAUUUCACUAACACUAUAAACCAUUAAAAUAAUUUACUAACAUUCUAAACCUCGAAACUAGCUUUCCUGUUUGCAUCGUCGUAUUUAUUACGGAAAAAUAAGGAGGAAUUAAUUUAUGUUUAUAUUUCUUUUCGUAGGUUAUACUAUAUAUAAUUAGUAUUUCAAUAAUGAAUGCUAAUUUUUGUUUCGUAUAAUAAAAUAUAAAAACUAUUAAAAGAAUCACUUGGAUAUUAGAAACAAAGAAGAAACUUAGUUGUUAUUCACUAAAUUAUAAGUCUGCAUUGCAAUUAGCUUGAUAUAUAUUUUAACCGAAAUAUAGCCCAACACAAGAUAUUUGUUAAAAGCUUUGAUUAUACUUUGCUUCCACAAAUCUACUUUGUUUCUCUUCUCCAAAUAUUGUAAAGUAUACUUUGAUAUCACAUUGCGAGCUAGUUUGAUUCUCAAACUUUCUUCCGCUCCACGUUGUUUAAAGGGAUCUCUUGUUUAAAUGUCCAAACGGACAAUUUGGCCAGUAGUGCUAGGUCUAGGAAUUUAGAUGAAUCAUAUGUAAACUAAUUUUUCCCGGUUUGGAUCACUAGACCGGUUGUUUAAUUCAAUUUGUGGUUAAAAAAAAGAACCAAAGAAUAUAAGUUAUUUAAUUAUCAACGAAAAGUGGAAUUGAUGUUUAUAUAGGUUUGAAGAAAGAGCAUCUUAAAAUACAGAUCAACCACAGUGGUGUACUAACAAUAACAGGAGGCUGUCAUGUGGACCAGACCAAAUCAAUCAGGUUCAUGAAAGAAACAAAAGUUGCGAAAAAUUGUAAAAGAAAUGAGAUUCGCGCGAAGUUCUCAAAGGGAGUUUUGUAUGUGACAAUGCCAAAGACAAGCCCUAUAACAGCUGGUCCCUCGGUCGCUUUGAAGGGAGCCACAUCACAAACUCGAGACCCUAAAACAGAUGAGGAUAUGAGAAAUGUAGCAAACUGUUCAAGUGAAUUUUAUAUCAAGUUUGGCUCAUUGAAGCAAAGACUAUGGAGGAAGACAGUAGUGGAGGGUGUGGCCGCUGUGGUGGUUGUGGUUGCUGCAGUUUUAGGAGUGGUUAAAGCGUACCAAUAUUUUAUGGCAUCACCUGUGUGAUCAAGUUUCAAUAAGACCAUGGAUGUGCAUUGUUUCCGAUUGGUAUGAUGUAAUACAUUGGUUUAUUAUUUUUCACAUUACAGAAGUUAUUCUUCAUGAAAACUAAAUAAGUAUAAAUCAUUCUUCUUGAGUUAUUAUAUAAGUGACGGAAAGAAACAAUUAUAUUUAGUAUAGUAAUUAUAAAAGUUAUAAAAGAAAACGGAAAAAUCACAUUUUUAACCCUCAAUGUGUCACUGGGUAUCACUUUAAACCUCGAGAGAUUUACACUAACAUAAUAAACCACCAAAAUAAUUUUACUAACACUUUAAACCUCCAAACUAGUUUUCAUGUUUGCACCGCCAUAAAAUAUGAUGGAAUAAUUAAUUUAUGUUGGUUUAAUAUAAAUUUAUUUAAUUUAAUUUAAAUUUUAAUUAAUUUUAUUAUUUAUUAUAAUUUUUCGAUUACUAAGAAACGUAAAAAAAAAUUAGAUUCCUCCGAUACGAAGAAUGCUUUAUUUUCUCACAAAAUUUUGACAUUCUUUAGUUUUUAUUAUUGUAUUCAAGCUUCUCUUGUACCUCAUAUUUUACAUUAUUUGAUUUAUAUUAUUAUACUAUAAACUUCUCUUGUGCUUAAAUCUAAAGUUUCAGAGGUUUAAUUUCGAAAUUUCAUGAUCGAACGGUAAGUAAACAAAGAAGGUGAUGUUUUUUUUAAUUGUUUUUUUUAUAGAUUUUUAUUAAUUGUAAUAAAUAAUAAAAUUAAUUUAAAUUAAAUAAAUGUAUACUAAACAAAUAGAAAUUAAAUUUUCUAUCAUUUUUUAUGGUGGGACAAACAGAAAAGCUAGUUUGGAGGUUUAAAGUGUUAGUAAAAGUUUUUUUUUGUGGUUUAUAGUGCUAGUGAAAUACUUUCGAGUUGCUAUCCUUUUGAGUGUUAAAAAUGUGUUUUUCCCGAAAGAAAACUCUCUCUCGACGGUGAUUUCAAUGGCGACUCUAGGGUUUUGAAACCCGACCAUGAGCAGAUGUAAUUCGGUGGUUUUCGGUUGCGAUAAUGAGUUGAUAUGGUGGUUCUUGGUGAGAAGGAUUGAGGUUGUUGUCCUUUCACGAGGUCUGAGUUGGGCUAGAUCAGGGCAGGAUAGGCUUUCUAUCUUUUGGUGUUGAAGAGGUUGUAUCGAUGGAUUGAUCUAUUUAUGGAUUCACAAAUCUAAAACUUUCUUCUGGUUCGUGGAAGGCGGUUUCGCAAACGUGAGUUGGUGCUUUGGGGAACUGAAUGUUCAGAUUUUGAUUGAGGUACUCUACUCUCAUCAGAGGGAUUGGUGCAGAUCUUCGAGGAAUUUGAUUCGGUUUUGGUUAAAGGAAGAUACGAUUCUCCUUUAUACGAUGGCAAGGAGAUAUGUUUAUUAGAUGGAUACCAUUGAGGAUUCACACAGAUAUCACUUGGAUUUGGGUACAAGAUAUAUCAAAUAUCUUAUUUUUAAUUAGCAUUUUUGAAAUCUUUUGGUGGAGUUAUGGUAGUCGGAUCUUCUAGAUAUGGAUUUGGUAUUCCUAGUUAGUGAUGGCGAUUAGCCUCUCUUCACAAAUUGAUCUUGUUUCCUUUUUUUUACUUGUCCUUAAAGUGAGAGACCAUUCUCUUUCCUUUAUGUCUUUGGUGUGGGCAUCAAGCCUUUUGGAGAUUAGGGGAUAUUUAGUAUUGAUGAGGGAGGAUUCUUUUGGGAUGGAGAGUUGUAUAAAAAGGGGAGUCUUGCUUUCAUUCAAAACCACAAUCUGUCAAGCUUUGGUUUUCAUAUCGCUGGUUCUGGGUUUAUUUUUCUUCCGAGAUUAUCAUUUUGGUGUGGGUUUUUUUCAUUGUUUAAUGUUCUCAAAAUGUCUCAGAGUGCUUUCAUGGGAAAGAAAAUGGGAGAGAGAAGGGUUGGGGCCAUGUUUCCAAAGAGAAGAAUAAAAAUUUCACACUUUGACAAUUCAGCUUUGAUUGUGGGAUACUCAAAGACUUUAAUUGGGCGGUGUAUAAAUCCUCGGAAGGCGAUGUUGUUCAUGGUACCACGUAUCUAGCAGCUUGAAGGAAAGAAUGUAGGGGCUGAUUUGGGGUUGGGUCGGUUCCAGUUUGACUUUGAGACGGAGGAAGAUAUUGUGGAGGUUUUGAAGAUGGAGCCUUUUCACUUUGAUCAUUUGAUGGUGUCUCUGUUGAGAUGGUCGCCCUUGGUUGAUCCCAAUUAUCCAUCGGCCAUUACCUUCUGGAUUAGAGUUCUUGGAGUCCUAAUUGAAUUCUUGACUGACACAAUCUUUCGAGACAUUGGAAAGGAUCUGGGUAAAGUAGAAGCAAUGGAUUUUGAUGGCGGUUGAGUUGAAGUAACGAUUGAUGGUUUCAAACCAUUGUGCAUCGAAACGGAGAUAGAGUUCGCAAUGUUGAGGAAACCACCAUGUCUGUGCGGUAUUAGCGACUUUUUAGGUUUUGUAAGUUGUGUAUGAGUCUGUGCCAUGAUGAGGCAUAUUGUGAUUUUAAUGCAGCCUUAGGUACUGAUCAGUUGCUUCCGGUUGAAGAGGUGAAUGACGAUCGAUAUUUGCAAAGUUUUAAAGUAGCGGUAACUCAGGUGACAAGGCAGGAAACAAGACAUGAAGGGAUGGUCUCAGGUGCGUUUAAAGGGAAGAAUGUUGCGGAUGCUCGUAAAGAUGAUCGGAAACGGUCUCAAUCGGGGAAUCAUAAUGGUGCUUCCUCUUCAAGGCCGAAGUUUGCAAGUUAUGUUCAAUAUAACGAUUAUCAGUUCUCAAAGGCUGGUGGAGAUGGUGCGCAGGAGCAUCAAAAUGUGGUUAAAGAGAGGGCUGGAAUGGAGUCGCAAGGGGAGCAAGCCAAACCUGUCGAUGUUGUACCACCAAAACAAGUAAGGAAUGCUGUUUUUAAUUCACUAGCUUCUCAUGAUGUAGCUGUAGCUGGUUUGGAAGUGGAGUCGUUAAGCGGCACGGAGAUUAAUCCAGAGGAAGGAGAAAUUACAACAGCUAGGUUGAAGGAGAACGAGAUGGAAGAUGCUGGUAUUUUGUCCAAUGCAAAUAUUGCAGCAGGUUUGUCUGACGAAACUCUUAAUAUGGACCAAGAGGAGUCGGUUUUACCAAUGUCAAAUGAGGAAGUGGAUGGUGAUGAUUUGAUGGUAACAUCUCGUCGUCUGACGGACCUUUCCAAGACUGAUGAGGUUGAGGAAACUGCAGAUGAGCCGCGGAAUGCAUCUGAGCUAGUCGAGGACACUAAUUCGGAUAUGAUGGUUUCAAAAGUUGAUGUGGAGAGCCAGAUUUGGAUAGGGAUGGGGAUUUGGAGACAUCUCGAAAUCUGAAAGGGAGUUUGGUGCUCAUGGGUGUUAGUUCAAAGAUGAGAAAUGCUCAACUUUUGGCGUCACCACAGAGAAGGGUUGUAGCCAUAGGAAGCUUGCAAUUGAAGGAAGAUAAUAAUUCGACAAACCAAGGUACGGUGAACGGUUUAACGGGUGGAAACAAACCACCAAAACCAAAUUGUCAAGGUCUCGGGAAUAAAGCAACUAUCGGAUAUCUUCGUGAUGUGUGGAAGAAACAUCGGCCGGAUUUUUUAUUUCUCUCGGAAACGAAACAAUCCUCUUUAUUUUUGGAAAAACUUGUUAGUCAUUUUGGUUAUAAAAACUUAAAAACGGUUCAUCCUAUUGGUUGUUGUGGUUGUUUAGCGCUUUUUUAUAAUAAUGACUUCAAUGUUUCUAUUAUUUUUUAUAUUGAGGCUAUUUAAAUGAAAAACAAUUAAUCUUACUUUUGUUUAUAGUGAUCUGAUACCAAAAAUAGAGACCAAGUUUCGUAAUGGUUAACACGGAUCAGUUUAUCUCGGAAUACACCUUGGUUUUUGAUAGGAGAUUUCAAUGAUUAAAAAAAAAACCAUGAAAAAAGAGGUGGCAAAUUAAGACAUGCUUCUUCUUUUAUCCCUUCUAUUAUAAUGAUAAAUGAUUUUGGACUUAGGUAAUUUCCACAUCUGGAAGAUUGGUUAUCGUGGCAGGGAUGACAUGAUAAAAAACCAAUACGGUGUCGUUUGGAUAGAGCGCUAGAAAAUGAAGAUUGGCAUGAGUAUUUACCAAUGAUAGUUUCUGAUCAUUCACUGGUUAAAGCUACGAUUUCAUAUAAGAUACCACGUUGUAACCAAUGUUUUAGGUUUGAUAAAAGAUGGAUUGGAAAAAAAGGGUUACUAGAGACAAUAUCAAGUGGGUGGAAUCUCGAUUCGGGUGCCGAAGAGGGACAAUUUGUGGAAAAAAUGACUAAUUGUAGAAAGGCUAUUUCACAAUGGCAGAAAGAGUAAACUCCAUAUGUACGGAAAACAAUAGAGGACCUGAAAUCCAAACUAGAAGCGGCUCAGAGAGACGAUACGAGAACACGAGAGGAGAUUACGGAACUAACACUACGGUUGAAAGAGGCUUACCGAGAUGAAGAAAUCUAUUGGUAUUAAAAAGUAGAAGUAAUUGGAUGCAAUUAGGGGAUAAUAAUUCAAAAAAAUUUCUUGCUCUAAUAAAACAGAGACUUUCCAGGAAUCGAAUUAGCGGUCUACAUGAUGAAAAUGGGAUAUGGUCUGCAGAGGAUAAAUAUAUUCAAAACAUUAGCAAUCUCUUAUUUUAAGAAUUUGUUUACUACAACUAAUCCUCAUGCUUUUGAGGAGUCCUUAGCAGAGGUUAAAACAAUGAUAACGGAUCAGAUUAAUGAAUUUUUAACGGCUACUGCGACGGAAUGUAUGGCCUACCCAGCCUAGAGGACCAUCUUCGCUAUCCGCCAAAUGUUCAGGUGGCAGCUGUGUGCAAAUGAUGUCGUCUAAUGUCGCCUUGUAUGCCCGCCUCCUCUUUUCUUUUUCCACAUCUGACUUGGUCAUUACUUCUGCAAACGCCAACUCGUCCAAGAUAGGAACCACCUUGAACUCGUAUUUCUAGUGUCACCAUCCAUCCACUCCGGCAUCUCGUACAUUAGCUCUGUCUUUUCACAUGUUCGAUAUAUGUUCAGAUCGCCUAUCACUUUGGCUUUAGCUGCUUCAAUUCCAUCUCCUUCUCAGAAGUGUAUGAACUUGGCUUCUCCGUCAUUUGCCGCCAUGAACCUCCAUACGCCACCGUCAUCUUUGUUCCACCCCCCCCCCCCAACAACCACACAUACCAUGCCGUUCACCAAGUCAUUUGUGACCACCAUCUCGAACACCUGUAUUACACACAACUAACCGGUAGUUGACUACAUCAUAUAGUUAAAAAUAUCCAACUACAUGAGCAAUAACUAAGUCACUUACCGCUUCCAUACCUUUCUACGCAAUUUGUUAAGCAGAUCCGUCUUCUUUUGAAGUUAUGUCUUUUUUUUUCUUUUACCUUAUGUGGCUCUACGUUUUAUCACAAUCGUCGUCCCACUAUUUAUUAGGUCUCCACACCCCUAGGUUACGUGUUUAAAUUUUCACAUCCCGCCCAAAUUAUUUCUCCCCAGUUUUAAAUUCUUGUGAGCUCAAAUUAACUGUUGUUGCAUUUAAUGAGCAUCACUUCCAUCUGAUUGUAGCUAGAUAACUAUCAGUUCAACUAUUGGGCAUUUAUGAUAUGUUAGAAUGUUCUUUCACUUGCUCGAAAGGCCAGGUUGGUUAUUCCCACGCGCAUGCCAGAAAGAUGGUCUGGUUUUUUGGUAAUAAGUGCCAAAAUCAAACCCAUUUUCACCUCUCUUUUUUCGUUGUUACCGACAACCAACUGAUAUAGGUCAAAUUAACUCCUAGAACUACUCUCUCAAAUAAGAGAUCAAUUGUAGCACUUAAGGGUCGAAAUCCACAAAGUUCUCGUUGUUCACACAAUAAACAAUUCAGCAAUCGAAUUAAGCUAAAUAGAGAAUAAAAAUAUUAAAUUAAAACGAAGCAAGUGAGACGGUAGGUCUGGGCAAAAUACCCGGAACCGAAUACCCGAACCGAAAAACCCGAAAAAAUAUCCGAACCGAACCCAAACCGAUUUUUAAAAAUACCCGAAUGGGUCCUAGACCUCCUACCUGAAAAAAACCCGAACCGAACCCGAACAGAAUCCAAUACAUGUGGGUACCCGAAAACAAAUAUACACCUAAAAGUAUUAGUUAUAUUUAUAUUUAUAAUACCCAAAAUACCUAAAAUUACAAUCAUAAAUCCGAAUAUAUUAGGUAUUUUUGAGUAAUUCGGAUACAUUUGGAUAUAUUUGGUUAAAAAGUAACUAAUAAUGUAGUUUUCUUUUGGGUAAUUUUAGUAUUUUUAGAUAUUGUUGGUUAUAUUUGGGUAAAGAGUAACCAAUGUAUUUUCGAGAAAUCGGGUAUUUCGGUUAGAUUUGGGUAUAUAUGAGUUAAAAACCCGAACCCGACCCGAACCCGAAAAUAUUUCGGGUAUUUUUGGUUAUGUUCGGGUAAUUUGCUUUUUUUUUAUUAAAAUAUCCGAACCGAUCCGAACACGAACCGAACCCGAACCGAAUUUUUAGAAUAACCGAAUGGGUCUCGAACCCCUAACCGAAUAGACCCGAUACCCGAAAAAAAGAACCAAACGGGUUCGGGUACCCGAAUGCCCAGGCCUAUGAGACGGGUUUAAUUCAAUUGAUGGAAGAGCUAGAGUUAAGGUUAUUCCUUUCAGUAAAUCAUAACUACAAAUUAAACAGCAAGCAAGGGUUUAUUAAGCACCAUUCUUGAACUCAAAUCACAAAUAUCAAAUUAACCACCUCUCGAAUGAAUUAAUUCACAAUGCCUAUCAAUAGAAAUUCCACCUCUCGAAUGUAAAUUCCUAAAAUUAAGCAAGCAUUAAAGUCCAAAUUUGAUAUGUUCACAAAAGCACUAAACCACCUCUCGAAUGAGAAUAGUUCUCUUGCUCACCUAAGAUUAUUUCAGGAAAUAGAUGACCUCUCGAAUCUACCUAUAUUAUCAUAUGAGCUAGAUUCUAGGUGUACAGUCUAGAACUAGUAAUUAAAUCAAAUCUAGGUGAAGAACCCUAAAAUUACCCUACCAAUUGUUCAACUUAGCAAUUCAUCAAUACAUGGAAAAACCCUAAAUCUAACAGGUGAAUUACUCAGACAUAGCAAAAGAAACACAAAUCAUAAUCUGAAUAAAUUGCAUUAAAAGAGUUAAGAGAUAGAGUAAAGGAGUUCUGAAUCUCUCUGAAGGAGUCUGAUUCUUCUCUCCAAGCUAAUACAAAAUAUCUCUCCCAAAAUUAAAGCUUAAUUGUCUUCCUAACAUAAAAACCUAAUAAUAUAGUGUAAAACACGUCGGGGACUUUUUUUGCAAUAAACAGGAACAAUUGGGUGAUUCUGCAAUUCUUCAAAACUUGAUUAAACGUACAAUGCUUCUGAAAACGCGACGGUGUCGAUCGCCACUGAUGUGUCGGUCGACACCAAGACACUCUGAACGUUCCAAGUUGCUCUUGUUAGCUGUAAUGCUCCAAAUAUCCAGCUUUUGCUCCAAAAUUCAUCCAAAUAUGUAAUUACCUGUAAAGACUCAAAAAAAGACAAAAAUGACUAAAAAGACUCCAAAAUCACAACUAAUAUCAUGGUUAAAAUCAGUAAAAACCACGAUAUAUCACCAACCAUAAUGUCUGUUUCCUAAUUUGGCUUCCCAUUUUUCCCUCUGCACUAAUUCACUCUUGUUUAAUUUUUACUUUUUCUUUUAGUAUACGUGAAAUACUUAUCAUCUAUAUACAAUGGAAAUAUGAAGUUUAUGUUUGUAAUUAAUUAAAGACAAUAAUUUCAAUAAUAACAUGGUUUCUUUUUAACACUGAAAUUUAUAUAUCAUAUUCUCAUGUAACAUUUGAAUACUUUGUUAUUAAAUAUAUAUUUCUAAUUUCACUAUAUAAUAAAGAUUUAAAAAAUUUAUCAUGCUUAUGCCUUUUUAUUUUAAUGAUAAGAUGCUUUAAUUUAAGGAACCUACUUUCUGUUCAAUAUAAUAGUAUAUCUAGUAUUUUAACUUUUUUUUUAAUCAGUUUAUUUUUCUUGUUGAUUAACUUGUCAUUAUUUUACCAUGUAUAUAGAGUCUUGUCAUUCAACAAUAGUAUAUCUAAAUAGUAGAGGAUAUUUUGAUCAUUACGCAGUGAUUAUGUUUUAUAAAUCAUUAUUUUCGUGGUUUGCUUUCCUUUCUUUGUCUUUGAAUUUCUUGGUUAUUUUCUUUUAUCUAGGAAUUUACUUUUAUAUAUUACUGACGUUAGGUUUUCUUUAACUAGUGUAACUUUCUCUUUUACCUUAGCUUUUUUUUCAAACUCCUAUUAUGGCUGACGACUUGUGGAAUGAUCUUCAACAUAUGGUUUUGGGCCGAGAUGACCCAUAACUUUUUAUUCUCCAAGAAAUCUAUGAUGGAGUUUUAGCAAAAAGCGGACUAAGUUUAUUGGGAGGCCUCUAAAUCCCAGAGAUCAGAAAUUUAGAAGUGUGAACGCUUCCUCACAUCGUGUAUGGGAAUUAUUUUCUAUGCUCGUCCAAUUUUUGGUUCAUUCUGAAGUAGACUUGGUUGUUGUUCUUAGAAGAGAACCUUGGUUGUUUAAUGAUUGGUUUGUUGCUUUACAACGAUGGGAAGACUUUUCUGAUGAAGAUUUCCUUUCUUUUAUUGCUCUUUGGGUUCAAGUAAGAGUUAUAUGAUGUGUGAUGGUUUUUCGCUUCAAUCUUUUACCUCAAAAGACCACACGACUACUGCAAGUGCACAGUGAAUCGGUUGUAGUAUUUAAGGAUCGAAUCCCACAGAGAGAUAAGUAGUUCGGACGAACCUGUUAGACAAAGUAAAGCUAGGACAAAACAAUAAAAGAGGGGUUGUUGGUUGGUAUCACGGUUGCAAGUAAAAGUAAAUAAAAGCAAUAAGAAAGCAAGUAAAUAAAGCGAGUAAAGAAAGCAAGUAAUCAGUAAGAGACAAACGUUGGGCAUCAAGGGUAUCGCAGGGGGUUCAAUGAUCGUAAUCUAAGAAAUACUAGAAUUAAGUUUGUUUUACUUCCAAGUCUUGGACAUACGAAACACUAAGAUUCGGCUAACCCUAUGUUAUAGAAUUAGUCGGCUAAAAUCCUUAUACUCCGUUACCCAACAUACGCAGGCAACGACGCAUAUAUCAAAGCAAUAAGAUCAAGUUCAAUUCUAGUCCAUAAAGCCCUGUAACUAUGUGGUGUGUGCUUGUUAUAACACGAUACACAUUCGUAAGCUAUGUCUAGCGUAUUAAACAACCUUGUGAGCAAUUUAAACACUUGGGAUCACGAGUUAGGACAUGAAUCUAACUACAUGCAUUAAGAAACAUCUUACUUAGAAAGAAUACAAUGUAAACGAUCAAACAAAACCCUAAGUAUCGCCACCUAGACGAUCGAUCAUGUCCCUCCUUUGAUUAACCCUUUAAACCCAACUAGAAAACUACUCUAGCAUGGUUAAAGAGAUCAUCAAAGUAAGGUUUUAUAAACUCAUAAGAAAGAGAUGAAUAAGAACUGAAUAGAGUUUAGAGAUUACUUCUUUGAAUGUAGAAUACAAGAGGUAAGACUUCACCUUAAUAGAUCUUACAGUAAACAAGAGAAAAGAGAGAGAUUUGGUGGACUUCUAAGCUUCAAGGACGACGGUUGCAGCUCACGGCGAGGGCAGGGAAGAGCUUCUAAGACUUCACCUAGACACUUCGAAGGCACACUAGGUUUAAGGUUUUCAUCGGGUAUUUAUAGGUUUCGGAGACCAAGGAUUAGGUUUAGGGGUAAAAGCUUCUUUUCCCAUGAUUAAGUUAAGUGCAUACUCGAGUUCCUGGACAGGCUAGAAGCCUUAGUUACCGGGGUGGAGAGUAGAAGGAAGCCCGGGCUCGACCCUUGUGACCGGUGCGACCUAGAAGCUCCGGAACGGUUGCAUAGCUUCUGGACGGUCUGGACAUAUCUUCACUCUUCUAGUCAUAACUUCCAAAUGGCUCGAUGAAAUGCUCUAAUUCCACUCGAAGAGAAUCUUGACUCUUCUAGCUUUCCAUAGCCACCGAGAUCUCUUUAUUUGGUAAUAAGGAAGACCUCGAACGGACGCCAUACUUAUAACGUACAGAUGCUGUCUUGAAACGGGUUUUGAUCGCCUUUUGGACUUUAAAGCUCAAAAACUCUUAAAACCUUCUUGACUCCAUAAAUACUUGAAUAACACCUUCUUGGCUUUGAAGUCACUCCAAAUGUUCCCUAAAACAUCUACAUAUACAUUUUUACAGGGUUUUUUUGCAUUAAUUCAUUUGGAUCCGGGUUUUACCCGGGUUUAACUCUAUCCGGAUCUUGGAUAAUGAAUUUUAGGAAUGUUGUCUUAAAACCACAUUAAUUCUUAAUUAACACCUAAAUUGGAAAUAUAUAUAAUAUAUCUAAACUAACCAUAUUUGUUAUUUACCUUAACUACUUCUAACCAUAAUUAUUUAACUAUUUAUUUCUAUAUAGAAAGAAUAUGUGAUUAAAAUAAAUAUUUUGUAAAAUAUUUAUUUGGGAAAAAAUUGUUCUUACGAAAAUAAUUUAUUUUGUUAUAAAAAUUAAAUUUGUUAUUUGUAAUUAAAUUACAUAAAUAAUAAUAAUAAUUUGUCUACGCCAUCAAAUGAAAAUAGUUAGUUAUUUAAUUUUUUUAUUUAAUAUUACGUAAUUUUUAAAAAAUAAAUUCAACAAUAUAAUGUCAAUGGGUUUAAUUCUAGAGAUUUGAAAAUAUUAAAAAAGAUAUUAACCAAAAAUUAUCUAUCCUAAUUUGUUUCUAACAAUUUGGACACAAAUCUUUCAAAUCUUUUGAAAAUUUAAUGUGAUCACAUUUGUUACUAAAAUCUCGAUUAUAUUCCUAAAAUCUCGAGAAGAUCUUCCUUUAAAUCUGCAAAUUAUAAUUUUUGAAUUAAAUAAACUAACAAUACGAAUAUUCCUCAUAUAUUAGAGUACCAUAACGAAAUUAAUUCUUUAAUUAUACAUAUAUUUUCGAAAUUAUCUUAAAUGCUUACCAUUCCAAAAAUUAAAUUGAUUUCGAAUAUUUCCACAAUCUAAAUUAAUUACUAUAACAUACUUUAUCUCAACUAUUGUUCCUAAAAUCUUGCUUAAAUCUCGAUUUUAAAGAAACUAAUUACUCUAUAUAUAUAUAUCGAAAUAAUUAGAUUUGGAUCCUUUCUUUAUUUGAACGGUUUAUCAAAAUUAUAUUCCUAUAAUAGAUUGUAAAACAUUAAUGCACUAUUAUGAGAAUAUGAAUUUAAAGAAAAAUCUUUGAUAUUAAUACUCCUAAUAAAUAGCCGAUUUUAAUGGCAAAAAUCUUUCAUAUUAAUGCUUUCAAUCCACCUAAAAGAUAUAAAACAUUAAUGCACUAUUAUGAGAAUAUGAAUUUAAAGAAAAAUCUUUGAUAUUAAUACUCCUAAUAAAUAGCCGAUUUUAAUGGCAAAAAUCUUUCAUAUUAAUGCUUUCAAUCCACCUAAAAGAUAUUAUCCUAAAAUGGUUAGGAAUAUAUGUAGCAUAUUCUAGAUUUGUGAUAAUUUAAAGAUUUUCGAAUAUAUCAACGCCUUGCUAAUCAAGAUUUUGGAUAUUUUCUAACACAAAACCCUACUAACCUAUCAUAACUCUAUAAAUACUUGAUCGUUUCUACUACUUCUGAACACACAAAACACCAGUUGCAUUCUUUAACUUUCCAAUUUCUAAUCUUAAUGUGUUGUUUGAUUUAAUUUCUUGAAAUUGGAUUCGAUUAAACUUUGAAUUUUUGUUUCUAGGUUUAGAAAUAAAUCUAUUUUGAAUUUUAUGCGUUAGUCAUUUUAUGAAAUUUGAGGAAGAAGAUACAAUUCUUUUUUUAUAUUCAUCAAUUCUUUUGUUCAUAUACAUCGCUAGAGUCUUUGGAUAUUAUUAACUUUUUUUUUGUUCGUGUGCAGAUUCUUUGUGGUCGAUCAUGUUGGUGGUGAGUUACGACUACUCUCAAUGCUAGAUGCUUUGGUAACAAGUUCAUUUCUAUAUAAUAUGGAUUUUCCACUUACAGAUUUGGAAUGUCAGAUUUUGUGAGUUGAAAAACUAUUUAUGUUUCAAAGUGUAUAUCUAAGCUAUACAAAAGAAGUAUAUUUGACAUCUUUUUCUCUUUUUAUAUAUGUGACUGUAGCCAUUAAGAGUAUAAAAUAUCUGGAAAAUAUGAAGACCAACACAGAGACACCAAUUUGUAUCAAAAACAGGCAAUUACUCAUUUGACUAACUCUGGUUGUGUUAUACGUACGUUUAUUAUUCUUUCAAUUUGCUAACGACCUUAUAUGUGACUAUUUAGUAGAGCUGCUGAUUUGUAUAGGCAGAUUCUUCAGCUAAAGCCAUUGCUGGAGUACUUUAUUAAAAUUUCUGACUCAAAAAAUUUAUAUGUUUUGUUUUAUAUACGUUUAUUAUAUUUUCACUUUCACUUUGGCUAAUGAUCUUAUGUUUGACUAUUUAGUAGAGCUUAGCCUAAGGUGCAUUAAGUGAAUGCACCAUUUUACUAAAAGCAAUAGACACAAUGAACAAGGUAUCAUCCAUCUGUUUUCAUAUAUAUACUCGAUUUGACAAAAUUCAUGUUUGCUUUUUUAUUGUAUUCAAACCAAUAAUAAUCAUAUUGAGCUUACAUUUAUUGGGUGUGAAAUUGAAUCACCUUUUCAUUAGCAAUCUAAUAACUAAUGUAGUUUCAUUGUGACGUAGCUGCAUCACAUUGUCUCAAGAAUAUUGAGUCCUUUGAACAAGAUGAGAAAGCUUACCUGGAGAAGGCUGCCCUAGAGUUUGAUGAAGAAAAAAAACAUGGCCUGCAAAAUAACAAAAACGGUAGGACCAAAAUAUUUUGUUUUUUCUUUAGCCGUUCGAUUUAAUUACAAACUAGGAUCGGACCCGCGGUCCACCGCGGAGAAUAUUGAUUUACAUACGUUGAUUUUAAUAUUGUGCGUGUUUUUAGUAGAACGAAUCGUGUAAUGUACUUAUAAAUAUUCCUAAUAACAAAUUGUAAAGAAAAUAUUAAAUUGUUUAUAAUUAAACCAAUCGUAUUAAUUAUGAUUUACAAAAUGGAAUUUUGUGUUUUAGAAUUCAAAAAUUAGACGAAUCAUGGGAAUUAAAGCAGUCAAAAUAGGUCAAAAACCGUGGGUCGAGCCCAAAUCAUCUCACUAUAGGCCAGAUUUGGGAAAAUAUAUUAAACCCGCAAAUAAGCGGGCCACAUGGAUUGAUUCGCAGUGGGUCAUCGGUUUUCUUCCGGGGGUUGGCGGAUCAACCCGCAUGAUAGUAUUUAUUGAUAAAAAUACAAUUUAUUCAACAUGUGGUAGUUUAAAAAACUUUUAACAAAUGAAAUUCUAAUAUUUAUAAAUAUAAUGAUAUAUAAGAUUAUUUUCUCUAAAAACAUUUCAAUUUAUUUAUUUUAGUAGAAUUUUAAAUUUUGGUUACUCUAAAAUUAUUUAAACAAAAUCCACGGAUAACCCCGCAAAUCGGCAUACAUUCGCGCGACGGGGUUGUGUUUCAUAUAUGCUACCCUCGGGUCGUGCAGACAGACUAACUACAUGCCAAACUAUAUUUUGCCAAUUACAAAACAGGCUUAACGGGACGAAUCAACUCGUUUUGACAGCUCUAAUGGAAAUAUUAUUUAGUCAUACAACUCAAUGGAGUUUGGACAUAGGAAUUAUAGAAUACGUAUCUUAUUUGUUAGAUUAGAGAUUGAAAGGUGAAAUAUAAUGAUUAAAAAUAAUUAAUAUUUUUCAUGAUUCGUAAAAUUUAAUAAAUAUUUAUCAUCUUGUUGAAUAAUUCUAAAAAUCAUAUUCAAGAAAUCUUUAUAAUUUGAAAAUUAAACUUCUUUGGUAAACUAUAAGUAUGAUUGUAUGAAAAUACCAUAAUUUCGAUUUAAUCUAAUUACAUUAAAAUUAGUUACAUAGAUUUCAUAUCUAUUUAAUUUACACGACCAAAAUAAAAAUAUCUAUUUAUUUAAUUUAUAAAAUAGAUGGGUUAGUUGUGAUAAAUUUUUUAGAAAUCUCUAGAAGCAAGUAAGAUAUCUUUUAAUUAAUGAUAACUGGCUAAAAUAAGCAAAAUUAAUGAGAAAAACGUUGAUUGUUAUGGAAUUAGUUCCAAAAGUAUAUGAACAAAUAUAUUAUACGUAGUUAAUGUAUAAUAUUGUUCGGAAUAUGAUUUUAUAAUUAGUUACCAUAAGUACAAUCAAAUUUUAUUUGAUUUCCAUAAACAUUUGAUUUUAGUUCGAUUUUUCAUUAUUAAUUCGAAUUUAUAUUCCAAAAAAAUUUCAAAGAUCCGAUUUCAGAAUUUCGGGUCAAUUUUCUGAUUUUGACCCGACCCAUUUACAUUUGUACUUCUCUUUUAAUAGUAUAGAGAUAUUUGUGUUUCACUGUUUGAAGCUCAAGUUGUUACACGAGCAAUCAGAUUGUAUAAAAACAUUUAAAGGUUUUACAUUGAAAAAAUUAUUUACAAGGGUUCUUUUGUUUCUGAGAAGAUGAAUUGAAAGAUCAAGAAAGUGAGUUCUGAAAAGCAUUGUAUCAUUCUCUCCAACACCGAAAUAAGACUUUUGUAGUGAAUUCUGAAUCUAUUAUAUCAAAUAUGAACAAAACAACAAUAAUUUAAGCAAACCACAACACUCCUCAACCAGGUAACUCAUGUUCUUUGACUCUAAUGGAAAUUAGUUUUAAUAAGUUUCAUCAAUCUGAAAAUCAGAAAUUAAUUCUACAAGUAUCUAGAAAUUAGAUUCUCCAUUUCAAUUCAUAAUAUACAAAACUCAGUAAAACAAAAAACAAAAUUUUUUUUGAAAGAUCGUACACAGUAAUAAAUCUAUUCCUUAAUCUAUAUCUUACAGAAAAUCAGGGAAUAUGGAUAUUGUUUGAACAUGAGACAUGAACUCUAUCUCUUGGUCACAACGAAGAAGAUCAUCGAGAACUGAAGUAGAUUUAGAACGAUGGUUUGUGUGUCGUCUCACCUUCGAUCCGAUGCAAAUUAGAUACUCAUCCCCUUUAAUCAAUCGAUUAAUCCACAUGCAAGUAGCCUGAUUACAUAAAAACUCCAAAAUCAUAAGAACGGUUGAAGAAGACGAGAAGAUUCUCAAAAGAGAUUCUUAUUUUAUUUUCUAAUGCAACAUUUUCUGUUUUUUCAUAGAUAUUUCAAAUAAAAGUCCAAAGGGUAAAAUACAGAAAAGAAAAGUGAAGCCUAAUUAAGGCCCAAUACAUAAUUACACGUCUUUAAAAUUCGUUCAAUAAAAUUGGAUUGAUUCAACAUAAAUUAGUUUUCUUUUGAGAAAUUUGGCUGUAUAACCAAGAAAAAAAGCUUUAAUUCACUAUCUAACUAUUCUAACCAUAGAACUAUGAUAUUGUGUAUAUUACAUGUAUUAUUGACAAUUUUAACCCUACUCUAUAUAAAAUUAUAAUUUCUAAAUAGAUUACCAUGACUCCAUUACACUACCACCACCAUUGCCACGUUAUUGUAGUCACCACUUCCAUCGCCGCGAACACCAUGGCGCACCAUCACUACUACAACCACCACCAUCAUCUUCGUUACCACCACCACCACCGCGACCACAAUAACGUCACCACCACCACUAUUGCGACUAUGAUGACGUCACCAUCACCACUACCAUGUUGUCACCACCACAACCACGUCAUCACCGCCACUAUUACCAUCAUCUUCACCACCAUGCCGUCACCACCAUAACGACCACCAUAACGUCACCACCACCACAGCAAUCACCAUAACGUCACCAUCACCACUAUCACUAUCACUACCACCACCGCCGCAACCACCAUGACAGUCACCACCACCACUGCUACCUCCACCACCAUCGCCGUUGUCCAAACCACCACCGACGUCACCACCACCACCACUACCACAACUAUGUCAUCACCACCAUACCGUCACCAUCACCAUCACCGAGUUAUUACCAUCACCACCACCACUACUUACAUUUUAUUAAAAAUGUUUCGUUCUAUACUAUUUCAUUAGAUUCUAUACUAUCUCAUUUAGAUUCUAAAGUUUAACUUGGUAGAUUAGGUUUCAUAUGUACUAUUCCUAAAGAUAUAACAAUAUAAUUUCUGUCAUGCGUUUAAUUCGGUAUUUGGGUUCCCUAUAUUGUAUCUCUUAGGAUAUAGUGUUUAUUUUCCGAUGUACGUUUAACACAAAUUUAUGAAAAAUUAAUAAAUUAUUCUUAGUAAUAACAUAUUAUGCGAUUACAUUUUAUUUUACUCUAUACAAUUUCAUUUUAUGUAAUUCUAUUUAGACAUUAAAUUUUUAUCAUUAACCACCUUUUUCAUAAACUUAUCUGUUUUAAAAAUUUAAAUCAUGAUACAUUCAGAAAAGUAUAUAGAUUUUUUAUAGAAGAAUCAAGACUUUGAAAAUUUUUAUUAAAACAAAGAAAAUUGAGUUACAAUUAAAAGGGGUAAAGACAAAAUAUACUUCUCUCUCCUGCCCCUCAUCCUUGAACUCCAACGAUUGAGCUUUUUUCUGCCAGCUCAGCUGAAUGUCUUUCUCCUUUGGUGCUUCAUCUCGACACUAGUUUAGUCUUUUCCCUUGUCCCUUAUGUUACUUUCUUAAUAUUUUUGAAUAUAGUGCUAUAUUCUUAAUUUGAGAUUGUAUUAUGGUUAUAGAGCAAAUUCACCCUUUUCUUUUUCAGAGUUUUUUUUUUUCUAUUUUCUUAGGUAAAGCAUGAGACAUUAUUUGACUAUUUUUUAUACAAUUAGAGUAAUUUAAUUUGUCUUUCGAAAUUUUGUCUUUUUGGUUUAUUUUAACACAUUUAUAACACACGUUUAUAACACACAUAUAUAACACUAUAUAGCAUUAUCAAACAAUCUUAUUAUAUAAAGAAAACUUUAGUAUAUUCAGAUUAAAUAAUAAAUUAUAUAAGUAAUGAGUAUAAAUUUUAUCCCACUAAUAAAACUUACUUAAUUUUAAACUUUGGGAUAGUAAUUUAAUAACAUGUAUCUUAUUCGUAUAAAUAUUUCGUCAUAUAAAAGCCAAAUAAUACUUUAGGAAAUGUUUUAAUAAAAUUAUUAUUAAAAAGAAAAUUACAAAAUGAUUUUUAAUUUCACGGGAUGAAAUUAUAUGGUGGGACGGAUUUGGAUCAAUAUUAAUACGGGAUGGUAUACUACGGGUAAAAUCCUAGAAUUAAUAAUCAAAAUAUAAUUAUACAAUCUUAAACACUAAAUGUAAAAUAUCGUUAUGCGGUAUACUAUAUAUCUAUAGAUUAUCCUAAAAAUUUAAUUUUUUUAUUUAGUAAAAAUAUAGGCCCGCGGUGUACCGCGGGUUAACAUCUAGUUAGAAAACAAUAGCAAAUACGGGCGAAAAUCACAUGUUAUCAUUAUACCUCUUCCGUAUGUUUCUGAGACAAUAAUUAGCUUCAUUGCUAAUACUUUUAGAGAAGUUGUUGACCUUGAUUUCAUUGAAGAGACUACCACUCAGAUUUAAAUAAUAAUUGGAAUUAUAGAUCAAUUUUGUUUAUUUAGAAGAGUAAGAUUUGAAUAAGGGGAAGGGGCCAUAAUUCUUUGAAUAUGAAAAACUUGGAAGCUACUAUUGUCUCAUCAAUCACCACACUAGUCACUGCCUUUAUCUUACUCCUCCUAUUCUUCAUGAGAACACCUAAAUAUUCAUGUAUUUCAUGUAUGGAGGAGAGGGUUCUAAUAGUUAACAUUACUGAAGAGAUUCAUCCAGCUCCAAGUUUUGAUAUCACCUCUUAAACUCCAAUCUCUCAACUAAUCAUAUGCCUAAUUUGGAUGAAUUGUAGCAGCUAAUCUUCUUCAUAGUUUCCCUUCAUCAAGCUCCUCUUCUAUGUAAGUGAUAUCUCUGUAUUUUACCUCUUUUUAGCACACAUUUCUUAUGCAUUUAGCUUAGUUUUCUCCCCGAUUCAUUGCAUUCAUAGUCCUUUUCAUACUCUUUUCAUAACUUAGUACGAUUUGCAUUGCAUUGCAUAGCAUAUUGCAUAUUGGAUGUGUUUCAGGUACUAUGGAGCUUAUUUGGGACUUAAUGGAGCUAAGAGGUCGAGUUAGAGUCAAGGAAGUCAUUUAAGAGGAUCCAGAACCGUGCUCUACGUGGGAGCUCGAUGCAAGACAUCAGGAGGUCACCAAGGAGUGUGCUCGACGUGGGAGCUCGACCAAAGGUCGAGCAGGACAUCAGGAGGUCACCAAGGAGUGUGCUUGACGUGGUAGCUCGACCAGAGGUCGAGCAGGUCUGAUCGAGCAGGACAUCAGGAGAUACCAAUGAGUGUGCUUGACGUGGGAGCUCGACCAGAGGUCGAGCAGGCAAGUAAAAAGGAGCCAACUUUGAAGAACACACCUGCUCGACGUAUUUGCUCGACCUGACGUCGAGCAGGACCUGAGCCGACUUUCUAUUUUGUCGUUUUGCCAAUUAUGGCAACCUAGUACUUUUCUAUAAAUAGGGGUUCACCCUUUUAUCAAGAGGAGAUAUUCUCUUUACCCUUUGGUUUUUCCGUUUUUCUCUCUAAACCCUAGUUUGUAAUCGUUUUUCCCAUUGAAUCAUUGAGUUUUUGCACUUCGUUUCUUCAUCAAAGUUGUAGAUCUCUCUCUUAUCUAUAACAUACUUGCUUUUUAAUGAAUUCUGGGUUUGAAUCAUUUUCUGGGUUUGUUGCUAUGAUGUUCUUGAGUGUUCUUGAGUAGUUUUGCAAAGUUCUUAAGGAUGGGAUAGGUUGUUAGUGGAAUCUUCUGUUUCUUUAGCUAGAUAAGUGUAUAACUGCAUGAUUUCCCUUCUGGUUUAGUAGUUCUUAGUCCUAUUUCCUCUCUUAUCAAUUGGAAGUUGAUCUCAGACAUUUCCACACCCACAAGGUGUUUGAUGAAAUGUCUGAACCAACUAUUCCAGAGAUUUACAUACUCUAGCUCAUGAGAUUAGAUGUUUAGAAUGUUUAUUGACUAUAUUAGAUUGAAUCUUAAUGCCUGCUUGAUUAUAUUUCAUCAAUGAGAAUUGAGUUUGAAAGUGAUCUUGUUUGAGAAUCUUUGUCAUGAAAGUGGAUUGAUUUGUAUUUGAAUCUAUUGUCUAGGGAUAGCUUGAUUGAGUCUAUUAGCUAGUUAAAGGGAUAGAUAAAUCCAUUAUAACCAAUAACCCCAUUCUUAAGAGCUUGCCUUGUUUGAUUGCUUAAAUCUCGUUUCUGUUAGUCUUUAUUGUCCUGCUCGACCUGCUUGCUCGACGUGCUUGGUCUAGCAUAGUUUUCUGCAUUGAUGGGUUGUUAGUUUCCUUUUUAAAGCUUAUGCAUGGUAGUUCCUGGUUUGUAGUUCAUUUCUUGCUGCUUAGUUUUCUUUCUUAUGCUUUUGAAUUUGGUACUUGCAUGUUAAUUGGUUGCUUAGGUUGAAUAGAAACACACAAAACCUUUUCACAAUUGGCUUGACUUACUUGCUUUUUGUGCAUAUCUUGAAUGCUUGCAAUCACACUGAGAUUAGAUUGAUAACCUAAUAUACUACAAUGACAUGUGUAUUAGGAAUUGAUACUAAUUGAGCAAAAAUCGUACUAUCAGUAAGUCUCAUAUGAUCUUAUCUCGGCUAAAGGCUUUAAAACAAAACCAAAUAUGAGAUUGGAGCGAGCUAUAAACGCAAGAAAGGAAAGCAAAUCAAUAUGGAGCCAACAAAAAGUACUUACCAAUGUAGAAAAGAUCCUGGAGUGAGGUUAUAUCUACUAAUUCAAGACCCUCCAUGUUUUUCUAAAAGAAGGUUAACACUCUCAGAGAAAUAUCUGACAUUCUUCUCUGAGAUAUUUUGGAUAAGUCAAUCUUAGUUGAUAAUAAUUUCCACUUCACAGGUUAAGAUAGUGGAUACUUUGAUAUAUCUUUUAUGGUGUAUCGGUGUCUUUUCUUAUGAUGAAGGAAGGUAUUAGAUAAAAUUUUGGAAGGCCUCUUGAUGAAUUCUUUUUGAUGAUGAUAAUGUGGUGUGCAAGAAAGUUUUCAUAACACACGCAUAGGAAGUAUUCUCUAAAACCAUUUGCAAUGCUCAUGGGAAGUUGGGUCUUAUUGUGGAAGUUAUGAACAUGUCUUGCUUUACUAUCAUCGCCUUUGUUUUUUUAAGUUAGUUAGUCUUUAAGUCUAUUUUAUCAAGUACUUUGCCUCUCCAAAAUGGUUUCUUCACUAAUUGAAAAUGUUAUCUUUUUUUUUUUUCAAAGACUUAUUUUCAUUCAUCAACGUAAAACAAGGUUCAAAGUAGCCAAGGAUACACGGAUAAGAUGGCUCGAUACAAAGCACAAGUAGCAUAAAAAGGUAAAAGCAUAUGCUAUGCAAAAAAUAGCUAAUAUAGUUCGACGAAGGAUCCAUGACAGCUUGGAGACCAAAGCUAGGAAGCAAAUUAGCGAAAGUGCUAACACGGUUUUUCGUAGAAUCAUCCACGGACGAAGCGUUAGACGAUACAAUGGCCACUGUCAAUAGACUAAGUGAUGUUGAAGAGGGUUCCAUGGCCGAGUUAUUCGCCAGCACGAGAAAAGCUAGAUGGAUUUGCUCAUCAGCAAGUAGAAGGGUGACUACGGUUCUAUAGUCGGGUGGGUUUGGAGCUAAAGGGUUUAGGAAGCUUCGGUAAACACGGCUCCUUGGAGAUGGAGUUAUAAUGUCGUUCUUCCUCAAGCAUUUAAUUUCAUGAAUAAAAACCUUAAUGUUGUUGAUUAGCACUUGCUUGAACUAAGUAUUCAGAGGAAAUGGGAAUAUAGGAUUGAAGAGGCUUUGGUAACCAUCGCUCCAUGGAGACAAAAUCAUAAUGUCGGUCUUCUUCAAUCGAUUAACUUCAAAAUUCAAUCAUUUGGAUUCAUGCCCAAUAAACCUAUGUGAAUAUAGUGGCAGGGUUAUUAUAGAGUUCUUGAACAUCCAUAGCAACAAUGAUACAUUACGUUCCAUUUGAUGUCCUCUAUCAUAAGGAUUCGAUAAAAGAAACAGAGGUUGUCUUAGAGAUGGACGAUGAAGAGUUGAGAACAGACCUGGACUUUAGCAGAUAAUGUAUUGGAUUACACUUUUUAGACUUGGGCUUCAAAAAUCUUAAAUGGCCAAAAUUAAUAAAUCCUACCAGUUGUAACCCUAAUUUCACUUUGGCUAGUUAACGAGUAUAGCAGCCGUCGUACAGAGAUGAUGGAAGAUCUUGUGGUGAAGCAGGCAUCUCUGGUGAAGCUAGAGUCGGCGUUUGGUGAAUUUUGUCAAGAUUCGAAACAAGGGAGAAGAACCAGAGAUGAUUGGCCGUUUCGGGAAAGGAAGUCGGAUUCCAGAGAAGAAGCUUGCAGUGCGCCAUCGACGUCUCCACCAGGCACGACGCAUCUGACCGUCUAAUAGCCUGAUCUCUUGUCAUCAAUGAAGCAUGGUAUGAAGUUGUUUCUUGGGAAAGCGGUAUCACAUAUCCAUGGUUUGGUGGUUCUUUUAGAGUUGUUGCAUGUUGAGGGUGAGAGAUGGAGAUCGCCGGACACCAUCUUCUCCCUUUGUUUUUGGUUGUUGAGAAUCUCAGUAGAUGCCUUGGGUUGGAGAGGGAUUCAAAAGGAGAAAAAAAAUUGCUAACAAAAAAGAAAAUGAUAGAAGAUCUAGAGUGAUGAAGAGCAAGAUGGUCAAAGGAAAAUUCUUGACUCUGGUGUGUCAAAACUCCACCGAUACCGGAAUACAUGCCCGGAAAGAAAUUCUCGAUAUUAGUGUAUGAGAGAAAAACUUUUUUUCUUUUCUUAUUAUAUGGUUUUGUUAUCUAAAUAAUUCUUUACAAGGAAAAGAAAAAGCUAGCUUUUUUAUAGACUAUUCAGAUCUGAUAAAGAUUGUGUUUUUCCCAACCGAAUGGCUGGCUUUCUCAGUGUAUUUGGAGGAAUUCCUAAGCGCCAACGAAGGAUUUUCAAGUUUCUCUUUAUCUUUAAUUUCUCGCUGUGCAAAUGUUACAGCGGAUAAAUUGGCACGAAAAAUUCGUACCGAACCGUAUCAUAUCAAAUAUGUAAAUAAUAUCUAAAAGCAAUGGUUCUUUUAAAUAUUAAUUUUAAAGCUGUUGACAAACAAAAAGAUCUAGUUACAAGUAGAUUUAUGAAUACAAAAAAUUAGUGUUAAUUUAUUUUUCUUUGACCUUUUUUGUUCUUAUAAACAUCUGUUUCUUUAUUUUGCUAUGUUAUAUAUAGGAAAAAUGUCGAAAAAUGCGCCAACUUUCAAAUUUGGGACGAUUAAAGCAUGAACUCUCGAAAUGUCUCUUUAAUCACAAAGUUUCCAUUGACCUGUCUGAAAAUAGCUAAGUUUUUGUUGACCUGGCCAAAUUAGGCAUCGCGUUAAGUCUCCGUUAGAACGAUGCUGACGCUGUUAACAAUCCGUUAGAUUCUCCGUUCGAUCAAAACGACGUCGUUUUGAAGUUUUCAAACGACGUCGUUUCACCAGAAAAUAAGAAGGAAAAAUGGCAUCUCCAAAGAAUCAAACUGCUGACCUGUUACACUAAUAAGAGACACUCAACCAUUGGGCUACGGAAACAUUUUAAUGUUAGUACAAACAGAACGUGUAUAUAUACUAAAACCUGGUAACAUAAAUUAGGUAAAGAUAUAUGCAAUUAAUUAAAAAUAACAAACUUAAAAAAUAAUAAUAACCAAAAAUACAAAUAUUAAAUAUACUUAUCAUAGUAUAUGUAUCAAAAUCUCAAAUAUUAUUUUAUAAAUAAAGAUUUCUUCCAUAUUUGGAAAAUUAUUCUUUCUAAUAUAAAAAAUUUAAAUAUAUGACAUAAAAUUAAUCAUAUAAUUAUGCCUUAUAUGCACCAAUGAUACAUGCAACAACCACAUUAAACAUUUAUACAAAGUUUAGGUUUUUAUAAUUUAGGAAAUAAUAAUUUUCCAAAAUAGAAUAAAAUCUUUAUAUAUAUAUAAUUAAAUGUUUGUAAAUUUGAAAUAUAUAUUUAAGGUAAGUAUAUUUAAUAUGUGUAUAUGUUUGGUUAUUAAUUUGUUUUUAAUAUUGUUAUUUUAAAUUAGUUGCAUAUAUUUUUACCUAAUUUAUGUUACCAAUUUUUAGUAUAUAUACACGUUCUGUUUGUACAAACAUUAAAAUGUUCCCGUAGCCCAAUGGUUGAGUGUCUCUUAUUAGUGUAACAGGUCAGCUGUUCGAUUCUUUGGAGAUGCCAUUUUUCUUUCUUAUUUUCUGGUGAAACGACGUCGUUUGAAAACUUCAAAAUGACGUCGUUUUGAUCGAACGGAGAAUCUAACGGAUUGUUAACAGCGUCAGCGUCGUUCUAACGGAGACUUAACGCGAUGCCUAAUUUGGCCAGGUCAACGAAAACUUAGCUAUUUUUAGACAGGUCAACAGAAACUUUGUGAUUAAAGAGAUAUUUCGAGAGUUCAUUCUUUAAUCGUCCCAAAUUUGAAAGUUGGCGCAUUUUUCGACAUUUUUCCCAUUUAUCAAUACGUUUUGAUUUUCUCAAGUUUUUUUUUGACAGAAAAAAGUUUUGAUCUUCUUAAGAAACGAAGGUCCCAUGUUAAAAUAAAAAGUCUUACAAGUUAGGAUUCAUGGAUUUAUUAAUUUAGAUAUAGAUAAGAUACAUGAACAUAAUUUUCAUGACAAGAAAACAGAAACAUAACAAACAAAGAUAGAUGCACGGUUCUCCUGUCUUUAACCUCUCUCUAAGAGGAUAGGAACAUACAACAACAUUAAUUAAUAAUAGUCAGAACAAGAUCUGUUUUAUUUAACCGAUCCUCCUCACUUCUUCACCUACAAAUCAACAAAAUUUAAAUAAAUUAAACAAUUAUUGAAUAUAGUACAGGCCUCAAAUUUUGAUAAUCGACAAUAUUGGUAUUUUUUAUUUUUUUUUGCCAGAUCCAAAACUUAGGAGAUAUUUGGUCAUGAUUUAAACGUUUAGGAAAAAAGAAUAACCUUAAUCUUAUAUCUACAACUGAAUAAUACGUAGUUUUUCAAGAUCCGUAUUAUUUUUUCAAGAUCCAAAACUCAUAAGUAAAUAUUUGUUCAUGAUUUAUGUAUAUGAUUAAAAAGUAGAGAAAACAAACCUUAAUCGCUGUCGCUGUCACUGCUGCUGCUGUGGUGACCAUCAUCAUGAUGUUUCUUCUCCUUCUUGUCCUUCUUCUUUUUCUUCUCACCAUCGUGACUUUUGCCUUCUCCGUCGUGGCUUUUGCCUUCACCACCGUGGAUCUUGUCUUUGAGCUUGUCAACAAUACCUUCUUUGUGCUCUCCACUCUUGUGCUCGUCGACGUGCUUCUUGUGUUCCUCUUCCUUCUUGUGCUCACCUUCCUUGUUGCCUCCUCCAAUGUGGAGUGCAUCUCCGAUCUUGUUGAUGAGUCCUGCCAUAUCGUCUUUUUUUCUCUUUCUUUUGUAUUAAAUCUCUCUUUAUUUGUUUGGUUUCUUGACGAUUGGAUCUCAAAGGGUCUCUAUAUAUAGCCCCAAAUGGAUAAUUAAUACUAUAUUUUUAUUAUUUUUUUCUCUGAGUUUACUUUAUAGAAAGAGAGAUAUAUGGCAUGGCGAAGAUAAGAUUAAUUUUGAUACCAAAAAAAAAAAUGAAAAAUAAAAGAUAAGAUUAAUUCUUCCAAUGAGCUGUACUGUUUCUUUAAUUGGAAAUAAUGAUACAAUUAAUUGGGGUAGAUUAUAUUCCUUUAAAAAGAAAGAAGAUUAUAUUCUCUUAGAUAUUUUCAACUAUGUGGUUGCAAUUUUUUAUUUCUUUUAUAUAUAUUUUUAAAUGAUUCUGACUAUGUCGUCCAUAUUAGGAUUUUAGGUAGGGCUGGGCCGGAUCCGGAUAUCCGGCUUUUUUGGAGUAUCCGGAUCCGGAUCCGCCUUUUCAUUAUCCGGAUCCGGAUCCGUUCCACCCGGAUAUCCGUAAAAAGAGCCGGAUAUCCGCCGGAUAUCCGGAUCCGGGUUUUUUUUAUACAAUUUUUUUUAUUAAUAUAAAAUUUCAAGAAAAAUAUUUAAAAACAAAUAAUUUGAUAUAAAUAAUUAAAAAUAUUAUUAAAAAAAUAUUAUUCUUAUAUAAAAUAAUAGAAUUUAUUAAUAAAAUUUAAAUAAUAGUAAUAAAAUAUUAAAAAAAUAUUAUUAUUAUAUAAAAUAUCCCGGAUCCGGAUAUCCGGCUUUAAAUUUUCUAUUAUCCGGAUCCGGAUCCGGAUCCGACCGGAUCCGGAUCCGGAUCCGACCGGAUCCGGAUCCGACCGGAUCCGCUUUUUCAUUAUCCGGAUCCGGAUCCGCCCCACCCGGAUAUCCUAUUUUUCGGAGCGGAUCGGAGCGGAUCUCGGAUCGGAUCUCGGAUCCCGGAUAAUUGGUCUCACCCCUAAUUUUAGGACCAUAUAUAUAAUUUAAAGGUACAAAUAGUUUAUAGUAAAUAAAAAUUGGAUUAAACAAACCAACUCAUAUGAUUUUGACAGAAUUCAUGUUGAAAAAUUAUUUACAUAUAUAAAUAUAUAAUUUUUUCUUUUUCUCAAGAAACAAUCUAUUUAUAUUUAAUCAUAAUAUACAUAUACAUUUUUUUAAACAUUUUUGAAAUAAAUCCUGGAGUUGACACUUAUUUACAAUGUAAUGUCACUGACAUUAAUUCUUAACAUUUGUUUCUUUAAUUAAAUAUAUGUAAAUCUAAUUCGUUUGCCAAAAAUCUGGAGACAAUUUUUCCUAAUAUCUCUAUUCUCGACAAUGAUAAUUUAUACUCUAUUUAAAUUAAGAUUUUCAAUUCAAAAUCACUUACCAUAUAUUGCCCUAUAUUAUCAACAUAAAAUCGCCUAAACAAAUAUUCAUACCAACGAAUUUGAAGAAAUUUUUUAAUACUACUAACAAUUGGAAUUCAAAAAAUACGUAUAAUUUUUUUAAAAUAAAUAUUAUAAUUUAUACAUUCAAAAUCAAUAAAAUUUUUAUAAUAUUAUGAAUAUUUGAACAUAUCAACAUUUUAAACUAACACAUGACGGAUUAUACUACGGGACGAAAUUAUAUGGCGGGACAGAGUUAUAUGGCGAGGCAGUGUUAUAUGGCGGGGCAGAGUUAUAUGGCGGGACGGGUUUGAAUCAAAAUUAAUAAAAUUUUAAAAUAUCAUUAACCCGUCUUUUAAAUACGGGUUAAAUCCUGAUUUUAUUAUUUUGGAAGACCUGUAAUAUUAGACAUAUCGAAUCAGUCUAAUUUAGUUAAUAUUGUAUAAAACAAAAAUUGUUCCGUAGUAUACCGUUACUUAAUGGUAGUUAUAAACUAUAAAUUAUAAAAAUGAUAGAAUUUUCAAAUUUUUAAAUAUAAAACAUUAAUUAAAAAUUUAAAAAUCAUAAAUUUUAGAAAAAAUUACCUCCGGUGUACCGCGGGUCAAUUCCUAGUAUAUAAAACGUUUUAGAGAUGUCUACUACAACCAAAAAUCAAAUAUCAACCAAAUCAAACUCUUCAAAUCACAUUCUAACCUCAAAGAAGUCAGGACUUUCAAAAUAUGGCUAUUUGGGUUAAAGACUUAAAGUUUAGGUGCUAAUAUAAAGAUUUUAAAUUUUGUGAAAACGUAUCAAUACAUAAGAAAAUAACUCUACAUAGACAGUAUAUUUGGAAGAAAAUAAGUAAGAAUGGUUUAUUGGUUUAUUUUGUAUGAAAAUGUGAUAUAUUACAUUGGUGGAAAGUAUUAGGGAGCUAUAUGUAAAUAUAUUAUACUUAGGCUAUUAUGUUAAUUUUCCUAAGUAUGUUUAGAGUUUCCUGUGUAACAUUUAUAUAUACUCUCUUCUUAAUGUCAAUAGAACACAACAUUCUCUUUAUUCUCUUAUCCCUUUGGCAUGGUAGCAGAGUUAGGGUUUUAAGAAGAAAAUCAAACAAAGGGAAAAGAAGAGAAGAUGGUGGAUGUCGACGGCAGAGAGCUGGCGACAUGGAAGGCUGCGAAAGACGGCGGGAGCGGGCUCACGGUGGCGGAGAAGGCUAUGGCUUCGCCACUGUAUCUCCAUCCUUCUGAUGGACCGGGUAAUUUGAUCACUACUUUUCAAUUUAAGGGAAAAAACAAUGAAGAUUGGGCUAAGCAUGUGCGGAACGCCUUGCGAACGAAACGAAAAUUAGGGUUUAUUGAUGGGACUUUGGAGAAACCUACCAAGGAGGAUGAGAUUGAACAGUGGGAAGUGGUUAAUUCUAUGUUAAUCGCUUGGAUUAUGAACAUGGUUGAGCCGACUCUCAGGACAUCGAUUUCUAUGGUGGAUGAAGCUCAAGCGUUGUGGGAAGAUUUGAAGCUUCAAUUCUCUGCAGGAAACGGAUCGAGAAUCAGUCAGCUUAGGGCUGAUAUAGCAAACUGUAGACAAAAUGGGGAUACGGUAAUGGUGUACAAUGGGAGACUUAAGAAGAUGUGUGAUGAAUUGGUAAUUUACAAGCCUAUUCGAUCAUGUAGUUGUGGAGAACUGGCUGCUCAGUUGGAAGAAGACCGUAAUGAAGAGAGAACCAAUACUUUCUUGAAUGGCUUAGAUUCUGCGAAGUUUGGUAGGUGUGUUCUACUAUCACAAGUAUGGAACCCCUACCCAAGCUCUCACAAGUCUAUCAAAGGAUCAUUCGAGAAGAGAGACAACUCACGAUUACUAGGAAUCGUGAUGCAACUUCGGAGGCUGUGGGGUUUGCGGUCCAGGCUGCGCAACGGGGUCAAACUUCCAAUUUUUAUCGCGAGAAAGACGUGACAUGUACUCAUUCUGGUAAGUAUGGGCAUGCAAAGGCUGAUUGCUUUUAGAUAAUUGGCCUUCCUGAAUGGUGGGGAGAACGAGGACGCGACUACAAUGAUCGCGGUAGAGGUGGACGUGGACGUGGAGGACGUGGAGGCCAGUUUGGACGUGGUCGCGGGUUGGGUGGUAGGGCCAACACGGUCACGGGUGUUCAGGCAAAUAUUGUUGGGGGCAUACAAGCUAAUUCGACAAGGACACCGGCUGAUUUGGAUCGUCAAUCUCUACCCCAAAUGAGUGAUGAUCAAUGGAAUGCUUUCAAGAGUCUCUUUGCUUCUCAAAAUUCAAAUCCUAAUGAGAAGUUGAAUGGUAAGAAAGAAUGUAUUGAUUUUAUUAUUUAUACAGGAGCAUCACACCACAUGACUGGUAAUUUAGACUCUUUGUCUAAUGUGAUGAAUACCAAUCCAUGUAUGAUCGGCUUACCGGAUGGUGAUCAUGUGGUGUCCCACAACAGGGUGAUAUAUGUUUCGGGGGUGAUUUGUGGUUACAAGGAGUUUUGUAUUCUAAGGAUUUAACAUGCUCUUUGAUUUCGGUUGCAAAGUUGUUGGAAGUGGUUAAGGGCUCUAUUACAUUCACCGAUGAGUUGUGUGUUAUACAGGACCGUGCUAUGAAGACGCUGAUUGGAGUUGGUGAAGAGUGUGGGGACGUGUACGUGCUUCGAGGGGUGAUCGGUGCGAAGAUACACAAGACUGUGAGCUGUUCAGGAUCAUGGGAUUUACGGCUUCGUCGUCUUGGUCAUCCAUCUAGUCGUGUUGUUCCUUAUUUAUUGAGUCAUUUAGAUAUUGAGAAACAAGUGAGUUCAACAACAGUUUGUGACAUUUGUUUAAGAACAAAACAAACCCGUGAUUGCUUUCAUGAAAGUUCUAAUAAAGCUGCUGGAGUUUUUGAUUUAAUUCAUUGUGAUGUUUGGAGUGCUUAUCGAGUUUUGUCUACUUCGGGGGCUGCAUAUUUUCUGACAAUAGUAGAUGACUAUUCCAGAGCUGUUUGGGUGUACUUGUUGCGUGAGAAAAGUGAAGUAGCUGUGACUCUUAAGAACUUUUCAAGAUGGUAGAACGUCAAUUUGAAAAGAAGGUGAAAGUAGUACGGAGUGAUAAUGGAGGAGAAUUUAUGGGUCUCAGGUCAUAUUUUCUGGAAGAAGGAAUUACACAUCAAACCUCAUUGUGUCUAUACUCCUCAACAAAAUAGACGGGUGGAGAGGAAGCAUAGACAUAUCCUAAACGUGGCUAGAUCAUUAAUGUUUCAAGCUACAUUACCACGUAAGUUUUGGGGAGAAUGCGUUCUUACUGCGUGUCAGUUGAUCAAUCGUACUCCAUCUUCAGUUCUUGAUGGGAAGACACCGUAUGAGUUGUUGUUUGGUGUGGUACCUAAUUUUACUACCUUAUGAGUCUUCGGUAGCCUAUGUUAUGGUCGUAAUGUUUUACGUGAUAAGGAUAAGUUUGGGGAACGGAGUCGACGUUGUAUGUUUAUAGGUUAUCCAUUUGGUCAAAAGGGAUGGCGCCUAUAUGAUUUGGAGAAGUCUGAAUUCUUUGUAUUUCAAGAUGUGAUGUUUCAAGAAGACGUUUUCCUGUUUCAGUCAGAGGAGCCGCGAUCGAUCUAUCCAGUGCAGGGAUCGAUCGAUCCCUUACAUGUAGACGACGAGUUGGUUUUUCUAGGGACUUUCGGAUCGAUCGAUCCAAUGCAUGGAUCAAUCGAUCCAACGCAGCAUAGAGGAGACGGUGACAUUCAAGAAAUCCUAAAAGCUAACCGAUCGAUCGAUCCGGCAAAACGACUAGGGGAGACAGAGACGAACGGAUCGAUCGAUCCGCCUCCUGGAUCGAUCGAUCCCUUACCUGGUACGUCUUGCAGAGAAAAUUCGGGGUCUGAGGAUACUGGAAAGACAUUGGUUACUGCUUUAGAUGAAAGGGGGAGUGUUGAGAAAUCGAGGAAUGAUAAUUUGAAAGGGACAGUGCUUAAAGUUCGUCAAAGCGAGAGGGAAAAGAAACUUCUGGGUCAUCUAAAGGAGUAUGUUUUACACACUACACGUUGCUCAUCCGAUCAACCCACACUCUCACCUACCUCCUCCUAAUCAGCGUCUUCUGGUCCAGGGACGGUUAUAUAUCCCAUUGCAAAUUAUGUGAAUUGUAACCGAUAUUCUGAUUCACAGAGAGUGUUUCUGGCUGCUAUUACUGCUGUUUCGAUUCCUAAGUCAUAUUCGGAAGCAGUUAAGGAUGAUAAAUGCUGCAAUGCAAUGUCUGGAGAGGUGAAUGCCUUAGAAGCAAAUGAUACUUGGGAUAUUACUGAUCUUCCACCAGGAAAGAAGGCUAUUGGCAGUCAUUGGAUAUUUACAAUCAAGUAUAAGUCGAAUGGGGAAAUUGAGCGUUAUAAAGCUAGAUUGGUAGCUAUGGGUAACAGACAAGUUGAAGGCUUGGAUUUUGAUUAGACGUUUGCUCCGGUCGUGAAGAUGACAACUAUCAGAGAAUUUCUUAAAAUUGCAGCUGUCAAAGGAUGGGAGGUACAUCAGAUGGAUGUUCAUAAUGCGUUUCUACAUGGGGAUCUUGAAGAAGAGGUUUAUAUGAGAUUACCCCUAGGAUUCGUUUCUCAAGAUAAAUCGAAAGUUUGCAGGCUGAAGAAAUCUCUAUAUGGCUUGCGUUAAGCUCCACGAUGUUGGUUUGCUAAGCUUGUAAAAGCACUCAAAGGCUAUGGAUUUGAAUAGCAAGUAGCAGAUUACUCUCUGUUUACCUUGGUGCGUGGUUCUAUGCAGCUCUUUGUGUUGGUAUAUGUUGAUGAUUUAUUGAUUAGGGGAAAUGAUCUUGAAGGUAUUCAGGAGUUUAAGGGAUAUCUUAGUGAAUGCUUUCAUAUGAAGGACUUGGGGGCUAUGAAAUAUUUUUUGGGCAUUGAAGUAUCUCGGUCUCCUAAUGGCUUUUACUUGUCACAAAGGAAGUAUGCGUUGGACAUUGUAACUGAAUGUGGGUUGUUGGGAUGUCAACCAGUGUCUACUCCGCUUGAGCAGAACCAUAAGUUGCCAGAUGAUGAAGGAGAGUUUUAUGAGGAUGUCGAGAGGUAUAGAAGGCUUGUUGGGCGUUCGGUAUGUCUUACUUUUACUCGACCAGAAUUGUCUUAUGUUGUGCAUAUGUUGGCUCAAUUUAUGCACCAACUUCGUGCCAAACAUUGGGCUACAGUCAUACGAGUUGUGAGAUAUCUUAAAGGUUGUCCGGGUCAAGGUAUUGUGUUGAGUGCUGAUUCUAAUUUACAAUUGACAGCUUAUUGUGAUUCAGAUUUUUCUACAUGUUCUAUCUCUCGGAGAUCAGUUACAGGCUUAAUUGUUAUGUUGGGUGAUUCUCCGAUUGCUUGGAAGACAAAGAAACAAGAUGUGGUGUCGUUCUCUUCAGCAGAGGCUGAAUAUCGUGCAAUGAGUUUUACUGCUAGAGAGUUGAAAUGGGAUCGUGAGCUUUUGGGUUGUUUUGAAGUGUCUCAUCCGCAGGCGAUGCGUUUGUUUUGUGACAAUAAGGCAGCCUUACAUAUUGGUGCCAAUCCAAUUUUUCAUGAGCGGACGAAGCAUAUUGAGAGGGAUUGUCACUUUAUUCGGGAUGAAAUUCAGGAUGGUUCACUGGUUACUGCACAUCUUACCACUACAGAGCAACCAGCGGAUAUCUUUACUAAGGUUUUGGGUUCUCAAAAAUUUGCUUAUUUACGGUGCAAGUUGAGCAUGUAUAAUCUUCAUGCUCCAACUUGAGGGGAAGUAUUAGGGAGCUAUAUGUAAAUAUAUUAUACUUAGGCUAUUAUGUUAAUUUUCCUAAGUAUGUUUAGGGUUUCCUGUGUAACAUGUAUAUAUACUCUCUUCUUAAUGUCAAUAAAACACAACAUUCUCUUUAUUCUAUUAUCUUUGGCAGAAACCUUAGAGGUAAUGUUAUGGUGAUUUUAAUCGUCUGGCAUAUGAUAUUUUUUUGUCAUUCUGCUACUUUUUGCUUCACAAUGAUUGCAAUUGGGAAUAAACCUUACUUUAAUUUUGAAUGUUUUUUUUUUUUGUAAAAUUUUAUUUUAGAGUUUUGAGUGAUAAAUUUCUUUGAGUGUUUUAUCUAAGUAGAUCGUGAUGAUGAUACAGUAGCGAAUUGUGUAGUACACUUCUCUUAUAGAGAACUUUCAUCAAACUUAUAAAGUCGAAUAUUUUAUUACCUAAAUCAUUAUAACAAAUAUAUGAUGAAGACGUUGAAAUUAUAGGAAACCAAUUAGGUAACAACAAUUGCUUCUACUAGUUGUCAAAAUCCUUUUUUUUUGUUAACCGGCUUGUGCGGAUACCGAAUACAUGGCAUUAAACAUUUUUCUCACCGCGAACUGGGGAGUAUUUGAGUCCAAUCCUUGCACUUAAACCACUAGCCCCACACAAUGUUAGUAGUUAUUAGGGGUGUCAAAAUGGAUAAACCAAUUCAAACCAAUCCAUUAUCCAAUGAGUUUAGGCUUAAAUGGUUUAUGGGUUGAUCCAACUCAUUUGUUAAAUUGAUUGAGUCAAUCCAUUAAUCCAAUUAUUUGAUGGUUUAAUGGUUAAUUGAGUUGAUCCAUGAAAAUAAAAUAAUUAAUUAAUUAAUAAUUAUUAUCAUCAUAUAAUAUUACAAAUAAUAUUUAAUGAUAUAAAUGAAUUAUGAUAUCACGUUUUUGGCGGGAAAUCACAGAAUCACGUUUUUGUAGAAAAAUCCGAAAUCACGUUUUUGGCGGGAGAAAAUACGGAAUCACGUUUUUGGCGGGAAAAUGGGGAUCUUUUUCGUCGGAAAAAUGCGGAAUCACGUUUUUGGCGGGAAAAUUACGGAAUUAUGUUUUUGGCGGAAAAAUGUGAAAUUGCGUUUUUGGCGGAAAAAUUACGGAAUUAUGUUUUUGGCGGGAAAAUGUGAAAUCAUUUUUUGGCGGGAAAAUCACGAAUUCACAUUUUGGCGGGAAAAAUACGGAAUCACGGUUUUGGUGGGAAAAAUAAGAAAUCACGUUUUUGGCGGAAAAAUGUGAAAUCAUUUUUUGGCGGGAAAAUCACGAAUUCACAUUUUGGCGGGAAAAAUACGGAAUCACGGUUUUGGUGGGAAAAAUAGGAAAUCACGUUUUUGGCGGGAAAAAUCACGAAUUAACAUUUUGGCGGGAAAAUGCAGAAUAACGAUUUUGGCGGGAAAAUACGUAAUCAUAUUUUUGGCGGGAAAAUGCGAAAUCUCGUUCUUGGCGGAAAAAAUUAUGGAAUUGCGUUUUUGGCGGGAAAAUGUUGAAUCACGUUUUGGCGGAAAAAUUUAUUUCAUGGUUUUAAUAGUUAAAUCAUGUUUACUUUGGUUUACUAAAAUCGGUUUACACAUUUGAUUUGGUUAUAUUUGGUUUACACAUUUGAUUUAGAAUGUUUAAUCUUUAUUGGUUUGGUUAUGAGUAAUCCAUUAAUCCAUUCUAACAUAAACCAUUUCAAUCCAAUUCAUUAAACUCACUAAUCCAUUAAAUCCAUUAAUCCAUUAAGAUCCAAAUUUCUCAUUCAUUAUAUCCAUGGAUUGGAUUGGUUUGGAUUGAUCCAUUAACUUUUAUCCAUUUUGACACCCCUAGUAGUUAUCAAACUGAUUAAUUCUUGGCUAGAUUGAACAAUAUGCAAUGUUUUAAGAUCACUGGCCAGUAGAAAAAUACAUUGUUGUUCUAUGUUUUCUGAACAUUUAAAUUCCUAGAUAGUCCAAGUUUCAUGUUAGUUAAUUUAUUUCUCCUUUUUCUAAACGUUGAAUUAUUCAAGAAAUAUGAUAUUGAAAGUAUGUUAUCUAUAUUUUUUUUAAUCUAAAAAUCAUGCGCUUUUAGGAACUUAACGUCCACUUAGUUUAGGGACUUGAGUAUUCUAAUUGGUCCCCUAAGUGAUCGAGAUCAUUGGACACAAAGUCUUCUUGGUACAUGGGUUGAACUAUAGACGUUUGGUACAUCACAAAUUUUGUUCAUAUUAUUUCAGUUUAUUAAUUAGAAAGAUAUAUUUUUGUGUAUUUAUAAAAGGUAUAAUAGAAAUUUACAUACUUUUCUGAAUUUAUGUGAAAGAUGUUAACAUAAAACUUUUCUGAAUUUAUGAUUUUAAUGUAUAAUUUUUAACCAAUGCCCAUUGUAUCUAUUUAAAUGGAAUGAAAUUAAAAAAUCUUUAGUUUUGAUAGUUUAAUUUCACAGAACAAUAUUGCUUUGAAAAAAAAUUAAAAAUUAAAGUUAUAGAGAGAUAUGUUAGUUCGGAAUAUGAGAGAAAUGGAUGUAGACAAUCUUCAAAAUGUGAUAGGUGUGCUUAACACCUCAAACUGUAUAUGAAAGAUAACUACUCGGUCUAUGAUUGAAGUGUUACAAAAGUCAUAAAAUUAUAUUUAAGGUUUUCGAUGUUUGUAAUUCCUUAAAAAGACGUUUUACCAUUUUGUCUAUCAACCAAUAAUGUAAAAGUUAUGCACAACUUUGGUUCUUUUUCUACUUAAAAUGUUAUUAGUUUUUAAAAAAAUUAGAGUAAAAACUUUUUUUUGUUGAAUGUAAUAUUAAUUAAAAGAAUUGAAAAUAGAGUUAUGUAUACAAAGAAGAGCAUGCAACAACUGAACAAAUAGAGAAAAUACAUCAGAAGAGAAAAGAAAAAAACAGAACAUAAACCGGAUCGGAGACUAAGGACAUGGUUGAAUCUGGUUCCACCGGCUGAGCAACUUUUCAGGUCGGAUACGAGCAGACGUGUGUGACGAGAAGCAUGCCAAUGUUUGUUUUGGCGACGAGUGUCACUAGAUAACGAAUUGGGUCAGGACUCAGGAGGGUGACGGGUUUUGUUGAUAACAACACUCAUUCUUUCAUAUCAGACAUGGUAAAUAGUGGCUUGAAAUAGCAAUGGACCAAUAUUUUUUUUUGAUUGGGUAUGAAUAUAACAAAAAGUAAACCAAGAAAAGAAAAAGAAACGUGCAAACACAAAUAUGAUCAUUUUACAUGUAUCAUCGACUUAGAUCACGACGCAUAAGUACCAAACAGGGAAAACGGCCAAAAUCAACCCCAACUAUUUUCAUGUGGACUUUUUCAACCUAAACUUUGACCCUCUGCACUUAUCAACCCGAACCUUCGUGAAUUUCAAAUAACAAACCUGAACUAUAUAACUAUUAGCCAAUUUCAACAUAUACAUGUUAUUAUAUAAUGUAACAAACAUGAAUAAUGUAACCUUUUAACCUAUUGAAUAAAAUGAAUGAUUCAUAUACAAAAAAACAGAUAAUUACGGCUUAACAAUUCUAAUCGACAUUAACAAAUACAAAAAAAAUUAGGUUGAAGUUGGCUAAUGGUUACAUAGUUCAGGUUUUUUAUUUGAAAAUUAUUUGAGUUCGGGUUGAUAAGUGCAUAGGGUCAGAGUUUGGGUUCAAAAAAACCGCAUGGAAAUAGUUGGGGUUGAUUUUAGCCGUUUUCCCGUACCAAACAUGGAAGACCUUCCAAAUAGACCCAAAAGUGAGUAGUGUUUUACAGUAUCAAACAUGACAUAUGUGUCUAAUCUUCGAUGAGACAUUAUAGGUUGCCCUUAUACAAUGAUUCCGAUAAAAUAAUAUAGUUAUUUAAUUGAUGUAAUUAAAGAAAAAUAAUGUAGUGAUUCAAUUUAGUAAGUAAAUAAAAACUUAUUUCUUUAAUAUUGUCUUUUUUUUUUAAUAAUUAUCUUUAAUAUUGUCAAAUUAAACUAAAAAGAGAUUACAAAAUAUAACAAUUCUUGGUUGCCAAAAAAAAAAAGAACAAAAAGAAGAAGCAAUUAUUGAUACACGCAAACGCUGAAAAACAUAAGAAAAUAGAUUAAACAAGGGAACUCAAAAGCUUUUCUCCUAAAUUCCAAUAAACAUUUAGAGUGUCAAAAAAAUUUUGGAACACCACAACAAUGUCUCAUAUGACUUGGAUCUUAUUUUUAUUCUGCAUAUUUAUCUAUUUUCCAACAUACUAUCCCAACUAUUUAAAAAUUAUCGGAGAAUGACUUUUUUUUUUUGGUUCACAUAUUGGAGAAUGACAUUAUCAAAAAUCGUAUAAAUAUUAAAAAAAAAUACAUCUUAGGAAAAUAGAACCCUUUUCGUUUCCCAAGAAAAAGUUGACUAAAAACAAUUAAAAAAAUCCCAACCAUAAAAAAAAAAAUCCCAACCAUAUAAAAAAAAAAAUCCCAACCAUGUGGACUGAUGGGUAAAGGAUAUAAAUGACUCAUUAAAGGAUUAAAAAUGAGUCCGUAUAAUCUGUCGUGCAGUGAACUAUGAAUAAAUGCUAUAUAUGGUCGGCCACUUCAUUGUUAUAUUCAAGGAUCCUUUGUUAUAUAUUAUUGUCGGCUGUCGGCAAUAAUAUUAGUGACUUUGAAAAGUCUACAAUAAUAGUUGCAUUCUUUUAUAUAUAGUACUCACUUUAUUUUAUUUUUAAGUUCUCAUAUACAGAUUACUUAAUUUACAUUUUUUUAGAUAAAAAUAUUAUUUGGCUAGCCAUUAAUCGGUUCAUUAAGUCUUUUCCGGACAUAAUUGAAAAUUUUCUAGUAAAUUUCUAUCAAAAAGUGGGAAAGAAACAUUGAUCAAAUCAGUGGCUUUGGCACUCCCAACCUAUGUUAUGUGAAAGGACCCGAACCCGCUACACGGAGCUGGUCAACGUGUUGACUUCUUGGCCCGGCCCAAAUCAUCUUUAAAUGCAAACCCGCCAAUUAACAACGGAAAACGAACUCUUGACUUAACCAACCUGCAAAAGAAAGAGGGGUGAGCGAUUGAAAAUCACUUAGUGAGGACAAGCCUCAGUGCUCAUGAAGUCUUCAUACACAAACACGCUUAGACAAUCACAAAGUCUAAACCUAAGAUAAGCAGGCAAUCACGUGUCAAAGACACACACACAUCAAACAAAUGAGACUACGUCCCAUAACCACUACCAUAAAGGCAGGCAGGAUACGAACGUAUAACACACGCCGUCUACCCGUACAUAUUGGAUUCCUCGUGCCUGAGCACUUCUUCCGUGCAACCGGAUCCCUCGUGCCUCUUGCACUUCUUCCGUGCACCUCAUACUCGUCGGCUCGUCAGCCAUCCUGAUCUAUUCGGAAACGCGUCCAUAGACCAUCACACAACUACAAGGAUCUCUCCUGUAGGACUUUCUUUGCGGCUCACCACAUCUUCGUGCCAUUAGCACAUUCUCUCAUCACACAACAUUUAUUAAUUACCACACAAACAUGCAUUUCACAAAUCACACAACCCGCAUUAAAAUAUUUAUUUUCAUUUAUUUUCAUUUCUAAAAUACUAGUUCAUUUUAUAAAUAGGUAUAUAUCUACAUAUAAAUACGUAUAAAUAUAAUAUACAAUCACCAUCCAAAUAUAUGUUAGUUAUAAUGUAACAUAUAUGUAUGCUCAGCUUAACAUUAAACUAAGUAACUACAUAAACAUAUCAGUAUAUGAAAAAAACACCAACUAGUCCUCACUCUGCCAAUCGGGUUGAUUCUUCGGUUUAGCACUAGAAACAACGGGGACCGGUUCAAUAAUACUUCUCAGUCUACAACGGUUUACAUAACCGAUCGAAGAUUAUUUUCCAAUUAAUAAUCCAUGAUUCAAUCUAAUAACCAAAACUUGAUUUAAUUGUUUUUGGUAUUUUCCUCCAAUUAAAUUAGUUAGACUUUGUUUAAUAAUUAAACAAAACAAAAAUCUAAUAAUUUAAUAACACCACAAUUCAAUAAUCCAAGGUAACAUAAUUAAGUUUGGCUUAAUACCAAAACCCAACCGAGACUAAUCGUCACGAAGCCACCACUGUUACACGUGACCAACAAACCAAAGUCAUCUCACGCUUCCUCAAUAAUUAAGUUCGGUUAUGGUCUUUAAUCAAAUAAGAAUUCCUUGGUUUAGACUGGUUUAGAACUGGUUCAAAAUCCAAAACAAAACAACAUGAGCAACACGAGUUAUAAACCUUCGCCGUUUACCUGUUUCUGCAACUUUCAUGGACGGAUCUGCUCGACGUCGACACGACGGUUCAACCUUACAGCGAUUUGUCCUCACGGCUCAAAGAUCAAAAGCAAAACAAGAGAAUAGAUUAUAAGCUAACAUCAGAAACUUCUUCUGAAAGUUAUAGGAUAAGUUUAGGGUUUCCUUACCCUUAGAGGCAUUAACGGCUACGACUGCUCCAGUGACAGCGGCUGGCAUCUCCGGUGACACACGGUGGCUGUGGUGGUCCUCCUCUCCCAUCCUCUAGCAUUUCUAUGUCUUUGCCGUUUCUCUCUUACCAAUGGCUAGAGCCAAUCGAGCACCAACGGCGGGUUCAAACUUGGAACGAUGGCAACAACGGCUUGAUCUCAUGAAUGUCACAACGGAGACCAUCUCGGCGACGACGCAACAACUAUGAUUUGAAGUUACGAAGGCUUAGGAUUUUAGAUCGUAACUUCGACCGCUUUACAAAACGACCAUUAAUCCGACAUCUUAUAGAAUGAACUGGGCUUUCCGAAGUUUCCGUAAUAGAGUUAGUUUCGAUUGGUUCCAACUGAGCUUCUUCCCACAAUAUUUUUUCACUCAAAGCGUGAUUUAAAAUAUCUGUGGGGUCAGAUUGUAAUCCCUUAAAAACCUUUUUAUUCUUAUCCUUCCAUAUGAACCAUAAGAUCCAAGCAUAACAGUAGGAUUCUCCCACCCCCACCCCCCGAUCUAUCGAAGAUGGUAACCUCCAAUAAAGAUAAUCUAGAUUUGAAAAUUCCGAACUCAGAGGAAAACUACCUGAUUCCAUAGUAAUUGCGGAUAAUUCCCAUAUUUUCUGAGAAUGAGAGCACUCAAAUAAAGCAUGAUUUAUUGUUUCUUCUGCCAGCUCACACCUUUUACAGAUAGUAUCACAUCGAAUUCCUCUAUGUGCUAAUUUUGAAGUAACUGCUAGGGAUCCCGAAGCUAUUUUCCAUAAGAAAAGUUUUAUUUUUGGAGGGGUUUUGACUUUCCAAGCAUGUGCUUGUAAUGAUUUAUAAUUUGGGCCCCAUUCGAUCGUUUCUGCAAUCUCUCGAGCAACCCGAUAACCUGAUUUUACUGUAUAUCUUCAUGAUUUUGUAUGAUGCCAAAUAAGCCUAUCUGGCUUAUAAGCUUGACUAAUAGUCAUUCCGCUAAUAAACUGCAUAUCCACUGGAUCCAAAAAUUCUUGUAGAAUGGGAAGGUGCCAUUCUUUAGAAACCGGAUUAAUUAAAUGGUUAACCAUCAAACUUGGUAGCAAUGAUUUUCCUCUCCCAUUUGCCUGCCGUGGAUUAACAUCUGGAAUCCAAGGAUCUCGCCAUACCAAAAUAUUGAAACCCGAACCUAGUGACCAUCUAGCUCCCAUUUCAACUAGUCUUUUAGUCGAAUGGGGGGGGGGUGGUGGGAGAAUCCUACUGUUAUGCUUGGAUCUUGUGGUUCAUAUGGAAGGAUAGGAAUAAAAAGGUUUUUAAAGGAUUACAAUCUGACCCCACAUAUAUUUUAAAUCACGCUUUGAGUGAAAAAAUAUUGUGGGAAGAAGCUCAGUUAGAACCAAUCGAAACUAACUCUAUUACGGAAACUUCGGAAAUCCCAGUUCAGUCUAUAAGAUGUCGGAUUAAUGGCUCUUGGAAAUAUUUGGAUCCAACUAUGGGUUUAGGAUGGUGGUGUUUUCAGGGAACUGAACAAACGAUACUGCUCGGUGCAAAGUGUCUUCGGAGAUGUCCCUCCCCCCCUUCACUCGGAGAUGGAAGCCUUAAUUUGGGUUAUCAAGAAUAUACUUUCAAGAAGGAUCGAUUGUCAGGCGUUUGAAUAGAUUGUUCAGAGUUAGUCUCGAUGAUACAGUCACCUGAUGAAUGGCCCGCUUUCUCCAAUCUGCUAGAUGAGUUUGGUUCUCUCCAUGUCUAUUUCCCAGUCUUCUCGCUUUCUCUUAUCUCUCGUUUAUGUAAUGUUAAAGCAGACUGCUUAGCCCGUUCUUCUAGACUUUUAUUUUAUGAAGUUUCUUUUGUAGACUCUUUUCCUCCUAAUAUCGGCCGCUUAUCCGUCGAAACGGUCGUCUAGGCGCUAAUCAGGAGGAGGCCGCAGCGAUUUUGUCAAAACCGGUAAAAAAAAUUGGUGAUUCGAUCUUUUGUCAGUCUAGACCGUCUAGGCGGCCGCCUAGACAACGCCUAGCCCAUUUUUUUUUAAUUAAAAAUGUCAAACUUAUGCUUGUAUUUGUAUAAAAUUAAAACAUUAAAUAGCCCUAAAAGUAGUCCCCGAUUAAUCCCCUUAUAGUAUCCAUUUUUUGUUAGGCGCUAGGCCUGUUGGUGUCGGAUCUCGCAACUGAUCCGACCCGAGUAAUUAGUGGGCUUCAAAGACUAACGGGCCUUAAUAUUCUAUAAAGUCAAAGUCGCAUGUUGGACAGGCCCAGUCGAAGGCCCACUCAUUUCGAAUUAUCACUUUGGAGAAACGGAGCGACCUUGCGAAUUAAAGGAGAGGUGUUAAUUGCGGAUCCAUUGACUUGAAAGAUUCGAAAUGGAUGUAAUAAAAGAGACGCGAUUUGCGGCGUAAAAAGGGGGGAAUUUAGUUCCUAGGGAUCCCGAACUUGUAACUAUAAAUAGGAAUCGUGUAACAUUGUAAAGGGGAUUGGAAAUUUUUUACCAGAAAUAAUACAAAUACACUCUAAAAGCUUUUCUUGUAUUCUGACAAUCGAUAUUCGACCGCCGAGGCUAGAAACCCACAUAAUAUUGACGAAUUAAUCAAUUGCGGAUUCCGACAUCCGCAAUUUGGCGCUACAAGAGGGGAAUUCUAGUCUUUUACUCCAGAUUAUCGAUCGAACAGAGAUGUCAAGUGGCGCAGAUCAAGUCUCAGUUCUCGAAGAGAUUAAAAAAAUGCUCAAGGACCUAUUCGAGAAAUCCGAUCAGCAGCAGCUCGCCGCAAGUUGUUCUGAAGUCAGUUUAGCUCAUAACGCGUAUGUAGAUCGAGUUGAUACUAUUACGGAAGGGACCUUGCGAACAGGCGGACCACGGGGACCUUUGGAUUUUCACGAUCCAAACGCCUCAGAGACCCAGGAUCCUCGUACUGUCACUCCUGGUCAAGUUUUCUCAACUUCGUUGCCCCUGGGCUCCCAACGUGAACUCGGAGGUGGUUCUCAGCAACCAAAUGCAUCUACGGCGCCUCCUUUUGGUCCUUAUUCCUCGGCAGCAGCCGCGACAGUCAGGACACCUCUUCCUUUGCAUUUGGAAACUACCCCUCGUCAUCCGCAGUCCGAGCUCGACCAAACUUUUUCUCCAAUCAAUCCAGAGAUCUGAAAUUUGCAAAAUCAGAUUCGAGCAAUGAGUUCGAAAGAUCAUCAAGCUACCAGUUUGGCCCCGAGGUAGAUAGAGUGAUCAAGGAGACGAUGAGAAUUCCAUUUACACCAAGAAUUGCAGCACUAUGAAUCCGGGAUACGAGGGAAGUCAAGGUCCCAGGCUAUAAUGGUAAAGGAGAUCCUAACGAGUACCUGACAUCUUUCCAGGUAACUGCGGGACAGGUGCGUCUGGAACCUGACGAGAUAGAUGCUAGUUUGUGUAAAAACUCUGCCAAGAAUCUGUUCGGGCCAGCCCUGACAUGGUUCACUCAGCUCGAGGAGGAAUCAAUCGACAACUUCAAGUAACUGUCUACUACAUUUAUAAUGCGGUACGAGUAUAUCAUCAAGAGCGAUGUAACAGAUGCCCAGCUAUGGAACCUAUUACAGGGAGCCGGGGAGCCACUCCGCGACUAUAUCACGUCCUUCAAGGAGAUCGUGGUUCAAGUCCCUGGUUUAUCCGACUCCGCAGCUCUAGCUACCUUCAAGAAUGGUCUGUGACAUGAAUCUCGUUUUCGUGAAGAGUUAACGGUCAACCACUACAAGAAAUAUGGGCAUUCUUAACACACGGAAAAUGCUAUAAUAUCGUUUACAUAGCGGAUUCAUAAACGCUGUGUUUGCCGGAGCUAUCUUAGAGUGGUCACAUACAAUAGCGUUUUUAGGCUAUGCUAUUAAAUGUAUCCAUAUAAUAGUGUAUAAUAGAUGUUAUGAUUUCCUUUUUCGUAGCCCUUUUUUAAAGGUAUAAUAUAUUGUUUCAUUACUCUUUUUCUAGGUUAUUAUAUGUUGUUUAGUAGCUCUUAAUCUGAGCUAAAAUAUAACAUAUUACGUAUUAUAGCAUUUUGAUGAUGUUAUUUUUGCAAUUAAAUUUAACCCUUUUGCAUUAUAUAUAUUUAUAUAUAUUUUCUAGAUAAAUUAAAUUUGGUUAACAAUAUAUAUUAAAUAUAUUUAUUCCAUAGAAAAUUUAGAAAAAAAAAACAUAACAAGUCAUACAAAUUCUAAUCGAAAAAACAUAUUGUAAUCAAAUGAACACAUCAGAUUUUUUGUAAAUUAGCUUUGUUUUAGUAUAAUAACAAGUAUGAUUGCUAGAAGUUUGAAAUGAUUCUAGAAUUGGGUAUUUUACAUUUACUUUAUAAAAUAAAUAUACUGUAUAGUCAAUUUUUGGGUUUGUUUUAUUGUUUUGUUUUAUGUUUAUAAUGUGUAUAACGUUUUACAAAUAUCUGAUUUCUUUUUAUAUGUCUAUAAUUUUCAGCGACUAUUAUAUUUCAAGAACCUUACUUUCUUUUCAUUAAAAAUAUACAUGGUACACAACCAUAAUUUGAAUCACAUUUAAAAUAUUUAACAUAGACUUUUAAUUUUUUAAUAUUAUUCUUUUUACCUUUAAAUCACAAUGAUUUGUUAAAAUGAUAACUUAUAAUUUAUUUUAUACCAUAAUUUUAAUAUAAAAUUAUUAUUCCAAUCAUGUUAUUGGAUUUUGUAAAUUUUUUACUCAUUUUCGUAAUUGAAGGCUGAUAGCCAAAAACCCAAAAUCUCGAUGUUAGCAGAAAUCAAGGAAACACUACUUUACUAUUAUUUUAUAACGCAAUUACACCGUAUAAACGUAGAUAAAAUAGAAAUAUUUUUCACUACUACUUUUUUUUUAUUCCUCUUUUAUUUGAUAUACUCAAUUAACAUCAUUAUUUUGUUUAUAUAGUCAGACUAUAAUAUACAAACCAAAAUACCAAAUAGACAAGCUUAUUUAAAUAUAUAUUUAUAUUAUCUAUUGAUUUAACAAUCUUUACAAUUAGGAAUAUGAACUUUUCGUCCAAUUAAGAUAUUUUAUAAAUUUUAUUUAAUAAAAUUUUUUCCAUGUUAAUAAAAGCUUAUGUGUAUUAUUUAGUUUAAUUUGAUGGAUUGUACUUUUAAAAUGAAAUAUCAGCUUCUAGUAAGACAAAAAGUAAUAAAAGUGAUUAUAUACAUCUUGUGAUUUGUGGCUUGAUUAAGAAUAUAGUUAUUAAACCAAAUUCUAGUAGUUCAAAAUCAAAAUUUUGGUGGACGUGAUUAUAUAAACAUAUUUAUGUGUAAACUAAAUAGGAACAUGUUGAUUGUUGAGUUAUAUAGUAAACUUUUUUUUAUCAUAAAUGUCUUUAAUAUAAAUAUGUUAUGUAAAAAUAACUAUAGAUAUAAAGUUUAUAUUUA
RNAcentral lists this long non-coding RNA (92376 nucleotides) under Arabidopsis lyrata. RNAcentral's name for it is "long non-coding RNA (ALYR_LNC003372)". The stretch from base 12263 to 12369 matches the Rfam family "Plant small nucleolar RNA R71". Lineage: Eukaryota; Viridiplantae; Streptophyta; Magnoliopsida; Brassicales; Brassicaceae. The record is from RNAcentral.